This 139132-nucleotide long non-coding RNA is filed under the name Triticum aestivum (bread wheat). RNAcentral describes it as "long non-coding RNA (TAES_LNC020993)". Lineage: Eukaryota; Viridiplantae; Streptophyta; Magnoliopsida; Poales; Poaceae. The record is from RNAcentral.
UGUCUUGACCUGUACGUAGACUCCGGCAACGGUGCCAAAAAUGGCUCGUUGCUGGGAGUCAAAUCUUGACUUGACUUGGCGCGAAUCUCCCCAGCAACGGCACCAGAAAUCCUUCUUGCUACCUCUUGAGCACUGCGUUGGUUUUCCCUUGAAGAGGAAAGGGUGAUGCAGCAAAGUAGUGUAAGUAUUUCCCUCAGUUUUUGAGAACCAAGGUAUCAAUCCAGUUGGAGAUCACGCUCGAGUCCCACGCACCUACACAAACAAAUAAGAACAUCGCAACCAACGCGAUGAAGGGGUUGUCAAUCCCUUCACGGUCACUUACGAGAGUGAGAUCUGAUAGAUAUGAUAAGAUAAUAUUUUUGGUAUCUUUAUGAUAAAGAGAAAUAAAGAUGCAAAGUAAAAUAAACAGCAAAAGAAAUAACUAAGUGUUGGAAGAUUAAUAUGAUGGAAGAUAGACCCGGGGGCCAUAGGUUUCACUAGUGGCUUCUCUCAAGAGCAUAAGUAUUACGGUGGGUAAACGAAUUAUUGUCAAGCAAUUGAUAGAAUUGAGCUUAGUUAUGAGAAUAUCUAGGUAUGAUCAUGUAUAUAGGCCUCACGUCCAUGAUAAGUAGACCGAAACGAUUAUGCAUCUACUACUAUUACUCCACACAUCGACCGCUAUCCAGCAUGCAUCUAGAGUAUUAAGUUCAUAAGAACAGAGUAAUUCUUUAAGUAAGAUGACAUGAUGUAGAGGGAUAAACUCAUGCAAUAUGAUAUAAACCCCAUCUUUUUAUCCUCGAUGGCAACAAUACAAUAUGUGUCGGUUCCCUUUCUGUCACUGGGAUCGAGCACCGCAAGAUUGAACCCAAAGCUAAGCACUUCUCCCAUUGCAAGAAAGAUCAAUCUAGUAGGCCAAACUAAACUGAUAAUUCAAAGAGACUUGCAAAGAUAAACCAAUCAUACAUAAAAGAAUUUAGAGGAGAUUCAAAUAUUUUUCAUAGAUAAACUGGACCAUAAACCCACAAUUCGUCGGAUCUCAACAAACACACCGCAAAAGAAGAUUACAUUGAAUAGAUCUCCAAGAAGAUCGAGGAGAACUUUGUAUUGAGAUCCAAAGAGAGAGAAGAAGCCAUAUAGCUAAUAACUAUGGACCCGAAGGUCUGAAGUAAACUACUCACACAUCACCGGAGAGGCCAUGGAGUUGAUGUACAGGCCCUCCGUGAUCAAUGCCCACUCCGGCGGAGCUCCGAAAAAGGCCCCGAGAUGGGAUCUCUCGGGUACAGAAGGUCGCGGCGGUAGAAUUAGGUUUUCGUUGUGCUCCUAGAUGUUUGGGGGUACAUGGAUAUAUAUAGGAGGAAGAAGUACAUCGGUGGAGCAACGAGGGGCCCACGAGGGUGGAGGGCGCGCCCAGGGGGUAGGCGCGCCCCCUGCCUCGUGCCCUCCUCGAUCGUUUCUUGACGCCCACUCCAAGUCUCCUGGAUCACGUUUGUCGAGAAAAUCACGUUCCCGAAGGUUUCAUUCCGUUUGGACUCCGUUUGAUAUUGCUUUUCUUCGAACCCCUAAAAUAGGCAAAAACAGCAAUUUAGGCUGGGCCUCCGGUUAGUAGGUUAGUCCCAAAAUGAUAUGAAAGUGUAAAAUAAAGCCCAUUGACAUCCAAAAUAGAUAAUAUAAUAGCAUGGAGCAAUCAAAAAUUAUAGAUACAUUGGAGACGUAUCAAGCAUCCCCAAGCUUAAUUCUUGCUCGUCCUCGAGUAGGUAAAUGAUAAAAGACGAAUUAUUGAUGUGGAAUGCUUUCUAACAUAUUUCUCAACGUAAUUUUUCUUUAUUGUGGCAUGAAUGUUCAGAUCCGAAAGAUUCAAGAUAAAAGUUUAAUAUUGACAUAGAAAUAAUAAUACUUCAAGCAUACUAACUAAGCAAUCAUGUCUUCUCAAAAUAACAUGGCCAAAGAAAGUUAUCCCUACAAAAUCAUAUAGUCUGGCUAUGCUCUAUCUUCACCACACAAAAUAUUUAAAUCAUGCAUAACCCCGAUGACAAGCCAAGCAAUUGUUUCAUACUUUUGAUGUUCUCAAACUUUUUCAAUCUUCAUGCAAUAUAUGAGCGUGAGCCAUGGAUAUAGCACUAUAUGUGGAAUAGAAUGGUGGUUGUGGAGAAGACAAAAAAGGAGAAGAUAGUCUCACAUCAACUAGGCGUAUCAACGGGCUAUGAAGGUGCCCAUCAAUAGAUAUCAAUGUGAGUGAGUAGGGAUUGCCAUGCAACGGAUGCACUAGAGCUAUAAGUAUAUGAAAGCUCAACAAAAGAAACUAAGUGGGUGUGCAUCCAACUCGCUUGCUCACGAAGACCUAGGGCAAUUUAAGGAAGCCCAUCAUUGGAAUAUACAAGCCAAGUUCUAUAAUGAAAAAUCCCCACUAGUAUAUGAAAGUGACAACCUAGGAGACUCUCUAUCAUGAAGAUCAUGGUGCUACUUUGAAGCAAAAGUGUGGAAAAAGGAUAGUAGCAUUGUCCCUUCUCUCUUUUUCUCUCAUUUUUUUAUUUGGGCCUUCUUUUUUUGGCCUCUUUUCUCUUUUUUUCGUCCGGGGUCUCAUCCUGACUUGUGGGGGAAUCAUAGUCUCCAUCAUCCUUUCCUCACUUGGGACAAUCCUCUAAUAAUGAUGAUCAUCACACUUUAUUUACUUACAACUCAAGAAUUAUAACUCAAUACUUAGAACAAAAUAUGACUCUAUGUGAAUGCCUCCAGUGGUGUACCGGGAUGUGCAAUGAUGCAUGAGUGACAUGUAUGAAGAAUUAUGAAUGGUCGCUUUGCGACAAAUACGAUGUCAACUACAUGAUCAUGCAAGCAAUAUGACAAUGAUGAAGCGUGUCAUAAUAACAGAACGGUGGGAAGUUGCAUGGCAAUAUAUCUCGGAAUAGCUAUGGAAAUGCCAUAACAAGUAGGUAUGGUGGCUGUUUUGAGGAAGCUAUAUGGUGGGUUUAUGGUACCGGCGAAAGUUGCGCGAUACUAGAGAGGCUAGCAAUGGUGGAAGGGUGAGAGUGUGUAUAAUCCAUCGACUCAACAUUAGUCAUAAAGAACUCACAUACUUAUUGCAAAAAUCUAUUAGUUAUCGAAACAAAGUAUUAUGCGCAUGCUCCUAGGGGGAUAGAUUGGUAGGAAAAGACCAUCGCUCGUUCCCGACCGCCACUCAUAAGGAGGACAAUCAAUAAAUAAAUCAUGCUCCGACUUCAUCACAUAACGGUUCACCAUACGUGCAUGCUACGGGAAUCACAAAAUUCAACACAAGUAUUUCUCAAAUUCACAACUACUCAACUAGCAUGACUCUAAUAUCACCAUCUCCAUAUCUCAAAACAAUUAUCAAAUUCACAACUACUCAACUAGCAGCCCUCCGUGAUCAAUGCCCCCUCCGGUGGAGCUCCGGGAAAGGCCCCGAGAUGGGAACUCUCGGGUACAGAAGGUUGCGGCGGUAGAAUUAGGUUUUCAUGGUGCUCCUGGAUGUUUGGGGGGUAUGUGGAUAUAUAUAUAUAUAUAUAUAUAUAUAUAUAUAUAUAUAUAGGAGUAAGAAGUACGUCCGUGGAGCAACAAGGGGCCCACGAGGGUGGAGGGCGCGCCCAGGGGGGUAGGCACACCCCCUGCCUCGUGCCCUCCUCGGUCGUUUCUUGAUGCCCACUCCAAGUCUGCUGGAUCACGUUUGUUGAGAAAAUCACGUUCCCGAAGGUUUCAUUCCGUUUGGACUCCAUUUGAUAUUCCUUUUCUUCGAAACCCUAAAAUAGGCAAAAAAACAGCAAUUUGGGCUGGGCCUCCGGUUAGUAGGUUAGUCCCAAAAAUGAUAUAAAAGUGUAAAAUAAAGCCCAUUAACAUCCAAAAUAGAUAAUAUAAUAGCAUGGAGCAAUCAAAAAUUAUAGAUACAUUGGAGACGUAUCAGGUAUCAGCCAUGGUACAGUAGAAUAAAGUAGGUAUAAUGCAAUAACAAAAUAUGAAUGGGUAUACAUCAGUACUUAAAGUAGUGAUUUGUUUUAUUACUAGAACAUAAAUGUGUGCGUUGCCACGCCCUGUCCCUAAUGGUCAAUACAAAUAUGACAAAAAAGAUGAACAAAAGUGAUAUUCCAGGUAUAGGUGUAUGCCAUACAAAGAGAAAACCCAAUAGAAAUGGUAUUCCAAGUAUAAGUAUACCGACAAAAUACAAUGAGUAUGUCAAGGAUUUUUCUGUGCUCUGAAAUAGCUCAUUGCAUUUUUCCUGAAUAGUUAACAAUUGAAGAUUUCCUUUCUGAAAAAUUUCAUGACUUUAGUUUUUAUUUGUCAAGGUGAACAUAUAUCCUCCAUAUUGGAUCAUGCAUGCACUUUAUUUUUAUGAAUCAGUUUUAUAAUGAGCAGCAUUGAUCAGUUUAUCUGCAUGUCAUAGCAAAUCACACUAAAAUUUUAGCACCAAAACAAGGAAGAGCGUGUCAAACUACAUCCUUUUGGCACAGAAAAGUAACAAAAAGUUUAGUGCUGCUUACACAUAGUUUCAGCUGAAAGAUUAUUGUCCACUGUGACAAAUAAACACACCAAUUACAAUUAGUAAGCAUUACAUACACACAAAAUUUAUGUAAGCAUGACGAAAUAUAUGCACAUAACAACUAUUUUACAUUAACAAUAUCUCCAAGCUCUUGAUUGUGCCAAUAAUUUUCCAGUGGAAUCUUUUUGGUUGACUCAAGAAAUCGAUAGACGUGCAAGCUUGAGAUUUCCUCCAGUAAGCAGUGUACCUAAGUGUGCAGAGUGGAAGCGUUUCCCCAUUUUCAAUAGUAACACCCUGCAUGUGAGGCACAAAAAUGGAAGAUCAGACAAAAAGAAGAACAUGCACUUUAAGCAGAUAGUGUAAAACUAAAUAAAGAUGAUGAUUUAUGUCAUUGUAUUUUUUAAAACCAAUAAUACUUUCAAACAAAGAAAUCAAGGACAGAAUUUAAGCAAUUUAUUUCUAUGUGCACAAAGAAGACAAUACUUCUUUUCUAUUCAGAAUUUCUUAUCCAGUAAUAGUUUCAAGGAAUUAUAAUUAAAUGUGUAUCAAAUGUCCAUCUGAGCUAGGCUGUAAAUGGUUUAUUUUAUCCAAUAAUGCUUUUAUGGAAAGUGGCUAGCAAGUAUUCAUCAGAGAGUAGAUGAGAGCAAACCACAAGACAGAAAACUUACCAUAUGCUUGCAAAGUGCAAGCACAAAAAGUAACGCAAAUUAGGACGUGAAGUAAGAUAGGCCAAUGCCACCAAACAACCAUAUAAAAAGGGACAAUUACAUUUGAGCCCCUAGUUGUGUCACACCCGUGUGUUUUGCCCCUAAAUUCAAAAAACCCUCGUUUCUGCCCGAGCUCGUUUACUCUUCUUAUGCCUUUACCCUUUGACUGUUUGACCGUAACUUUGAAAACUUCAUAAUGAAUUCAUACUAACUCAGAAAAAUGCAUAUAAGAUAUCAAAAUGUUCGGAUAAACAUCACCAAUAUGUUUUGAAUUUGUUUUCAAUUUUUUCAUCAUUUACUAUUCAUGCUGACAUCAUAUGAGCUCAAACUAAGAUAGGGACUUUUGAGCACUUUUGUCAUGAAUGCAAAUGACAUGCACAUAUAGGUGAUGUUUUGCGAUCAUUUUGAUAUCUUAUUUGUAUUUUUCUGAGUUAGUAUGAAUUCGUUAUGAAGUUUUCAAAGUUGCAGUAAAACGGUCAAAGGGCAAAAGCAUAAGAGGAGUAAACGAGCUUGGACAGAAAUGAGGGUUUUUUAAAUUUAGGGCCAAAACACCCGGGUGUGACACAACUAGGGGCUCAAAUGCGAUUGUACCAUAUAAAAACUAUACGACCAGAAUAUGUGGCAAAGCAACAUCAGCUCCAUCCAUCCAGCAAGCAAGCAAACAAGCUACUUCAUAUGUCACCAAACGUCCGUCCACGGGAAGUAAACAAAUUUAUACUGGAGACCAAAGGAGAGAGACGGGCGAGUCUGGAGUAAUGGGGUGACGUUAAUCAAACGCAAGCCAUAUGUAGAACAGAUGCACCUACAAACAGGGGGCAUCGUAGGACAGCGGGAACGGCUUCUUUGGCCGCCAUCCGGGCAAACCCUGAAUUAAGGUGCGCUCAUGACAACACAGGGGGGUGGGGGUCGCCAAACUAUCUAUCUAUACGCAUCAAAGGAUCCGAUGCAGGCAACAUAUAUAUGUACGGGUCACGGAGUAGAGGAGGCAAACAGAUAGUAACGCAUCCGCACUACCAUAGACAUUACUGGAGGACGGACAGCACGUUGGCCCGGUUCACCAGAAAGAGCCCAGAUCGUUCUGAGGAGCAGCGGCCCUUUUGACGUUGGCACGGACGGCUCAUGUAGAUCACGCAGCACAAGAGGGCAACGGCGUUGUGCGGCAUGCUAAAACGAUCUGGUGCGUUCAUGAGCCUGAUCGGAUGGUUAAGGGCGUCAAAACGCUGUGGGAGGCCGUAGCUAGCUGAGUUAUACUGUUUUCUAAUACUAACAGAUCUCACGAAGGUUUUGUUAAGUUUUGUGUGAUUGAAGUUUUCAAGUUUUGCGUGAGAUCACGAUGGAUGAAGGAAUAAGGAGUGGCAAGAGCCUAAGCUUGGGGAUGCCCGAGGCACCCCAAGGUAAUAUUCAAGGACUCGCAGGCAACUAAGCUUGGGGAUGCUCCGGAAGGCAUCCUCUCUUUCUUCUAACGACCAUCGGUAAUUUUACUUGGAGCUAUAUUUUUAUUCAUCGCAUAUUAUGAGUUUUGCUUGGAGCGUCUUGUAUUAUAUGAGUCUUUGAUUGUUUUGCUUUUUAGUUUGUCAUAAUCAUCCUUGUUGAACACACUUGUUUGAGAGAGCCAUAAUGAUAUCUUGAUUUGUUAGAAUUGCUCUAUGUGCUUCACUUAAUUUUUUUGAUCUAGGGAAUUGCUCUAGUACUACUUAUAUCUUUUUUAGCAUGGUGGUGGUUAUAUUUUAAAGAAACAUGCUCUUGUGCUUCACUUAUAUCAUUUGGAGACUUAGUAAAUUUUAAAGAAAUAUGCUCUCAUGCUUCACUUCUAUCAUUUUGAGAGUUAGUAAACUUUAAGGAAAUAUGCUCUCAAGCUUCACUUAUAUUAUUUUGAGAGUUGAAAAUUUUGAAGAAAUAUUUAUGCUCUCAUGCUUCACUCAGAUCUUUUUGAGAGUUAAGAAUAGUAAUGGUAAUUUGUACGAGAUAUGAAUUUGGUCCCAAAGUGAUAGAUAUUCAAGAUGGAUGUAAUAAAAACUUUCAUGAAUAUCAUUGGAUAUUAAAACUUGAUUCCUUGCAAUAGUUUUGCGAUAUGGAGAUAGUGAUAUGUGAGUCAUGUUGGUGAGUAAUUAUGCUUUAGUAAGAAUAUUGUUGUUAAGGUUUGUGAAGAAUCCCAAAUGAGGUGUACCUAAGGCAGGUUAGCCCUGUUAUACAAUUUAUCAAGAAAUUUGAGCGGAAGACCUUGUUUUUGAACUUUCAGAUUGAUGACACCAAGACCCCCAUGUGCCUUGGGACAACACACUCUCUGCCAAGCUACCAAAGAAUUGCAAGUCUCCCCUUGUUCCGAUUUCUUAGUCCAAACAAAUCUUCUUCUUACCUUGUCAAAGUACUGUAUGAAUUCUGGAUUCAACUGCAAAGUGCAUGUUGCAAACUUAAUCAUAGAUGUAGCAAUAGGAUUGACCAAGGUGAUCCUAGAAGCAUGGCAUAGGAGAGAACAUGUACUAGAUAGCCUUCUCACACCUCUGUCCACAAGUGGCAGGAGAUCUGUCAUUGUGGGUUUGGUGGUGCCGAGAGGAAGGCCUAAAUAUGCGAACGGCAUUUUCCCCACUUCACAUCCAAACACAGAAGUAAGAUCAUCCGCUGCUAUUGGGUUUACAUUUAUGGGCACCAAUAUACACUUCUGAAAGUUUAUUUUCUGUCCCGAUGAUAAGGCAAAAUCUGGUAAAACCCUUUGGAGAUGUAAGAGUUGACCACUGCAGGCUGGAAGGAUGAUGAUCGUGUCAUCGGCGUAUUGAAUUAUGGAAAAAUUACCAUGUCUCGGGAUUGGUAAGCACAAAUUUCCCUUAGAAAAUCAUCAUUGAUCACAUAUUGCAAUAGUUCAACCGUAAGGACAAACAGUAACAGCAACACGGGUUCACCCUAACGUACACCUCGUUUGCAGCGAAAGGAUUUACCCGGUACAGUGUUUAGCAGGAACGAGGAAUGACCCAAUUCCAGCAAAACUUUGACCCAAUGUAUCCAUCUGUUAUCAAACCCCAACUUCUCUAUCAUAGAAAAAAUAAGCUCAUGCUCUACCAGAUCGGAAGCUUUUUCAAAGUCUAGCUUAAGGAGAACAAUUUCUCUGCCAGAGUGCUCGUAUUGGUGAAUGUAUUCGAAGGCCCAAGCCAGGCAGUCCUGAAUGGAUCCACCCUUGAUAAACCAAUAUUGGUUCUCAUGAAUGAUCUUUAGGAGUAGUUUCUAUAAGCAAUCAGCUAACAACUUUGUCAACAGUUUUAGAUAACAGUUGAGCAGCGAAAUGAGGCGAAAAUCAUUCACCGUAGAGGGGUUUAAUUCUUUUGGUAUAAGAGUGAUUAGGGAUGCAUUGAGAUAAUCUAGCGAGAUGUUACCUUCCCAAAAACUCUGACACAGAUCAUAGAAAUCAAACUUUAUUAUGUCCCAAUAGGAUUUUAAGAAACAGCCAUUAAAACCAUCCGGACCCGGGGCCUUGUCCAAGGGUAAAUUAUUAACUAUGGUGUGUUUGUUGGGAUCCGGUGAAUUGUGAGUUUAUGAUCAGAUAUAUCCAUGAAAUUUAUUUGAGUUUUCUCGAAACUCUUUUAUGCAUGAUUGUUAUACCCUGGUAUUUCUUCUUCGGUUUAUUGGUUUGGUUCGGCCAACUAGAUUGAUUUAUCUUGCCAUGGGAAGAGGUGCUUUGUGAUGGGUUCGAUCUUGUGGUGCUCAAUCCCAGUGACAGAAGGGCACAUGACAUGCAUCUAUCAUUGCUAUUAAGGGUAACAAGAUGGGACUUAUUCAUAUGUGAGUUUAUCUUGUCUACAUCAAGUCAUCUUUCUUAAUGCAUUACUCCAUUUUUUUCAUGAACUUAAUACACUAGAUGCAUGCUGGAUAGCGGUCGAUGUGUGGAGUAAUGGUAGUAGAUGCAGAAUCGUUUCGAUCUACUAAUCUUGGACGUGAUGCCUAUAUACAUGAUCAUUGCCUUGGAUAUCAUCAUAAUUAUUUGCUUUUCUAUUAAUUGCCCAGUCGUAAUUUGUUUACCCACCGUAUGCUAUUUUCUCGAGAGAAGCCUCUAGUGAAAACUACUGACCACGAGUCUCCGAGGUGCCUGCCUCACCAUUGUGAGUGUUGCAGGCUAGCCAGCUAUCCUCUCCCAUGUAAAAGCGGGUCAUAAGUGAGGCGAGGGCUGCCAUGGUCCUCGGCUUAUCUUGCCCGAGCUGUCGGGUAAGCCAUUCAUCUCGAAUAUUAUUUUUGAACGCCGCGAUGGCCUCGGCGUUGGAGCAGUCUAUGAUAUGAUUCUUUUUGGUGAGGAACAUAUUCCAGAACUUCUGAGCUGAAUUGCCGGAUUGUUGUAUGACGUGGCUAAGGUCGUCGACGUCCGUAGGUUGGACGUAGGUUCCUUAGAAAUUUUCCCUAAAGGCAUCCUUGAGGGUUUCCCAGCUCCCGAUGGAGUGAGGAGGCAAGUUGUUGAGCCAAUGCCUUGACGGCCCCUUUAGCUUGAGCGACAGAUCCUUGAUGGCGUGGAGGUCAUCUCCAUUGGCCACAUAGCUGGAUCCUUGAUGGCAUGGAGGUCAUCUCCAUUGGCCACACAGCUUGAGCGGCAGAUCCUUGAUGGCGUGGAAAUCAUCGAUCCACAUAGCUGGAUCGGUUGUGCCAUCGUAUGAUUCUAUGUUGAUGUAUUUAAACCCGUCCGGGAACUGAUGUUCCAUUACCCUGUCUGUAACACAGAUAGGGUGAGCGGGACCUCGGGUCUGAGUAGUGUCACGUCGGAUAUUGGGGAGAUCCAUGAGUAGGCCUGGUCCUGAGCUCGGUCGUUCCUGUCCAUCCAUGCAUCAUAGCCGUGCGUCCCAUGGGUUCCGCCUUCUGGAUUCGUAAAUGGGUCAAGACGGCGCACGAUUUGCUUCUAUUCGACGUCGAACAUCAUGAGGAUCAAGGUAGUCCAUGGGGUCCUUGCCAUGAUAGCGUGAAGCCGGUUGGGUGUGGAAAUUUUCUCGCACUAGUCUGUCACACCCUCUAAGGUGGCGAUCUUCUUGAGCUUGCGUUGGUUUUUCCCUUGAAGGGGAAAGGGUGAUGCAGCAAAGUAGAGAUAAGUAUUUCCCUCAGUUUGAGAACCAAGGUAUCAAUCCAGUAGGAGACGAGGCACAAAUCACCUAAUACCUGCACAAACAAUCAAACAACUUGCACCCAACGCGAUAAAGAGGUUGUCAAUCCCUUCACGGUUACUUGCAAAAGUGAGAUCUGAUAGAGAUAGAUGAAACUGAACAAAAGGGUAAAAUAAAUUUUGGUAUUUUUGGUUUAUAGAUCGGAAAGAAAAAGAUUGCAAAAUAGUAGAUCGAGAACUAAUACGAUAGAAAAUAGAAGAUCGGAAACUUAUAUGAUGGAAAAUAGACCCGGGGGGGCAUAGGUUUUACAAGAGGCUUCUCUCAAGAUAGCAAAUAAUAUGGUGGGUGAACAAAUUACUGUCGACCAAUAGAUAGAAAAGUGCAAAGUUAUGACGAUAUCUAAGGCAAUGAUUAUGAAAUAUAGGCAUCACGUCCAUGUCAAGUAGACCGAAAUGAUUCUGCAUCUAUUACUAUUACUCCACACAUCGACCGACUCCUGCCUGCAUCUAGAGUAUUAAGUUCAUGAAGAGGAAUUAACUCAAGCAAUAUGAUGAAAACCCCAUUUUUUUUAUCCUCGAUGGCAACAAUACAAUACGUUACUUGCUGGCCCUACUGUCACUUGGAAAGGACACCGCAAGAUUGAACCCAAAGCUAAGCACUUCUCCCAUUGCAAGAAAAACCAAUCUAGUUGUCCAAACCAAACUGAUAGCUCGAAGAGAAUUACAAAGAUAUCAAAUCAUGCAUAUAAGAAUUCAGAUAAGAUUCAAAUAAUAUUCAUGGAUAAGCUGAUCAUAAAUCCAUAAUUCAUCGGAUCUCGGUAAACACACCGCAAAGAAGUAUUACAUCGCAUAGAUCUCCAAGAACAUUGAGAAGAACAUGGUAUUGAGAAUCAAAGAGAGAGAAGAAGCCAUCUAGCUACUAGCUAUGGACCCAUAGGUCUGAGGUAAACUACUCACGCUUCAUCGGAAGGGCAAUAGAGUUUAUGUAGAAGCCCUCUGUGAUCGAAUCCCCCUCCGGCAGGGUGCCGGAAAAGGUCCCUAGAUGGGAUCUCAUGGGCACAGAAGGUUGCGGCGGUGGAAAAGUGUUUUCGUGGAUGCCUCUGGUGGUUUGGGAAUAUAUGUGAAUAUAUAGGCGAAGGAAUUAGGUCAGGGGAGUCAUGGGGGGCCCACAAGAAAGGAGGCACACCCUACCCCCCUGGGUACACCCUCCACCCUUGUGGCCGCCUCGUGGAUCCUCUGACUUGAUCUCCAAGUCACCUGGGUGUCUUCUGCUCCAAGAAAGAUCAUCGCGAAGGUUUUACUCCGUUUGGACUCUGUUUGGUAUUCCUUUUCUAUGAAACUCAAAAACAAGGAAAAAAUAUAAACUGGCACUGGGCCCUAGGUUAAUAGGUUAGUCCCAAAAAUAAUAUAAAAUAGCAUAUUAAUGCAUAUAAAACAUCCAAAACAGAUAAUAUAAUAGCAUGGAACAAUCUAAAAUUAUAGAUACGUUGGAGACGUAUCAAGCAUCCCAAGCUUAAUUCAUGCUCGUCCUCGAGUAAGUAAAUGAUAAAAAUAGAAUUUUUUAUGUGGAAUGCUGCCUAACACAUUUAUCCAUGUAAUUUUCUGUAUUGUGGCAUGAAUGUUCAGAUCCAUAAGAUUCAAAACAAAAGUUUAAUGUUGACAUAAAAACAAUGAUACUUGAAGCAUACUAACAAGGCAAUUAUGUCUUCUCAAAAUAACAUGGCCAAAGAAAGCUUAUCCCUACAAAAUCAUAUAGUCUGGCUAUGCUCCAUCUUCAUCACACAAAAUAUUCAAAUCAUGCACAACCCCAAUGACAAGCCAAGCAAUUGUUUCAUACUUUUGAUGUUCUCAAACUUUUUCAACUUUCACGCAAUACAUGAGCGUGAGCCAUGGACAUAGCACUAUAGGUGGAAUAGAAUAUGGUGGUUGUGGAGAAGACAAAAAGAAGGAGAUAGUAUCACAUCAACUAGGCGUAUCAACGGGCUAUGGAGAUGCCCAUCAAUAGACAUCAAUGUGAGUGAGUAGGGAUUGCCAUGCAAUGGAUGCACUAGAGCUAUAAGUUUAUGAAAGCUCAAAAAGAAACUAAGUGGGUGUGCAUCCAACUUGCUUGCUCACGAAGACCUAGGGCAAUUUAAGGAAUCCCAUCAUUGGAAUAUACAAGCCAAGUUCUAUAAUGAAAAAUUCCCACUAGUGUAUGAAAGUGACAACGUAGGAGACUCUCUAUCAUGAAGAUCAUGGUGCUACUUUGAAGCACAAGUGUGGUAAAAGGAUAGUAACAUUGCCCCUUCUCUUUUUUCUCUCAUUUUUUAUUUGGGCCUUCUCUCAUUUUUUGGGCCUUUUUUUCAUCCGGGGUCUCAUCCCGACUUGUGGGGGAAUCAUAAUCUCCAUCAUCCUUUCCUCGCAUGGGAUAAUGCUCUAAUAAUGAAGAUCACCACACUUUUAUUUACUUACAACUCAAGAAUUACAACUUGAUACUUAGAACAAAAUAUGACUCUAUAUGAAUGCCUCCAGCGGUGUACCGGGAUGUGUAAUGAAUCAAGAGUGACAUGUAUGAAAGAGUUAUGAACGGUGGCUUUGCCACAAAUACGAUGUCAACUACAUGAUCAUGCAAAGAAAUAUGACAAUGAUGGAACGUGUCAUAAUAAAUGGAAUGGUGAAAUGUUGCAUGGCAAUAUAUCUCGGUAUGGCUAUGGAAAUGCCAUAAUAGGUAGGUAUGGUGGCUGUUUUGAGGAAGGUAUAUGGUGGGUGUAUGGUACCGGCAAAAGUUGCAUGGCACUACAGAGGCUCGCAAUGGUGGAAGGGUGAGAGUGCGUAUAAUCCAUGGACUCAACAUUAGUCAUAAAGAACUCACAUACUUAUUGUAAAAAUCUAUUAGUUAGCGAAACAAAGUACUACGCGCAUGCUCCUAGGGGAAUAGAUUAGUAGGAAAAGAUCGUCGCUCAUCCCCGACCGCCACUCAUAAGGAAGACAAUCAAUAAAUAAAUCAUGCUCCGACUUCAUCACAUAACGGUUCACCAUACGUGCAUGCUACGGGAAUCACAAACUUUAACACAAGUAUUUCUAAAAUUCACAAUUACUCACUAGCAUGACUCUAAUAUCACCAUCUUUAUAUCUCAAAACAAUCAUAAGGAAUCAAACUUCUCAUACUAUUAACUGCACUUUAUAUGAAAGUUUUUAUUAUAUCCCUCUUGAAUGCCUAUCAUAUUAGGACUAAAUUUAUAACCAAAGCAAAUUACCAUGUUGUUUAGAGACUCUCGAAAUAAUAUAGGUGAAGAAUGAGAGUUCAACAAUUUCUAUAAAAUAAAGCCACUGUCAUGCUCUAAGAAGAUAUAUGUGAAGCACUAGAGCAAAAUUGCCUAGCUCAAAAGAUAUAAGUGAGCACAAAGAGUAUUCUAAUAAAUCACGAUUCAUGCAUGUCCCUCUCAAAAGGUGUGUACAGCAAGGAUGAUUGUGGAAAACUAAAAAGCAAAGACUCAAAUCAUACAAGAUGCUCCAAGCAAGACACAUAUCAUGUGGUGAAUAAAAAUAUAGCCUCAAGUAAAGUUACCGAUAGACGAAGACGAAAGAGGGGAUGCCUUUCGGGGCAUCCCCAAGCUUAGGCUCUUGGUUGUCCUUAAAUAUUACCUUGGGGUGCCUUGGGCAUCCCCAAUCUUAGGCUCUUGCCAAUCCUUAUUCCAUAGUCCAUCAAAUUCUUACCCAAAACUUGAAAACUUCACGACACAAAACUCAAUAGAAAAUCUAAUAAGCUCCGUUAGUAUAAGAAAAUAAAUCAGCACUUUUGGUACUGUUGUGAACUCAUUAUUUAUUUAUAUUGGUGUAAUAUCUAGUGUAGUCCAACUUUUCCAUGGNNNNNNNNNNNNNNNNNNNNNNNNNNNNNNNNNNNNNNNNNNNNNNNNNNNNNNNNNNNNNNNNNNNNNNNNNNNNNNNNNNNNNNNNNNNNNNNNNNNNNNNNNNNNNNNNNNNNNNNNNNNNNNNNNNNNNNNNNNNNNNNNNNNNNNNNNNNNNNNNNNNNNNNNNNNNNNNNNNNNNNNNNNNNNNNNNNNNNNNNNNNNNNNNNNNNNNNNNNNNNNNNNNNNNNNNNNNNNNNNNNNNNAAGCAAACAACACAUAGAAAACAGAAUCUGUCAAAAAGAGAAUAGUCUGUAGUAAUUUGUAACUCUCGAAUACUUCUGUAACUCAAAAAAAAAUAAAAAUAAGGACAACCUAAGCAAUUUUUUUAUAAAUCUUCUUAAAAAUAAUCAGUAUUUUAUCACGCUUCUGUUAAAAAUGAGAAUUUUUUUCUUGAGCGCAAAAGUUUCUGUUUUUCAGCAAGAUCAAAUCAACUAUCACUGUAAGCCAUCCCAAAGGUCUUACUUGGCACAAACACUAAUUUAAAACACAAAACCCCAUCUAACCAGAGGCUAGAUGAAUUAUUUAUUGCAAAACAGAACCUUAAAAGCAAAUAAAAAAAAUAAAACCGGGUUGCCUCCCAACAAGCGCUAUGGUUUAACGCCCUUAGCUAGGCAUAAAACACAAAUAGAUCUAGGUAUUGUCAUCUUUGGUAUGCAAUCCAUAAGUUGCUCUCAUAAUAGACUCAUAAGGCAAUUUAAUUUUCUUUCUUGGAAAGUAUUCCAUGCCCUUCCUUAACAGAAAUUGAAAUCUAAUGUUUCCUUCUUUCAUAUCAAUAAUUGCACCAAUCGUUCUAAGGAAAGGUCUACCAAGAAUAAUAGGACAUUUAGGAUUGCAAUCUAUAUCAAGAACAAUGAAAUCUACGGGCACAUAAUUCCUAUUUGCAACAAUAAGAACAUCAUUAAUCCUUCCCAUGGGUUUCUUAAUAGUGGAAUCCACAAUAUGCACAUUAAGGAACAAUCAUCAAAUUCAUGGAAACCUAACACAUCACAUAAAGUUUUUGGAAUCGUGGAAACACUAGCACCCAAAUCACACAAAGAAUGGCACUCAUAAUAUUUAAUAUUAAUCUUAAUAUUAGGUUCCCACUCAUCAUAAAGUUUUCUAGGGAUAGAAACUUCUAAUUCAAGCUUUUCUUCAAAAGAUUGCAUCAUAGCAUCAACGAUAUGUUUAGUAAAAGUUUUGUUUUGAUUAUAAGCAUGAGGGGAAUUCAACAUGGAUUGCAAUAAGGAAAUACAAUCUAUGAAAGAACAAUUAUCAUAAUUAAAUUCCUUAAAAUCCAAAAGAGUGGGUUCAUUGCUACUUAAAGUUUUGACCUCUCCAAUCCCACUUUUAUUAAUUUUUGCAUCAAGAUCUAAAAACUCUGAAUCAUUGGGAUGCCUUUUAACUAAAGUUGACUCAUCUCCAGUCCCAUCUUUAUCAAGAUUUAUAUUGGAAAACAAAGAUUCAAUAGGAGCACAUCAAUCACUUUAAGAACUUCAUCAUUAUUUAAAGACUCCGGUUUAGCGGCCAUCUUAUUUACUAAGGUAGCUUGUUUAUCAGAAAUUUGUCCCACUAAAUUUUCAGCAUGAGAAAACUGAGAUUUCAAACCAUAAAAUUCCUUAGACAUAUCAUCGAGCUCUUUAUUCAUGUGCUCCAUAAAACUUUUCUGCUCCUCAAGCUCAUUUCUAAAGAAACUAUUAUGCUCAAAUUGUAAAGACAUGAAGCUCCUAACAUUAUUUUCAAAUUAUUCCAACCUCCUAAAGUGAGGCUCAAUGCUCUUUGGUUGAGCCAUAAAGGAAAGCAAGCACACCGACGCACGGGCAAACAAAAAGCAACGAAGAAGAUGAACGGAAGAGGGGUGUAGAAAAAGGCAAAUCUUUUCGAAAAUCAUUUUAGAAGUGGGGGAGAGGAAAACGAGAGGCAAAUGAAAAAUAAUGUAACGCAAGAGAUGAGAGUUUAUGAUGGGUAAUUGGUAUGUCGUAACUUGGCAUACAUCUCCCCGGCAAUGGCGCCAGAAAUUCUUCCUACCACUUCUUGAGCUUGCGUUGGGUUUUCCCUUAAAGAGGAAAGGGUGAUGAAGCAAAGUAGAGAUAAGUAUUUCCCUCAGUUUGAGAACCAAUGUAUCAAUCCAGUGAGAGACAACGCACAAAUCACCUAAUACCUGCACAAACAAUCAAACAACUUGCAUUCAAGGCGAUAAAGGGGUUGUCAAUCCCUUCACGGUUACUUACAAAAGUGAGAUCUGAUAGAGAUAGAUGAAACUAAAUAAAAGGGUAAAGUAAAUAUUUUUGGUUUGUAGAUCGGAAAGUAAAAGAUUGCAAAAUAGUAUAUCAGAAACUAAUACGAUGGAAAAUAGAAGAUCAAAAACUUAUAUGAUGAAAAAUAGACCCGGGGGGCAUAGGUUUCACUAUAGGCUUCUCUCAAGAUAGCAAAUAAUACGAUGGAUGAACAAAUUACUGCCAAGCAAUUGAUAGAAAAGUGCAAAGUUAUGAUAUAUCUAAGGCAAUGAUUAUGAAAUAUAGGCAUCGCUUCCAUGUCAAGUAGAUCGAAACGAUUCUGCAUCUAUUACUAUUACUCCACACAUUGACCGACUCCUGCCUGCAUCUAGAGUAUUAAGUUCAUGAAGAACAGAGUAACACAUUAAGUAAGAUGACAUGAUGUAGAUGAAUUAACUCAAGCAAUAUGAUGAAAACCCCAUAUUUUUAUCCUCGAUGGCAACAAUACAAUACGUGCCUUGUUGCCCCUACUUUCACUGGGAAAGGACACCGCAAGAUUGAACCCAAAGCUAAGCACUUCUCCCAUUGCAAGAAAAACCAAUCUAGUUGGCCAAACCAAACCGAUAGUUCGAAGAGAAUUACAAACAUAUCAAAUCAUGCAUAUAAGAAUUCAGAGAAGAUUCAAAUAAUAUUCAUAGAUAAGCUGAUCAUAAAUCCACAAUUCAUGGAUCUCGGCAAACACACCGCAAAAAAGUAUUACAUCGAAUAGAUCUCCAAGAAUAUUGAGAGAACAUGGUAUUGAGAAUCAAAGAGAGAUAAGAAGCCAUCUAGCUUCUAGCUAUGGACCCGUAGGUCUGAGGUAAACUACUCACACUUCAUCGGAAGGGCAAUAGAGUUGAUGUAGAAGCCCUUUGUGAUUGAACCCCCUUCCGGUAGGGUGCCGGAAAAGGUCCCUAGAUGGGAUCUCACGGGUAAAGAAGGUUACAGCGGUGGAAAAGUGUUUUUGUGGAUGCCUCUGGUGGUUUGGGAAUAUAUGUGAAUAUAUAGGCGAAGGAAUUAGGUCAGGGGAGUCACGGGAGGCACAAGAUAGGGGGUGCGCCCUACCCCCCUGGGCGCGCCCUCCACUCUUGUGGCCGCCUCAUGGCUCCUCCGACUUGAGCUCCAAGUCUCCUGGAUGUCUUCUGGUCCAGAAGGUUUUAUUUUGUUUGGACUCCAUUUGGUAUUCCUUUUCUGCGAAACUCAAAAACAAGGAAAAAACAGAAACUUGCACUGGGCUCUAGAUUAAUAGGUUAGUCCCAAAAAUAAUAUAAAAUAGCAUAUUAAUGCAUAUAAAACAUCCAAAACAGAUAACAUAAUAGCAUGGAACCGUAAAAAAUUAUAGAUACGUUGGAGACGUAUCACGCACAUCGGCGCUUAUCUCGUCAUCGAACUCAUGCAACAGACGCCUACGAGGAUAAGAUUUGGGUGCGCUAUGGUGUCACUCUUCGAGAUCUUGUUCAACCGAGAGUACUUCAACCCACUUUUUCUUCAGUGCAUCUAUAUUGUCUUGUAGCUGCCGCUCCUUGCCUUUCAUACUUUGGGCGGUGGCAACGAGGCGUGUAAGUGCAUCUAGUGCCCUUUAGUGAUUUUUGUGUAUUGAAGACUUAUAGGAAAAGGGACUAAUGCGUUUGUGAGUGUACACAAGACUAUAAGUCUAUGAGGAGUUUGAUAUUUAUAGAGAAAGUCGACCCCUAAAAAUGAAUGUCUUCAACUGAGACUUUGGAUUUUUGAAGACUUUCUGAAGACUUUGAAAGUGAAGAAAUUGGUGUGACUGUGAAGACUUGGUAUUCAUGCGAGGAACAUGAAGCGUGAAGACUAUUGUUUUCAUAGUUUCAUUUUCUCUUUCUUGAGUCAUAGGAAACACCGUACUAUUAAACGGGUCGAGGUAAAACUAAGGAAGAGUUUCCAAGUGAUCCUCAUCUCAAAAUCCUACACCUACCAAUCCCUUUGAGUGAAGCCAUUGGAAAUCUCAUAUAGUUCAGUCAAUUUCUUCAGUGAGCAGAGACGAAGUUCUUCUGCUCUCUGAGGAAUUUGUUCUGACUGAGGAGUUAGGAAUUCGCCAGUGCGGAUUGCCUACGAGUGAGGAACAUGGUAGCCCUGAGGAAUUUGAACCUCAAAUUUCUGACCGUUCUUGUGCUAUGCGCCAGCUGUCCCAAAAUAUCUAGUCACCUAACGGUCAUAUCAUUGAAGGGCAUUUAUGUCUUAUCAUGUUGGGCUGCUCCCUAGGCUAUAAAUAGUCGCGCCCCUACAACUACUAGCUGGUUGGCUGCUCCGCGAGAAACUGACACUUGUCAUUGAGAGCAUCCCAUCCUUCGAGGACUUUGAGCGGAAAUCAUCAAGUGAGGAAAAACCAAAACCCCAAACCAAACACCUACAAACCCAAAGUGAUUAAGCAUCACUGAAGAGAUUGUUCAUGUGUGGAACUGACGAUUGUUACCUUUGAGGACUGUGCAUCCUCCAGACGGUUAGGCGUCAUGGUCUAGAGCAUCCAAGAGGAAAUUGUGGAUCACCAAGUGACCGAGUCUGUGAAGGUUUGGAAGUCACCUGAAGACUUACCACGAGUGAUUGGACGAGGCCUGUGUGACCUUAGUUCAAGGAGAAUACGGUGAGGACUGUGUCCUCGGGUUUAAAUACCUAGCCGCUCCAACCAGACGUACGACUGUCACAGCAGUUGGAACUGGUCUACCAAAUCAUUGUCUUCACCGAGCUAACUGGUUCUAUUUCCUCAACCCUUCCAUUUCCUCAUUAUUGUGUUGUGUACCUGUUCAUAUCUGUUUGAAGACUUUGACUGAAGACUUUCUCAAUUUCCUCGGUUCAAUUUCUUCAGUCAGUUUGUCUUCAGCCUGCAUAUCCUGUGUUUACGCUUUCUGUACUCUGCGCUUGCUUUCAUUUCUUCAUGAUGACUGUGCUAUGCUCUGUUAUGUUUGCACCUGAGUACUUAUUCCGCCGCAAGUAGUUCUUCGCUUAGGAAUUUCCUCACCCUGAAAUUCCUCAGUGAAGAAUUCAUAAAAAUCGCCUAUUCACCCCCCUCUAGUCGACUUAACGCACUUUCAAUUGGUAUCAGAGUAAGGUACUCCCUUGUUCUGUGUGAUUUUGGUUUAACUGCCUGGAGUUUUAGUUAUGUCGACCACGGGAAUGAAGACAGUGACAAGCCCCAUCUUUGAAGGUCAUGAUUAUUCCAAGUGGAAGGCCAUGAUGAAGAAGCGCCUCAUGGCGAUGAACAACAAACUUUGGACCAUCACUGAGAUUGGUCUUACUAACCUAUGCAAGAUGGCGGAGGCUGAUGAUAUUCGCAAGUACACUCUACUCAACCUCACGGCGAAAGACAUCAUCUGCUCUCGCUUGUUGCAAAGUCAGUUCAGGAACGUUAUGCAUCUCUGCCAUGCGAAGCUCAUCUGGGACCGUCUAUCUGAGGUCUAUGAAGGUCAUCGAACUCAUCAUGAUCCCUGGUUUGGGGAAUUCAAGGAAUCACGAAAGGCUAUGACCUUCAAUCCGGGAACAUCAUCCUCUUCACCAUGCCUUAUGGCAAAAGGUGCCAAGGUAACUGAAUGUUAUCUAUUUGAGUCCAGUGAUGAUGAAUCUGGUGAGGAAUUUGGACCCAGCUAUACCAAACUUGCUUCCUUGCCAUUAAACAACAAAUAGCUUUGGAAAAAUUUCAAAACAUGUUGGAUGAGAACGAUGAUAUGUUAGGUUAAGAAAUGGAUAGUCGAAAGCUUUGGCUGAAAGUCUUCAGAGACUUCAGACUCAGUUUGAUAAUCUUCAGAGUCAUCAUAACACUCUCUUAUCUGAUCAUGAGAAGCUUUCUUAUGAAUUUGUUCAAAGAAAGCAUGAUUUUGAGAAGUUAAGAGUGAGUUAUGAAGAUCUUCAGAAGGAGCGUGAUUCAUUACUUGCUCAACAAAUCAGCACUACUCAGAAAGAAUGUAUUCCUCCAUGUUUGAAGUGCAUUGAACGUGAAUCUGCUUAUUCUUCACCUGAAAGUUCAAAUGCUUCUAUUUCUGCAAAUUGUUCACCUGACUAUGUUGUCACAAAUUCCUCAUCUGAGGAUGCUGCUAGUAUCACUGACCAUGCAGGGCUAAAGGAAUUGUAUUUGACAGACAUGUACAAAAGCCUCAAAGGGCAUCAGGCUCUUUGUGAUGUGCUUAAGAAGCAGAUCCUCAACAGGAACCCUAGAAAAGAUGGUAUUGCCUUUGAGAGGAAACUCAAUGCUGAUGGGACCUACUGGAAGCCUGAGCAGUAUCCCAAAACCUCAUGGGUUGCUGCAAAGGGACCUUCAAUGGAUCCAUCUACUUUAUCUGGGUUUACAUGUGAAUCUUCGUAUUCUUAUGAUGAGUCAUUUGACUCCAAUUAUAAAUCGUUCAAAAAUCAGAAUGGUGAAGUAUUUGCUAGAUAUGUUGGCACUAACUGCAGGAACGGUCCUCCUAUGAAGAAAAUAUAGGUUCCCAAAAGGUGCCUUGAAAGUCUUCAGGUGAAUGUCAUCAUGACACCACCUGUGAAGAAUAGGAACCCCAGAUCAAAUUCUUCAUAUGGACCAAAGUCUUCUUAUGGACCAAAGUCUUCAUAUGGAUCCAAGUCCUCAUAUGGACCACAUUCCUCACAUGGAUCAAAGUUCUCAUAUGAACAUUAUCGUGCUAACACCUCUGAUUUGCAGGGAAAGGCUAAGGGUUAUGGAUAUGUGCAUUAUUCUUCAAAUCAUUAUGUUCAUAAAUCCUUGAAGAAUUUCUCUGCUUAAUCAUAUGCUUACCCUAACCCCUCUUAUGUGAAACGAAGUGGAUUGGCAUCUAUGCCACCUUUCUCUUAUGGAGCUCGCAGAAUGAUGAACUCUUUGCCACCCCUCCAGAUGUGGGUGGUGAAGAAAAAGAACUAACUUCUUAUGCAUGGUCAGGUCUCCAAACGAACCUAAAUGUCUGAAGAAUUUGCUGGAGACCUGAAUAUGCUUGAAAGGACGCAAGCUAAUCAUGAAGAAAUGAAUUUUCAUUUCUCAUGUCCUCAUACUACUUUACCUGUUCUAUCGCUUGAUGAAAUUGAUCCAAUAAAACUGAUGUCAUAUUCUUCACUGAUGAAGUAUAUGAGAUUGUAGGAUGCACCAAUUCAUCUGCAGGAUGAUUAAGCCCAAGCCACCGAGUGGGGCCUCGAUAGUGGAUGUACAAAUCACAUGACUGGUGACAGGAGCUUAUUGAUGGACAUUGCUUUAUCUCCAUCGCAUCUGAAGCAUAUCACCUACGCUGACAAAGGAAAAAAGCAAGGUAUUGGGUCUAGGUAAGGUUGCAAUCUCAAAGGAUCGACACAUGGAGAAAGUCAUGCUUGUCGAGUCCUUAGGGUUCAACCUCAUGUCUGUCUCAAUGCUUUGUGAUCUUGAUAUGGUUGUUGUGUUGUGAUCAUGGAAGCUGACAAUUCCAAAGUCUUCGAAGGCUUUAGGAGAGGAUAUUUGUAUAUUAUUGAUUUCUCUACAGGACCACAACCUGCUACAUGUCUACUUGCAAAAGCUUUAGAAGGCUGGCUAUGGCAUCGAUGACUUGGUCAUGCUGGCAUGAGGAACUUGCACAAGCUCGCGAAGAAGAAGCAUGUCAUCGGCAUCGAGGGUGUCAAAUUCCUCAAGGACCAUUUGUGUGGAGCUUGUGAAGCUAGAAAGAUGACCAAGGCCAAGCAUCCCUCAAAGACCAUCAUGACUACCACUCGUCCAUUUGAAUUUCUUCACAUGAAUCUCUUUGGCCCUACUCAUUAUGCCACAUUUACCAAUGCUGCAUCUCUAUAUGGCUUUGUCAUUGUUGAUGAUUAUUCUCAUUAUACAUGGGUGCAUAUCAUCACUUACAAAACUGAAGUGCAGGAAGUCUUCAAACGGUUUUCCUCGAGGGCUUCAACCAACUUUUGUGUGAAGAUCAAGCACAUCAGAAGUGACAAUGGAACUGAGUUCAAGAACAUCGUUCUUGAUGACUAUCUUGAUGAACUUGGUAUUACUCAUGAGUUAUUUGCUCCUUAUACUCCUCAGCAGAAUGGCGUCGUGGAGCGCAAGAACGGGACUCUUGUUGAGAUGGCUCGCACUAUGCUUGAUGAGUACAAGAUGCCUUCUCGCUUCUGGCCUGAGGCAAUUGAUAUUGCGUGCCACAUCAUCAACAUGUUAUAUCUUCACAAAUUCUUCAGAAAGACCUCAUAUGAACUCCUCAUGGACAAGAAGCCCAAUGUGAGUUAUUUCAAAGUUUUCGGUGCUAAAUGUUGGAUUAGAGAUCCGCAUCACAAUUCUGAAUUUGCACGGAAAGCACAUGAAGGUUUCAUGCUUGGUUACGGUAAGGACUCACACACCUACAGAGUCUUCAACACCUAUCACCACAAGGUUGUUGAAACUGUAGAUGUGCGGUUCGAUGAGACUCAUGGCUUGCAAAGAGAGCACCUACCUCCUGUGCUAGAUGAAACACCACCUAAGGAAUCCAUUAAGUUCAAGGCUACUAAGGAUGUCAUUCCUACUGAAGAAUCUACUGAAGAAGUCAUUCCAGAACGUGAAGAACAUUAUGCUGGUGCACCUGAAGAAAAUGGCUCUGAAGAAAAUGUUGAGCAAAUUCCUCGUCGUCAACCAGCUCAUCCUCGCGUUGCUAAUGAAGUGCAGAUUGAGAGAAUCAUCAACGACAUCAAAGCACUAGGUCCUCUCACACGCUCAAAAGCUUCACAUUUGUCUAACUUCUGUGGGCACUUUGCUUUCGUCUCUAUCACAGAGCCCACUAAGGUAGAUGAAGCAUUUCUGGAGCCUGAGUGGAUUCAAGCGAUGCAAGAGGAAUUACAUCAGUUCGAGCUCAACAAUGUGUGGGAACUUGUCAAGCGACCAGACCCUCACAAGCACAAUAUCAUCGGCACAAAAUGGAUCUACCGCAACAAGCAAGAUGAAAAUGGCCUUGUGGUGAUGAAUAAGGCACGGCUUGUAGCUCAAGGCUACACACAGGUUGAAGGAAUUGAUUUCGAUGAAACUUUUGCACCUGUUGCUAGACUUGAGGCUAUUCGCAUAUGACUUGCUUAUGCUAACCAUCAUAAUAUCAUCUUAUAUCAAAUGGAUGUGAAAAGUGCAUUCCUCAAUGGUAAGCUUGAGGAAGAAGUAUAUGUUACUCAACCCCCAGGUUUUGAGGAUCCAAAGCAUCCUGACAAAGUCUUCAGACUCAAUAAGGCCCUCUAUGGCCUCAAGCAGGCCCCUCGGGCGUGGUAUGACACUUUGAAGGAAUUCCUCAUGAAGAAAGGCUUCAAACCCGUGAUGAAUUUGCCUAUAUGAUGAGUGAAGAAUAUCAAGUGUCUAUGAUGGGGGAAUUAAAAUUCUUCUUAGGUCUUCAGAUUCGUCAACAACGAAAUGGCAUAUUCAUAUCUCAGGAGAAAUACCGCAAGGAUGUGUUGAGGAAAUUCGGCAUGCAAGAUUGCAAAGGCGUCAAAAUCCCUAUGCCCACAAAUGGCCAUCUAUGCACUGAUGAAAAUGGUAUUGACUUCGAUCAAAAGGUAUAUCACUCCAUGAUGGCUCCUUAUUGUAUUUAUGUGCAUCUAGGCCAGAUAUUAUGCUUAGUGUUUACAUGUGUGCCCAUUUUCAAGCUACACCAAAGGAAUCACACCAUAAGGCUGUGAAGCAUAUUCUUCGAUAUCUAGCUCACACUCCAACACUUGGAUUAUGGUAUCCCAAGGCCUGGACUUUUGAUCUCAUUGGAUAUUCAGAUUCUGACUAUGCUGGUGAUCGUGUGGACCGCAAAUCAACAUCAGGCACAUGCCAUUUCCUCGGACGAUCCUUGGUCUGUUGGUCUUCGAAGAAACAGAACUGUGUAUCAUUUUCUACUGCUGAAGCUGAGUACAUUGUUGCUGGUUCGUGUUGUGCUCAAUUGCUAUGGAUGAAGCAAACUCUCAAGGACUACAACAUCAAUGUGAAGAAUGUGCCACUCUAUUGUGACAACGAAAGUGCUAUCAAGAUUGCUCAUAACCCACUUCAGCACUCAAAGACAAAGCACAUUCAGAUCCGUCAUCAUUUUCUUCGUGAUCAUGUGUUGAAGAGAUUUAGCAUGUUGCGGUGUGAGCUAAAUAUCUUAGAAUCUUCGAAUGUCCUUUUAAAAGGACACACAUCCUAACACUUAUGGAAAUUGAUGACUUAGAUGUGCAACAAGCGAAGUAACAUUUUUCGUCAAUCAAUGAAGACUAACCCUCUAACUGUGAAGAAAUUAAUGAAGAAUUUGAUUUGCAGAGCCCUACGCCAAUUGUACGCGGCAUCUGAAAUCAACAUUCUUAUACAGUGGGUCACGCCACCAACAAAAUUUGAAAAUCUUCAAUUUGAGUUUUUCUUUAGUCUUGAAAUUCCUCAGUUGAUUUCUUCAACUUUGCAAUGUCUUCUAUCUCUCCGUCGUUUUUCUUCAUUGACUAUAUAUAUUUAUAUGAGCUGAUGUCCUCUACAACAUUCACUUAUAGCUAUUUCAACUUGAUCUUUCUGCUAAGUGAAUGUGAUCGGACCCUUCCCCUUCUAUGCUAUACUCAACCCAGUCUGUUCACAAAUUCUUCAUGUGCGUUCUAUUUGAAACCUGUUCAAAAUUUUCACUGUGUCCUUGUCAGCUGAAGAUUCUGCGAACGAAACCUUAAAAUAUUCUAAUCUGAAUUUUCGGCUGUUGCCGCCUAAACCGUUCCACGUCCCACGAUAAUACUUAUCUUUUCACCCAUGAUCUCACACACGAUCUCCACCUCUCCGUACGUGGGUGACACAUGUCACAAGGAUGAGAAAGGUCAGGGGCACGUUCAUCCAUUUUCCUUGGGAGAGCAGUUUUUCGUCGUGGCUAUAAAUACCCCCUUCUCUUCCUCACCCCCUCGCUCGAGCUCUCAAAACCUAGUGCCGUCGUUGUCGGUGUUAAAACCGGCAUAUCUCGGGUAGGGGGUCCCGAACUGUGCGUCUGAGGUUGAUGGUAACAGGAGACAGGGAACACAAUGUUUACCCAGGUUCGGGCCCUCUCGAUGGAGGUAAAACCCUACGUCCUGCUAGAUUAAUAUUGAUGAGUAUGGGGGUUACAAGAGUUGAUCUACCACGAGAUCGUAAUGGCUAAAACCCUAGAAGUCUAGCCUAUCUGAUUAUGAUUGUCUCCAUGGACUAAGCCCUCCGGUUUAUAUAGACACCGGAGGGGACUAGGGUUAUACAAAGUCGGAUAUAGAGAAAGGAAUCUUUAUAUCCGAACGCCAAGCUUGCCAUCCAUGCCAAGGAGAGUCCCAUCCAGACAUGGGUGAGAGUCUUUGGUCUUGUAUCUUCGUAGUCCAUCAGUCCGGCCCAUGUCCAACAGGGCGGACGCCCGAGGACCCCUUAGUCCAGGACUCCCUCAGUAGCCCAUGAACCAGGCUUCAAUGAUGAGGUGUCCGGCGCGCAGAUUGUCUUCGGCAUUGCAAGGUGGGUUCCUCCUCCGAAUACUCCAAUACAGUCUUCGAAUAUGACUAACAUGUCUGGAUCUGCAAAACAAGUACUACACACCACCGCAGAGAGUAUAAUAUUUCACGAGUCCAAUCUACUGACAAUUUUUUAUAAUGUGACACCACGUCAUCACCCGGUCAUUAUUUCGAACCUUUUUUGUCCUGCCACUUCGAGAUGCGGUCUCAUUGGCAUGUCUUGUCAAAGCAGAGAUCGUGUACCCUUAUUACGACAUUCUCAUCAAUACGGGCGUGGGUAAUCAAACCGUGCCAUUUGCACAGCCCUUGGGAACAGGCGAGUUUUAAGGUGAGUGGGGAGGCGCUUGAUAUUCAGUGCCUUUAUAAGGAGAUAAGGAUUCCCUUAUUUCACCCACGACUUCCCUCUCUCUCUCUCUCUGCCCUCCCAUUCUCGAGCUCCAGCACCCAAGUCCUCAUCUUUUUCGCCUCAAGAAAGCACUCGACCAUGUCCGGAUCUGGAGCGCAAGGCAAGUGGAUGGCCUCCUCCGUCAAGGAGAAGGACAUCACCGAUCUUCGGGAGGCCGGGUACCUGGUGAAAGAAAUCGCCCACCGGCUUCCGGCCAAGGGUCAAAUCAUCCCCACCCCGAAGCCCAAUGAGAGGGUGGUGUUCAUCCCCCAUUUCGUCUGCGGGUUAGUGUUUCCUCUCCACCCUUUUGUCCGCGGACUCAUGUUCUAUUAUGGGCUAGAUUUCCAUGAUCUAGCCCCGAACUCCUUCCUCAACAUCUCGACAUUCAUUGUCGUGUGCGAGGCCUUCCUCCGAAAUCCACCCCACUUCAGACUGUGGCUCAAGAUCUUCAACGUGAAGCCGGAGGUGGUGGACGGCCAAUACGCAGAGUGUGGAGGUGCCAUGGUGCGCAAGAUGCCUAAUGUCUAGUGGCCCAAAGGUACCUUCGUGGAGACCAUCAAGGGGUGGCAAAAGCUGUGGUCCUGGGCCACAGCUCCUGAAUUCAAAUCCGGGGGCCCCAACGUGGCUUAUCUCCUGGCAAGAGAAGGGCCUGGAUUGGUCUUCGUCGGACGAGCUGACAGCGCUUCAGGCGCACAUCAGGAGCAUGAUGGACAAGAACGUCCAGCUUGUUGAUGUGAUUCAGGUGAUGCAAAUUCGUCGGAUCCUUCCAUGCUAGAGCUGGGCUUGCCACCAAUGGGAAUUUGAUUCGGCCGAACACAAGACCCUGCAACGGUUCUUCGGGACUACACACGAAGACAUCUGGAAGGUGCUCUUCAAGGACAAUGAGACGUGGCCGAAGACAACCGAAGACCAUGGGCACGACCUGGCUCAUCCCGCCAGUUCGGUAAGUUCUCCAUGUUUCAAGGCAUAUCCCUUACUUGCUUACUCAAGGAGGAUGUCCCAACUUCCCUAUCUGUUUUUUUCAGGGUUGGACGAAGAAGGCGGAGUGGAUUCAGUGUCCGGCUCCGCUGCCUGAGGACCCAGCCAUCCCGUGCUUGGCGAAGAUGCUAGUUCUGACGCCCUACAAGGCACCGAAGAAGAAGGCCAAGAAGAAGGCCAAGGGGACCAGAGGUGACCUCCGCCCCAAGGGUACUUCGGACAUGGUGUCCGAAGACGCCGAAACUCACUCCGCCGCUGAAGAUGACAAGGAGGAGGAAGAGGAAGAAGAAAGCAACUCCCCCUCCCCGAGGGGGGAAAGAAGAGGGCGGCCUCCACAAAUCUGGAGGCGGAGGUGUCCAAGAAGGGGAAGACCUCCCUCAUGGAUAGCUCCGCAUGGGACGUCGACAGCAGCCCAGAACGGCGCCCCGGGAUAAGCCCCUGGUCGAAUCAUGAGUAUCCGAAGACCCCGACACAUUCAUAUACCAGCCUUUUUUACUUUAUGAUUUUAACAUGUUGAACCAUGUACUUGUAGUCCGGCUCAUUCCGCCCUUGAGGGAUCCUCGUCUUCGGGGAACUCGCUGGACCCGAAGGCGAUGGACAGCGGGUCCCUUCCGACGGCCUCCUCUCCCAAGGUCAUGGAUGACACUGAGGUGUUGUCCCGAAGGAUCCCAGGACAGGGAGAGACGCAGGAGGCUGUCAGGUCGGCGCCAGAGGGCAAGACCUCAGCCGCCGAACACAUGGGGGAGCAGAUCCCCAUGGAGACUGGCGAUGGGGGCCAUGUCCAAUUCGGCCCCCAGCCGGAUACGGUCCUGGAGACCUAUACGGCUCCGAAAUCUGGCAGACAGCCUCCUUCAUCAGAAGGAGGUGUGCCUAUUACGCCGGUGAACUCUAUCCAACCAGAGGCACUGGAUACUCUACUGGAAGCACUGCAAAGUGCUUCCAUCGUUGAGGAACACCGUACCCUUACGGGUGUGGUGAUUGAGAAGAUUCAAUCCUUGGAAAGCGGACUGACCGAAGCAUGCACAAGUCUUCUAACAGGCUUUGAGGUAAGCAAUGUAACUUUGUGAAAAGAAAAUCACAGUAUAGAUAGUAGCCCCUAAGACUCUGUUCGGUGUUUGGAAAGAAGAGCCGAACAGAGGAUCAAACAGUUUUUUUGUAGGAGACUAACCAGAUAUGUUUAUGUGAAUAAGCAGGCGUCGCUGUUGGCCGCGACCUCUCAUGCCGACAAAGUCUCCGUACUGAAGCAGAGGUUGGAGCAGACCGAGGAAGAGCUCGGUCAUGCGAAAAAGCAGCUGGAGGACAAUCAAGGUAUUCAAUGUUUUUGUGUAUAUCCGGGAGGGAUGAAUGUUUGUGCACUGACCAUAGUGCCGCGAUAUUUUCGUAGGGGCAGCGACCGAGGUAGAGGCCCUCAAGAAGGCGCUGGCCGAGGCCGGGGAGAGGGCGGCAGAGGAACGAGCCGCCCGAGAGAAGCAUGAGGCCCGGAUUGGUGAGCUCCAGCAGGAGCUCCAAGAUGUCGUUAAAAAAUACGAGUCCUUGGAGCGCCAAAAUGCGAACCAAGAGUACGAACUUGUGAGGGUCCGCCAAAGUGCACAAGAGGCCCGGGCUGAAGACCAAGGCGCCCUCCAGGAAACCCAAGAGGCCAAGAAGAGUGCACCGGGUAAGGCUUUUAUUAUGAAAAGGAAGUAUGUGAAGACAAGAUAUCUCUUACUGACCCGGAUUUGGAGUUCUCCAAGGGCGUUUGCGGACUUGCCGCGCAAUGUUUCUGACGCUCCGGCAUUCUCCCGAGCCGAAGAAGGGAGCUCAACGGAGAAGCUGUUCUGGUCACAAUACCUUGCACCAGAACAUCCGGUGCCCUUUAGCGACGAGCUAAAACAGCUGGUCGAGCUACAUAGGAUCGCCGAACUUGCCAUAAAGGACUUAAUAAUCCGGCUGUGGCCUGCAGAAGCUAUGCCCGGCAGCUACUUCGGACUCGUGAAGCGGCUGGUCCAUGCCUACCCUCGACUUGACGCCGUCAAGCGGUCGGUCUGUAUAGAAGGUGCGCGGAUGGCCUUCGCUCGUGUCAAGAUGCAAUGGGCGAAGAUGAAUGCCAUCAAGCUCGCGACUGAAGGACCGGCCGAGGGAAAGGAGCACCGCACGCCUACGCGGUAUUUCGACGAUGUCCUGGAGGGAUUCGCAUUGUAGCGGAGCAAUGUGCUAAGGACAUUAUUUUCGAAUGAGUAUAUUCAUGUUAUCCCGUCUUGUAGUAUUAAACAGAGCUGUUAUGUAAUAGAAUGCUUGUUUAUUUGUUGAAGUUUUUACCUCCUGUGCGGCCGUUUUUAUUAAAUCUGAGGGUUGGCCAGUCGUCGGCUUCAGCCCCCACGUAGGUAGUACGGGGGUGUUCGGGAUGAAUCUAAACACUUUUUAUCCCAACAUUUGGUCCUUAAAGGAGGUGUUUAGCGCUACGAACCAGGCAAUCAGACUAUGUGGCUUUAUCACCCUCACUUAGCCAUAGGAGUUUGAUAAUAAAAAUUUAGGCGCAGCCCCUAGUAUCCGAACUAGGGUGCUGUAAACACCUGACUGGAAAAGAACCGAUUCAUCACAUAAUGCGGAAAAAAUCGCUAAAGAUUUGAAACCUCCGAAGAGCUGACCGGCUCACGCCGCAUCAUGGCAGUCAGUUUUCAGCUUUCUCUACUGAGGUGCUCAUCCGGAUAAACCAGGACACAAUCGAAGUAGUUCUCCCUUUACUACCCUAGCCGAUAUAGAGGAAUGUAAGGUAGUAAGCACAGCAGCCGGGCAACCCAACUAUUGACCAAAGACAUGAUUCGGAGCCGAUGCAUAUAAUGCUAAAUUCGGGGUGCCGAACUGUACUGUAAAAAGUGUUCGGACUUUGUUGUCGUGUUAUGGGGCACAAUGAAGCCCCUGGCGGAAUAAAGUGUACCAAAGUGUACGGGUGCGAUUUGAUAAGAUAAUAAAAAGAACAAACUAGUGCCGCAGAAGUUGGGCUGCAAACUGUUUCCAUUAUAGUUUGAUUAAUAUGUCAAAGCGUAUUUUGUACAAGUAGUGCGAUAAGCAACAGUGCCUAUUUAACAUGCCAAGACCAAGGAGGAGCUGCGUACGGGUCCUAAAAGCGGGUAGAAUGAUCGUUGAGAAGAACAUCUAGAGAUUCCCCGGCACGUCUAUGCUACUUGCCACCUUGGUGUGUCCGUCCUUCGAAAGGACCAAUUAGGAGGCCGUUGAGACGGGCCUGCGGAAGAGAAACCUAAAAAGGAAAAAAGAAAAAAGAAAAAAAGUGAAAGUAUGUGUGUCCAGGGGAGGUCAAGCCGUAUUAUGGAUCCCAAUCUGGUUAUGCCUCCGUCUAUGCCCAUGGUAUUUUGAGUGCGUAAUUAUGUACGCGCGGCACGAACGCCGCCACUUGGUGGGGUCUGGGACGGAGGCCAAAUUGCUAGUCGAGCUCUUGACGAGCUAGGCUGUCCUGCUGUAGAGUAGUCCGGACUCGUUUGAUAGUGUCCGGGAGUAUGGCCGCAGAAUUAAGGUUUUUGCUUAUGGAGGCCGCUCUGUAUCUCUGGUGCCAGGGCAAUGGUGUGCUCCUCGGUACGGAGGGAGCGCUCCGUGUUUCCAUUGACUGUUAUGACACCGCGUGGUCCGGGCAUCUUGAGCUUGAGAUAAGUGUAGUGUGGCACCGCAUUGAAUCGGGCAAACGCAGUUCAUUCGAGCAGUGCGUGAUAGCCAUUGCGGAAGGGGACAAUAUCGAAGAUUAACUCCUCGCUUCAGAAGUUGUCCGGAGAUCCGAAGAUGACCUCCAAUGUAAUGGAGCCCGAGCAGCGGGCGUCUACACCUGGUAUAACUCCUUUAAAGCUGGUUUUGGUGGGCUUGAUUCUUGAUGGAUCAAUGCCCAUUUUGCGCACUAUAUCCUGGUAAAGCAGGUUGAGGCUGCUGCCACCGUCCACCAGGACUCGUGUGAGGUGAAAUCCAUCAAUUAUUGGGUCGAGGACCAGUGCAACUGACCCUCCAUGAUGGAUGCUGGUCGGAUGGUCCCUGCAAUCGAAGGUGAUCGGGCAUGACGACCAUGGGUUGAAUUUUGGGGCGACUGGCUCUAUCGCAUAGACGUCCCUGAGCACGCGCUUGCGCUCCUUCUUGGGGAUAUGGGUAGCAUAUAUCAUGUUCACCAUUUUGAUUUGAGAGGGAAACUUCUUCUGUCCCCCUGUGUUCGGUGGACGGGGCUCCUCGUCAUUGUUCUCGCUUUGCUACCCCUUCUCCUUGUCUUCGGCAUUUAAUUUGCAGGCCUGUUUGAAGACCCAACAACUCUUGUGGGUAUGAUUGGUUGGUUUAUCAGGGGUGCCAUGGAUCUGACAUGGGCGAUCGAGUAUGCGGUCUAGGCUGGAAGGGCCUUGAUUAUUUCUUUUAUAUGGCUUCUUCCGCUGUCCAGACUUGGAGCCACGGAAUCCGGCGUUAACCGUCGUGUCAUCGGUAUGAUCACCGUUGCUUCGACGCUUGUGGCUGUUGCGUCGGGGCUUGCCGUUGCUAUUUCUGGCUUUCGAAGUGCCAGGUUCGCUUGUGUUGUUAUUGCUACGAGCCAGCCAGCUAUCUUCGCCCGUGCAAAAGCGGGUCAUGAGUGCCGUGAGGGCUGCCAUGGACUUCGGCUUUUCCUGGCCGAGGUGUCGGGCGAGCCAUUCAUCCCGGAUGCUAUGUUUAAAUGCCGCUAGGGCUUCGGCAUCCAGACAGUCGACGAUCUGGUUCUUUUUGGUUAAGAAUCUAGUCAAGAAUUUCCUGGCUGACUCUCCGGGCUGUUGGAUUAUGUGACUUAAGUUGUCGGCAUCCGGAGGUCGAACAUAUGUACCUUGGAAGUUGUCAAGGAAGGCUUCUUCCAAGUCCUCCCAGCUGCCAAUGGAGUUUUCAGGCAGGCUGUUUAGCCAGUGUUGGGCUGGCCAAUUGAGUUUUAGGGGGAGGUAUUUGAUGGCAUCAAGAUCAUCGCAUCGCGCCAUGUGAAUAUGGAGGAUAAAGUCUUCAAUCCAUACCGCAGGAUCUGUGGUUCCAUCAUAUUCACGGGUUUGAACCCUUCUAGGAAUUCAUGUUCCAUUACUUCAUCUGUGAAGCGGAGGGGGUGUGCGGAACCUCUAUAUCGGGCCAGGUCGCGACGUAUUUCGGAUGGAGUCCGUCUGUGAUUUUCGGCUCGGACGUAACUGUGCUUGCCGUGUUCGGCUCGAUAGCCGUUGUCGCGCGUCGGGGCACGCCCCCGUGAUCCAUAGAUCGAUCUGGCCAGACCUGCUUUAUUCUUCAGGCCCUGCCGGAGAUCAUAUGUGUAUCCUUGAGCAAUUUUGUCUCUGUCUUUACGGCGAGGUGGUACGGGCUGGUGUUCGGCUUGGGUUGCCGCUUUGUCCCAACCACAUGGUGGUCGGUCAGCCGCAUUGUGUGCUGAUGUGCAACGCCCCGGACACACCCGCCGGUGGUCGUUACUCCUGGCGGGAUCUAGACUGGCCCCACAGAUCAAUACUAGUCUUUUCUGCGCACUUUGUCCUCACUCAUGCGCACCCAGGAGCAACUUCCCGGUCAGUCACCCAUCCUGAAAUUACUCCAAGCUGAGCACGCUUAACUUUGGAGUUCUGUCCGAAUGGGCUCCCGGAAAAGAAGGAAUUCCUUAUUGAUAUGAGUAGUCUAUCAUCCCUAAUUGGCGUGCUCAGCUUGGAGUAGUUUCAGGAUGGGUGACCGACCGGGAAGUUGGUCCCGAGUGUGCACGAGUGAGGACAAAGUGCGUAGAAAAGACUAGUAUUGAUAUGUGGGCCAGUCUAGAUCCCACCGGGAGUAACGACCACCGGCGGGUGUGUCCGGGGCGUUACAAGUUGGUAUUAGAGCCGACCCUCGCGGUUACACGGAUGGUUGCGGACAGGUGUGUGGUCAUGUUGUUCAUGACAUUUGUGACCCGUCAUGGCACAUGGCAUGGCAUAUGUACUGGACUGGAAGCACAGACGUAUGUGCCAAGAGGGAACGUUCAUGUGGCCCGAUGAGGACGUCGGUUCCUCUGAGUGGGGGUGUAUGUGACGGCCUGGCUUAUUAGGGAUGAUAGACUACUCAUAUCAAUAAGGAAUUCCUUCUUUUCCGGGAGCCCAUUCCAACAGAACUCCAAAGUUAAGCGUGCUCAGCUUGGAGUAGUUUCAGGAUGGGUGACCGACCGGGAAGUUGGUCCCGAGUGUGCACGAGUGAGGACAAAGUGCGCAGCACUAGUAUUGAUCUGUGGGGCCAGUCUAGAUCCCGCCAGGAGUAACGACCACCGGCGGGUGUGUCCUAGGCGUUACAUGAUGGCACGGGCUCCAACGCCUCGUCAUCGAAUUGAGGUAGUAAUUUGCGCUUCGGGUAACUUUUGAGUGGUCGCUUGAGGCCGUACUCCUCGGUUUCCAGGACGUUAGUCCAUCUGUCAUUGAGUAGAUCUUGAUCAGCUUGAAGAUGUUGCUGCUUCUUUUUCAGGCUCCUUGCAGUGGCUAUUAGCCGGCGCUUGAAGAGCUCCUACUCAAGAGGUUCCUCAAGCACGAUAAAAUCCUUGUUGCCGAGGCUCCCUGUCGGUGUCAAAACCGGCGGAUCUCGGGUAAGGGGUCCCAAACUGUGCGUCUAGGCCGGAUGAUAACAGGAGGCAAGGAACACGAUGUUUUACCCAGGUUCAGGCCCUCUUGAUGGAGGUAAAACCCUACGUCCUGCUUGAUUAAUAUUGAAGAUAUGGGUAGUACAAGAGUAGAUCUACCACGAGAUCAAGAAGGCUAAACCCUAGAAGCUAGCCUAUGGUAUGAUUGUUGUAUGAUGAAGUUGUCCUACGGACUAAAACCCUCCGGUUUAUAUAGACACCGGAGAGGGUUAGGGUUACACAAAGUCGUUUAUAAUGGUAGGAGAUCUAAAUAUCCGCAUCGCCAAGCUUGCCUUCCACGCCAAGGAAAGUCCCGUCCGGACACGGGACGAAGUCUUCAAUCUUGUAUCUUCAUAGUCCUGGAGUCCGGCUGAAGGUAUAGUCCGGCUACCCGGACACCCCCUAAUCUAGGACUCCCUCAAUAGCCCCCAAACCAGGCUUCAAUGACGACGAGUCCGGCGCGCAGAUUGUCUUCGGCAUUGCAAGGCGGGUUCUCCAAAUUUCGUGUACCUGCUGAAUAAUGUCCGAUUUUCGUAAUGUAGCGCACCUUGGCUUCCACGCCCAAUAAUGGCCGUCUUCCACGUGUCAAACGAAUGCGAAAAGUCGGGGUGUUUUUACAUUCACACCCCUAGCCGCAUAAAUGAGCCGCCUAUUUAAUGGGAUGGGGAUUCAGAUCCAAACCACACCUUCUCCUCCCCGCGAGUAAUCAUCAGAGCGCCUCCAGCAAAGGUCCAUUCCAACAUGGCCAGCCGUCGCAGCUCCUCCUCUCGCCCUUCCAGUCCUAAACCUGGAUACUGGGAGAGGUGCUCCAUCCCGCACAACGAGCUAGUGUCGCUUCAGGCCAAGGGAUUUCUCCCUUAGGCCUAUAUGGUCCCGGUCCGAGCCGGACUCGCCACCUAUAAUGGCGGAGAGCAAGCGGAGAGCACCCCCAAUCCCUCCAAAGGAGAGCGGGUGUGCCUCGUCCCUUAUCUAAUAAAAGGACUUGGAUUUCCAAUUCAUGCAUUUCUCUGUGGGCUUCUGGAGUUCUACGGCCUCCAGCUGCACAAUCUCAUGCCCGCCUCUAUAUUGCAUAUCGCAGGCUUCAUCGCCCUUUGCGAGCUAUUCUUGGGUGUUGAGGCUCAUUUCGCGCUGUGGAAGAGGUUAUUCUGCUUGGUACCCCGCUCUCAAGAGGGGUCUAUAUAUCAAGUGGGCGGAGCCGAAGUGUGGCGUAUCGCCAAGAUCGGAUAUCUAUCCGGAACCCCAAAGAAGGCGUUCGAGGACUGGCCUUCAGAAUGGUUUUAUAUAGAUGAUGUCCCGCUGCCGGAUCCUAUCCGGGUCGGUCUCCCCGAAUACAACAGUGCUCCCUUAAAGAAACGCCUAAGCUGGCGUCCGCGGAGCUCUCAAAGAGAAAGCAACAGGGACGUCCUUCACCUGAUGGGUCGGAUAAGACUAUUGGCUCAUUCCGGACUAACCAUGAUUGGAGUCAUGGCCGCAUGCAUUAUGCGGGGGGUGCAGCCGCUUCAAUAUAGAGGCCACCCCAUGUGGGAUUUUAACGGGGAGGAUGACGCCACCCGUUACGGUCGUAAGGGGCCAGCCUCAGCUGCCACUCUAGUAAAGACCUUAUCCUCUUUGUACAAGGAAGAAGAGGAGGAAUUCCUCCCCGUCAACCCACAGGGUGGAUUUACUAUGUACAACCCUCCGAGUUGGGUAAGUGGACAAUUGUGCUUACCCAUCCGUUUUAUAUUCCCAUGAUUAAAUAUGUAGUCUAACAAUUUCAAUGCAGGAACUGCGUCAGGAAGUAAAGGAUAUAAACAGCCGUCCCCCAUAGCCCGAGGAUCCAGAACGGUCCCUCGAUCCGGACUCCGAAGAGGAUCUGGACAUAUCGGUGGAGCUGAUUGACGGGGUGUUUCAUUAGCUAAGCAAGGACAAUACCUUGGUGGCCAUUACGGCUGAUUACCCAGGGUUAAUCCCGGCCUCCCAGGUAACAGAGAGCGGAGUCUCAUCCCCUUGAGAAGGAAUCCAUUCUCACGCAUUUUAGUUUUCCUGACACGACCGUGUUUUGCAGGGGAGGUUUCUAAGGCAGGAGGCUGAACCUGCGGCGGCUAGCCAACGAGGGGCCGCAGGGCCCCGUGGGGUAAAAAGGAAUGUAGUCCGAACUGAGAUGACGGCGCAAAGGUAUAGCGCACCCUCUUUUUCCCUGGUGUUAUUCCUUCAGGGCAUAUUAACGUUCGUGCUAUCUUUAGGACGAAGAGACCUCGUCGGACUAUAUCCGGAGAGGUUGCCAAUCGCGCCUCCACCAGCCAAGCUCCAACGCCUGGCCCGGAAGCGGAGGCAAACACAAGGCACGCACCGGACGCUCCUCCGACAGAGGAUGCGGACAGGCUGUCUACCACCAAUUCCGAGGUGGAGAGUGCAAUGAACCACAGGCGUCGCCGGACAGUUCUUCAUGACGCUUGUUUCUCCCAAGAGGCAUUAGAUGCCUUCAAUUCGGGAGAUGCGUACCUCCGUGCCGCUCAAAAUGGUUUAGCCAGAGCCACGGAGCAAUAUGUAAAAGACAUACGGGUAAGAAAAUUUUGGCAAAUAUAUAUAUACCAGUAGCCCCCGAGACUUGAAACAGUUAGAGUAACUGAUUUAAGGAUCAUUUGUUAUGCAGGUUCUUACAGAGAAGAAUACCGUACUGUCCCAGGAGCUGGAAGAGUGCAAAGCCCAACUGGAGGCCGCACUAGCCGCGGCAGGGGAGCCCAAAGAGACCCCCUCUAGUAAGAUACACUUUGAAAGAUUAGUAUUUUGCGAAGUGCGGCGUGGGUGUAAAUCUGACAAAUCAUAUUGCAGAUGGCGCCGGACUGGAUCCGGAGAGGCAAAAACUCUUACGCCGGCUAAAGGCCGGUGAGAGUAUGCUGACAAGGGUGAGGCGGGAGAAGAAUGAUCUUCAGGAUGCCAACACCAAGCUGGACGUUGAACUUAAAGAUGUUCGUGGCCAGCUGUCGGACUCUACUAAGGAGAAUCAGCGUCCUCGACGCGGCAUAUUUAGUAAGUGCUUAAGCGAAUCUUUGAAAGAAAAGAGUUCGGCGAGGAAGUCGACUAACAGAGUAAUGUCUGUAGGUAUGCUAACGGGUCGUCCUGCAGAGGAGAUGCCCGGUUCGAUGGGUGACCUUCUUCCCGAGCUCUUGCAACUGCACGAGCGAGUUCGGCAGGCAAUGCGAGGCAUUGCCCAAGCCUUAUGGCCUUCCCACUCCAUGCCCGAGGGCCUUGGAGAGCUUUCGGAAAAGCUUAAGGGAGCUCGGCGAUGCUUCCGGUUGUGGAAGAUAUCGGCCUAUCGACAAGGCGCUAGGGAGGCCUAGGCCAUGGUGAAGACGCGGUACACGAAGUCUGACCCAAACCACAUGGCCUAGGUCGGACCUGUGGGGCCUGACGGGAAGGAGAUCCCUGUAAGCUUAGUGUACGACCAAGUAGAAUUGGCCGCAAAGUAUUCCCAGCAGGACUGUAAGUUAGACAGCUUGCUAGAUGGUAUUGAAGAGGAAUACAAUCAGUUAGAGUGACUCUGUAAUUUUUAAUUGACAUGUGUAAUGCCUUCUAGCAGGAUUGUAGAUCGUUUGUAGUUGCCGACCUUUUCGCUUCAACCUCAGGACCUGACGGUCUGGAGUGUGUCCGAAUACCCUACCGGUUAUGUAAGAACCGGAGUAUGCAUGGAGACCAGGCGUAGGGGUCAUUACUGCUUUAUCAGACAAGUGCCCAACUAGUUAUGUUAUAUUACAUGGUUAGUAAGAAACAUCUUCUAGAGAGAAUAGUUCCGUUAGGGGUUCCUUUCUCUGGGAGGCAUGCCCUAAAGUGCAUGUCCGGACUGCAAACGCUGGAAAAUCAUCUGGGGGCAUAUAUAUAAAUAAGUAAAAAAGGUCAUCUUUUAGUUCAUCGACUGAAUAUUCCCUUAAGAAUGCUAGCUUUCGGCUUCACCCAGUCUGAGGUACACAUCCGGCUGAUCCGACAGUAACAAUCGCAGAGGUGCUCCCUUUACCACCUAGCCGAACAAUCGGGAAUGUAGGGGUAAGCAUAGGAGCCAGGCAACCCAGCUUGGCCAAAACUUAAGUCAUAUCGAUGCAUAUAAUGGUGAAGAAAAGGUACAUGCGGAAGUUUGACACAUGUGGUGGGCAUGAAGCCCGUAUAAAUAAGCUUCUGUUAAAGAAGCCCCCAGGUUUAAUGAGCGCGAGUAGCACGUCACUUGAGGAGCCUUUAAGGGCUAUAAAAGAAAAGAGGGGAAGGAGAGAAAUGUAAGACAGAAAAUGUAAAAAAUGGACAGAGGAAGGAGACAAACACAGAGUCCGGCGCUAGGCAUAGAAUCUUCCGAGACGGGUUGUGUUCCAUGGGUUCGGCCCGAGUCGGUUAUCCGACGCAUCUCGCAGGCGGUAUGCUCCACCAGUCAGGACUUGGUCGAUUAUGAAGGGACCUUCCCACUUGGGCUUCAGCUUGUCCUUUUUCUUGUCCGGCAGGCGUAGAACUAAUUCGCCAACGUUGUAGUUUUUGGCCCGCACUUCUCUGCUUUGAUAUCUUCGAGCCUGCUGUUGAUAGAAUGCGGAACGGGCUUUUGCCACGUCGCGCUCCUCCUCUAAGGCGUCCAAACUGUCCUGCCGAUCGAGCUCGGCUUCACUUUCUUCAUACAUGUGCACUCGAGGUGAGUCAUGAAUUAUGUCGCAGGGCAAGACUGCCUCUGCGCCGUACACCAUAAAAAAUGGUGUGUAUCUGGUGGUGAGAUUCGGUGUGGUCCGCAGCCCCUAGAGUACGGAGUCGAGCUCCUCUAUCUAGUGCGUGUUAGAUUCCUUGAGGGACCGCACUAAUCUGGGUUUGAUGCCGCUCAUGAUGAGACCAUUUGCACGUUCGACCUGACCGUUAGUUUGUGGGUGAUAGACGGAAGCAUAAUCAAGCUUGAUGCCCAUGUUUUUGCACCAGAGUUUUACCUCAUCGGCCGUAAAGUUCGUGCCGUUAUCGGUGAUGAUGUUGUGGGGGACGCCAUAACGGUGUACGACCCCGGAUAUAAAGUCUAUCACAGGUUCGGAUUUGGCCGUCUUAACAGGCUUGGCUUCUAUCCAUUUGGUGAACUUAUCCACCAUGACCAGUAAGUAUUUUUUCUUGUGGGUUCCGCCUUUAAGGGGUCCCACCAUGUCAAGCCCCCAGACCGCGAAAGGCCAAGUGAUGGGAAUAGUUUGAAGGGCGGUGGGUGGCAUAUGGCUUUGGUUUGCAAAAAGCUGGCAACCGACGCAUCGUUGGACCAAGUCCUGAGUGUCCGCCCGGACCGUUGGCCAAUAAAAGCCUGUACGGAAAGCCUUGCUUACAAGGGACCGGGCUGUGGCGUGAUGGCCAUUGAGUCUGGCAUGAAUUUUAGCCAGCAGGUUCCGCCCUUCCUCUUCGGAGAUGCACCUUUGAAGGACUCCGGUAGUGCUUUUCUUAUAAAGUUCUCCCUCAUGGACUUUAUAGGCUUUAGAUCGCCGCACUAUACAGCGUGCCUCGUUUUGGUCCUCUGGGAGUUCCUGCCUAGUAAGGUAGGCUAGGAAUGGUUCUGUCCACGGGGCGAUAACGACCAUUAGUACGUGGGCUGAGGUUGUGAUUUCAUUGGCAGAGCCUCCGAUUAUGUUAGAUUGUUCGGCGUCGGACAGUGCGGUUGGGUCCGGGCUAAUAUUGCCAUGUUCCCCUUCCCAUACUACGGAUGGCUUGAACAACCUUUCCAGGAAGAUGUUGGGGGGACCGCAUCGCAUUUUGCGCCGAUGCGUGCCAGGACGUCUACCGCCUGGUUGUUUUCCCGGGCUAUAUGGUGAAAUUCGAGCCCCUCAAACCGAGCUGACAUUUUGAGGACGGCGUUGCGGUAAGCUGCCAUUUUUGGAUCCUUAGCGAAGUCUCCAUUUAUUUGGGAUAUCGCGAGGUUUGAAUCCCCGCGCACCUCUAGGCGUUGAAUGCCCAUGGAUACUGCCAUCCGGAGACCAUGUAAAAUGGCCUCAUAUUCGGCUGCAUUGUUGGAGUCCAUGUACAAAAUAUGGAGUACAUAUUGAACUAUGUCUCCUGUGGGGGACGUCAAAACGACGCCGGCCCCUAGUCCGGCCAACAUUUUGGAACCGUCGAAGUGCAUGAUCCAGUUUGAAUAUGUGUCGUACUCUUUAGGGAGUUCGGCCUCCGUCCAUUCUGCGACGAAGUCAGCCAAAACUUGAGACUUGAUAGCUCACCGUGGCCUAUAAGUUAUGUCGAACGGGAGGAGCUCAAUGGCCCAUUUUGCAAUCCGGCCCGUUGCGUAACGGUUGUUUAUAAUAUCGUUGAGUGGUACUUCCGAUGCUACUGUGAUUGAACACUCUUGAAAGUAGUGUCAUAGCUUCCGGGAUGCCAUGAAUACCGCGUAUGCAAUCUUUUGAUAAUGUGGGUACCAUGAUUUGCAUGGGGUGAGGACAGUGGACACAUAGUAAACCGGCUUUUGAAGGGGGAAUUUGUGUCCGUCCGUUUCCCGCUCGACGAUGAGUACUGCGCUGACAACUUGAUGGGUUGCUGCAAUGUACAAUAGCAUUGGUUCGCCGAUGUUUGGCGCGGCCAGGACAGGGUUUGUUGCCAAUAUGGCUUUUAUUUCCUCGAGUUCGGCCGUGGCGGCAUCCGUCCACUCGAAGUGUUCGGUGCACCGAAGGAGGCGAUAGAGGGGUAGCGCCUUUUCUCCCAAACGGGAGAUAAAGCGGCUUAGAGCCACCACGCAUCCGGUUAAUUUUUGUAUUUGUUUGAGGUCCUUUGGGAUAUCCAAUUGUGACAAAGCUCGGAUCUUGGCUGGAUUUGCUUCGAUUCCUCUACCGGAUACAAUGAAGCCCAAGAGCUUUCCGGCUGGAACGCUGAAAACGCAUUUUUCCAGAUUUAGCUUGAUGUCAUAUGCUCGGAGGUUGUCAAAUGUAAGCCUCAAGUCGUCUACUAGAGAUUCGACAUGUCUUGUUUUUACGACCACAUCAUCCACGUAUGCCUCUACUGUUUUGUCGAUCCGGUUUGCCAGACAUGUCUGAAUCAUGCGCUGAUAUGUUGCACCGGUGUUUUUGAGCCCGAAAGGCAUUGUGUUGAAGCAGAAUGGGCCGUAUGGGGUGAUGAAUGCCAUUGCGGCUUGGUCUGACUCGGCCAUCUUGAUUUGAUGGUAACCGGAGUAUGCGUCGAGGAAGCACAACGAAUCGUGUCCUACAGUGGCGUCGAUAAUUUGAUCGAUGCGGGGGAGGGGGAAGGGAUCCUUUGGGCAAGCCUUGUUAAGGUCUUUGAAGUCAACGCACAGGCGCCAGGAUUUGUCCUCCUUUGGUACCAUCACCAAGUUUGCUAGCCAGUCCGGAUGUUUUAUGUCUCUGAUGAAUCCGGCCUCCAAUAGUUUGGCUAGCUCCUCUCCCAUUGCCUGUCUCUUGGGCUCAGAGAAACGCCGAAGGGCUUGUUUGACAGGUUUGAAUCCUUUUAGGAUAUUUAAGCUGUGUUCGGCCAGCCUGCAUGGGAUUCCUGGCAUGUCUGAAGAGUGCCAGGCAAAAAUGUCCCAGUUCUCCCGUAGGAAUUCCCGCAGUGCGGCGUCUACAUCGGGGUUUAAUCGUGCCCCGAUGGAAGCUGUUUUAUUGGGGUCCGUUGGAUGGACCUGGAAUUUGACUAUUUGAUCCGCUGGUUUAAAGGAGGUGGAAUUGGAUCUUUUAUCGAGUAUCACAUCGUCCCUGUUUACCAUGGAGCGCAGCGUAGUCACUUCCUCAGUCGCUAGGGCUUCAGACAGUGCCUCAAGGGCCAAUGCGGCUGUCUUGUUUUCGGCGUGGAGUGCUAUGUCCAGAUCACUAGCGAGAGUGAUGAUUCCGUUCGGCCCGGGCAUCUUGAGCUUCAUGUACCCGUAAUGGGGUAUUGCUUGGAAGAUUGUAAAUGCUUCCCACCCCAGCAGAGCAUGGUGUCCGCUACUGAACGGGGCCACUUGGAAUGUGACCUCUUCGGACCUAUAAUUAUCCGGCGUGCCGAACACCACAUCUAGUGUGAUUGUUCCUGUACAGCGCGCUUCCCGACUGGGGAUUAUUCCUCUAAAGGUUGUGCUGCUUCGCUCAAUGCGGUUCCAGUCUAUUUCCAUUUUUUGAAGGGUUUCCUCAUAAAUGAGGUUCAAUCCGCUGCCUCCAUCCAUGAGUACCUUGGUGAGACGAAAGCCGUCCAGUAUAGGACUGAGUACCAAUGCGGCUGGUGCUUGAGCUGUUCGGAAUUUAGGUUCAUCACUGGCAUUAAAAGUAAUAGCCGUGUCACUCCAUGGGUUUAUUGUUGCUACUUGAUAGACUUCGGCGAGGCUGUAGAGUGUUCUUUUUCGCAUAUUAUUUGAUGCGAAAGUCUCGAAGACUGUUAAGACUGUACUGGAGUCCCUGAGGUGGCUUUCUGCGGCCUCCGGAAUUAGGAGAUCUUCGCCCCUUUUGGCCACCUGCCAGAGUAUCCAACAUGCUCUAAGGCUAUGAGUUGAUGUGGCGUCCUCUGUACUAUGAAUUUUACAGGGUCCAUUGAGCCAUCCCUCCAGUACGGUUCCAUGCCCUGUAGAGGGUUUUGGUUUUUUGGUUUUUAACCCGGGUGUCUGAUGAUGAUGCACCCUUUUAUUUCGGAUGAGGUUUCUAUUCAGGGCCGGAUUGUCCCAAAAUUUAGUUUCGGUUUUCCGGGCGCUUUCCAUCGCACAGUACUUUUGUACUAUGGUCGCCAAGUCAGCGAAGCGUGUAAGAUCACGAUGACCUGUGGCGUUGAGGAUUCCCUUGUCCGUGCAAUUAUUGCAGAAGAUUGAGAUUGCGUCUUCCUCGCGGCAGUCCUUUAUCCUGUUCAUAACCAGGAGGAACCUUGCCCAGUAAUGAUGUACUGUUUCUUCGGGCUUUUGCCUGAUUUGGGAUAGAUCGCUUAUGUUCGGGUGGGUGGGUGGAAUUAAAUCCGGAACUUCACCCAAUCUAAGACUCAGAGUCCAAGGAGUUUCCGAACUCUGAAGUUUGGAUUCUUGGAUGUUGUCCAGUGAAUCUAUCCCAUUGCCUGAUUCUAAGUUCAGGUCUUGAGUUACAUCCUCCCCUCCGCGGGUAUCCGGCUUGGAGGGAUCGGGAAUCCGGACGUAGCUAGUCCUUAAGAUAGAUGAAGAGUCGCCGCACUGUGCCUCUACCACGGCAACAUGAUGGGUGACUUGGGGAGAAUUAAUUUCUCUUAGAUCGAGUUUAAGCCCAACCUGGUCAUAAUCCGUAGUGACCCCCAAGGCGGCGAUGCGAUCCAAGAUCUCGUUUACGGAAGAGAGAUCCAUUGGAUCUAACUGCUCGACGAGUUUCGAGCUGACGUGAAGAUUGCUUUCGAUGACCCGAGAGGUCACCGUCGGUGCAACGGCCGAACAGGCGGUCAUGAGAAAACCGCCUAGCCGGAGAGUUUGGCCGACAGCCAAGGCUCCCUUAGUAACGGCGCCGUCUUUAAAGACGGGAAGAGGCAUCCUUCCUGAUUGCGACGGCACAGAGGAACUCUCAAUGAAAGCACCAAUGUCAGUGUCAAAACCGGCGGAUCUCGGGUAGGGGGUCCCGAACUAUGCGUCUAGGCCGGAUGGUAACAGGAGGCAAGGAACACGAUGUUUUACCCAGGUUCGAGCCCUCUUGAUGGAGGUAAAACCCUACGUCCUGCUUGAUUAAUAUUGAAGAUAUGGGUAGUACAAGAGUAGAUCUACCACGAGAUCAAGGAGGCUAAACCCUAGAAGCUAGCCUAUGGUAUGAUUGUUGUAUGAUGAAGUUGUCCUAUGGACUAAAACCCUCCGGUUUAUAUAGACACCGGAGAGGGUUAGGGUUACACAAAGUCGGUUAUAAUGGUAGGAGAUCUAAAUAUCCGCAUCGCCAAGCUUGCCUUCCACGCCAAGGAAAGUCCCAUCCGGACACAGGACGAAGUCUUCAAUCUUGUAUCUUCAUAGUCCUGGAGUCCGGCUGAAGGUAUAGUCCGGCUACCCGGACACCCCCUAAUCUAGGACUCCCUCACUCCCUCAUCCUCAGAAAGUGGAAGAUAAUUGUUGUCCUCCGAGUCUUCAUGCACAGCCUGUUCAUCACGGCUGACUCGCCCAUCUUCCCGUUCAUCUUGUUCGGAAGUUGCCUCAACAGGGUCUUCAUUGUCUUUGGCACCGUCCGGAGUGUUAUCUUCUCCUGUGCCUGUGUUGUUGUCUUUGUUGCGGCAUGCUUUAGAGCGGAGUCACUGACGCCGGUGUUUUGGUUGUAUCUCAGGAGGUUUAUCCUCAACUGGAUCUUCCUUGUCAUCGCCACUAUUCUCUUUUGGUGCAUCUAGCAUGUAUACAUCGUAUGAGGAGGUGGUCGUCCAUCGUCCGGUGAACGGUGGGUUUUCGGCCUGCUCCUCUCUAGCAUUGUCGUCCAUACCGUCGAUGUCUUCGGAGCCGUAAUCAAGCAUGUCGGUUAAGUCUUCGACAGUGGCUAUUAAGUGGGUGGGGGUGGAAAGCGGAAUUCUUCGUCGUUAGCCUCCAGUUCAAACCGGAUAUAGUUCGGCUGAGAGUCCCCCCGCUAAGGAGAGCAUUUUUAAUGAGUUUAGCACGUCACCUAAAGGCGAGUGCCGAAAGAUGUCUGCAGAGCUGAAUUCGAUGAUCGAUGUCUGAUAAAGCUCGUCGUACGCAGACACGCAUGGUUCGGAACUUGUAGCCGGUAACGGGUCCGAGGUUUCGGUGACACGGAUCCCACUCGAGGUUGGGUCGGUGUGCGGCUCUAACGCCGCUGAGUCUGCGGUUUCCAGGGCGGGGUUGAGCUUCCCGUCCUCGGAUGGCGCAAUAUACUCCAGAUCUAGGGCCAGAGCAGUUACAGGCGCUAUCCCUUGGGAAUGGUCCGAUGACAGAUUUAAGUCAUGUUCAUCGUGGCGAUAGGGAGCGGCUGCCAUGGUCUCGAAUCCAUCGAAGAUCAAGUCUCUGCGGAUAUCCGCGACGUAGUUCGAUCUUCCAAAUCUGACCUGACGGCCAGGGGCGUAGCUAUAGAUCUGCUCUAGAUGGCCACGCGAGUCGGCCUGCAGUGCGAAGCCGCCGAAUACGAAGAUCUUUCUGAGGAGGAAGGUUUCUUUCUAGACAACAUUGUUGUAGACGAUUGACGGGGCCAUCGAACCUCCUGACGACGACAUGGUGGAACUCUCAAUGAAAGCACCAAUGUCGGUGUCAAACCCGGCGGAUCACGGGUAGGGGGUCCCGAACUGUGCGUCUGAGGCUAAUGGUAACACGAUACAGGGAACACAAUGUUUACCCAGGUUCGGGCCCUCUCGACGGAGGUAAAACCCUACGUCCUGCUAGAUUAAUAUUGAUGAGUAUGGGGGUUACAAGAGUUGAUCUACCACGAGAUCAUAAUGGCUAAAACCCUAGAAGUCUAGCCUAUCUGAUUAUGAUUGUCUCCACGGACUAAGCCCUCCAGUUUAUAUAGACACCGAAGGGGACUAGGGUUAUACAAAGUCGGUUACAGAGAAAGGAAUCUUUAUAUCCGAACGCCAAGCUUGCCAUCCACGCCAAGGAGAGUCCCAUCCGGACACGGGUGAGAGUCUUCGGUCUUGUAUCUUCAUAGCCCAUCAGUCCAGCCCAUGUCCAGCAGGUCGGACGCCUGAGGACCCCUUAGUCCAGGACUCCCUCAGCCACUACUCCCAUCGUCACCGGUGAGGAAGAGCUUCGCUGCCUCGACCUCGUCGCCGUCGUACUCGCACCGGCCACGGAUUUCUUCGCUCCGUCGCCGCCGUAGUUGUCUUCCUCUGCCAAGUUAGGGCGUGGAAGAUCUGGACUGAUGAACUUCCAAUCUACAUUCCCAGUUCGUCAUGUUCUUCGUCAAGGGUAAUUAAAAGCUACUUUUAAUGCCCUUAUUGAUUCAAGUGAUUUCUUCGAAAUCUUCAAAAGGUGUUUAUUCUUCAAUCUUCACACUCUAAACACCUCAUACAAACAUUUGUUCUUGAUUUGUUUCCCUAAGCAACAUUUUUCUUCAAGAUUCCUCAAUUGUGUGGAUUUUCAAUCCAUACAACUCUGUAACCUAAGUCAAAGAACGCUUAGUGAAAUUCCUCAAGACACAUCUGGUCAAAUUCCUCAAACUUGUUCUUAUUUGCAAGAACUUCUGAGAACGCAUAUGACCUCUCCAAAUUCUUCGCACCUAUACUCUGUUCACGGGUACUCAUGUCUGCUACUGAAUCACUAGGUUCUCAUCAACUUAACUCAUUUGCAGUGUUCCUUGAAGAAAGACUGCAUACCUCUUCAGAGAACUCAAUAGUUCAUAAUCCUCAGCUGAAGAAAAUGGAAGAUGGCAAGAAACCUCAUAAGAGAGGCAAGAAACUAGAAGUCAACACAGCUUUUGAAAUCCCUGAAUAUAUCUAUGAUGGGUACUGCACACCCCCUCAAGAAACCAAGAAUGAGCGCACAGUGCACAUUCAGAAAAUUGAGAGGAGAUGGGCAAGAGAAUGGAGGGACUACCGAUAUGUCACUCCAAGUACAUGAAGAAAUUCGCUCUUCACCCUCCUUGUCCAAGACCUCCAUUGGCACCUGGCCAAAUUGCAGAUCCCACCGGCCUCAAGCGCGGUGAGGAUUAUCAUGAUCAAUGGGCAAAGCGUCAAGCUAAACUGACCAAGAUAGCAAAAGAAGUAGUGAGGAAAUUCAAUGAAGACUCUGCUGCUGCUACUGCCACUGCUGAGGCCUCUGCUAGCAAGCCCAAGAAGGCCAAAGAAGCCCGCAAAUAAGCCCAAUGCUUCUUAUUCAAUGCCCUCAUGGCCAAGCUCCUCAGCUACGCCCUCAUGGCCCAGUUCUGCAAAGCCCUCACGGCCAAUUCCUCAAGCUGCCCCAGUUCCUCAAGCUUCAAAACCCUCAGGUCCUUCGGCAAAGUUCUCAACACCUGUGCAUAUCGCCUCGUGUCAAAGGACCACGGGCAAAUCAAUUGCCUCAUAAGACUCUACAAGAUCUUCAGCUCCUCCUCAUUCAUCAACAUGCCCCACAUUGCUGAAGACUAAGGCCACUGCUGGACGAGGCACUAGACCAAGUCCUCAAAAAAAGCAAGUCGCCUUCCAAGUACCGUCCACUGAUGACGAAGCUGAUGAUGAGGAACUCGCCGAAAUCAUGAUAGACAGACAACAAAGGGCCGCUAGAGCCAAAGGCACAGAUGUGUCUAUGCUUUUGGAUCCAAAGUUGAUCCUCGACUUCAUUGACCUCUGGCACAAGGAUCCCAACACUCCUAUGCCUAACUUCAACCUCACUCCUGGCCAAAGUCACAUGUUGACCGCCUUCAUAGGCGAAGAAAAGUGGAAAUUUGAAAAGGCCAGGAAAUUGAAGAAAGUGCAGUAUAAGAAGGAGCGCUUUCUGAAGAAGAACAUUGUCAAAAUGACAACUGAUGAACUUGUGGCUAUUCAAUCUGAAAUCAAAAAUCUCAAUGAUGAAUUUGAUGCCUACCAUGCAGAUUGCAAGGGAGCCGAAGUCAUUUUUGUGAAAUUGGCAAAGACAUUCACCUCCAAUGUUGCUACUCAAACGUACAUUGAAAUUCCGCAGGCUGACGCUUCUGCUUAGCCGACUGAAGAACAUGCCAGCAUCGCUGAUGAAAAUCAGGUUGCUGAUGAAACUGCUAGUACCAGGGCUGAUGACUCCAUUCCAGCCUCUGAUGAAAAUGCCAGGGCAACCACUAGUGUUUCGCCUGAAGAACAUGCCAGGCCAGCUCAAGCUUCAACCGCUGUGCUUGAAGAAACUAAAAAUGCCAGAGCAACUGCAUCAGUUGUGCCUAAGGUUACUGAACCAAUUUCCUCUGCUCCUCCUGCACCAACGCCAAGUCCAGUUCUUCCUUCUGCAUCAAAAGUGAAGAAACCCAAGGCUGCGGAGCGAGCAGCAGUGAAGAAAAGGAAAGCAUCUACUCCAUCAGAUUCUUUAGCACCGAAGAAGAUGAAGAAAUUGACAAGCUCUUUUGUGAAUCCAAUUGAUGCUAUUCCAGUUUCAAGCAUGCCAUCAAAGGAACUCGUUCCCUUUGGUGAGGAUUAUGAUAUCCCAAGCGGAUCUGAUGAAGAUGUUCCUUUUGCUGCUUCUUCAGAGCAGUUGGACGAAGAAAUUGAAGCGGAUAAUAUCCCUUCAACCCCAGUCAUCUCAUCGCCUAUGCCUCAGUUCACAGCUGAAGAGGCAGGCAUUGAAGAAUUGAAUGAAGAAGAUGAAGACGUAGACAUUGGGUGCUCCACUCCAGUGCUGAAUGAUGAUUAUUGGGAUAGUCAGCACCCCAACUCUUCGCUCUUCACGCCACUGCAACAAAUUCCUCAGUCCCCAGUGCACACUGAAGUUCAAAUGGGUUCUGCAGAUCAUCACUCCACUCCUUCCAUUCAUGAAGAAAUUCUAGCCACUAGUGCUGAUGUUAAUGUUGAUGAAGAAUUGAAGACCCAUGCUCAAAAUGGCAAUUUUCCCCGUGGGGGCGGGUAUACGUGGGGAUUUACCCGCUAAGAAGCGGUGAUGGGGAUCAAAAUCCCCCCAUGGGUAUAACAGGGCGGGUACCCGAGAAGCUAGCGGGGCGGGGAUGGGGGGCAAACUGGCUCCAUGGAGGCUCCAGGGAUACCCGAGACCCCACCUAUCAAUCAAACAUCCAACUGAAUAUAUAAAGAAGAAACCCUAAACCGCUCACCUCUCCACUCAUUUCCUCCUCGUUCCCCCGACUCGUAGCCGCAGCCGCCUCGGCUCCUCCUCUCGACCUCUCCCCAUUCCCUAGAUCUAGCCGCCUCCUCUCCCUAAGUCCCCAUCACCAGAUCCACCACCACCGGCGGCGGGCGGCACCGGCCGGCGCCUCAUCCGGCCGCCCUUCCCUUAAUCCUGUCGCCCUCUCCCGCUCCUCGCCUCCUCGCGACGUUGCCUCGUCGUCCUUCGCAUCAAGGCACCGUCCGGCACCUCAUCUGGUCUCGUCACCGUCUCCUACUCCUCGCCUCCUCGCGACCCCGUCUCCUCGACUCCUCCUUCACCUCAAGGCCAGGCAAGGCGGCUGCAAGUGCAGGGUGGUGGCAAUGGCAAGUGCUCCUCUUCCUCAUCCUAGGUGACCGGCGGCUUCUUCAUCGACCCAAGAGGCCGAGGCCAUCAGGGUAAGCAGCUGAAACUUUCUGUUCUUGUAGUUGUUAGUUGUUAGUUCUUGUUGUUGCAUCUUGAAUCUUGCUGCUGACUGUGUAGGAUCUUGUAGUUGUUAGUUCUUGUAGUUGUUAUUUCCCCAUGUAAUUGAAUCUUGAUGUUCAAUGUGUAUGGAUCUGUUAUUCGGUCAGUUAUGAGUGGGUUAUGUUCACUGAAUACUACAGUCGUGUUUCGUCCAACAAAUUAAAUCAGUGUGUGCUUCUAAUGUGGAAGAAAUAGGUGUUAGAUUUACUUUUUGGUUGGGGUGGGUGCUUAUCAUUGAUCAAUAUCUGAUAUUUCUCGCCCACAUUAGUUAGUACCUUUUUUAGUUUUAGUUCAUUUUUUGGAGUAUAUUUGAAGUGCUGGCAUUUGCUUCUCAAGAUGGCUUUAGUAACACUGAAAUAUCUUUGACUUGUGACUGGAUUGAUUUAUGUAUCGUGAAUUGAGUGCCAGCAUGUACUUCCACCUCAUAAUUUCACAAAAAAGCAAUGCAUCUGUUUGGUACCCAGAUCAUGCUUCACACUUACCUAAUUCUAUCAUAUGUGUUGUGUCAUACAUUUUUUCCUUACUGCCUUUCAAAGAAAUAUAAUGUUCACUCACUGGAGUCCUACAAUUGUUCUGUGAAUUAUUUGUCAAAAUCAUCUAAAUAUUUGGUCAGUCACAAUUGAAUGUGUAUGUAUCAAUUAUAUGUGAUCCUUUUAUAUUUAUUCCAGUAGUCCACAUAUCCUUUUAUUCCUGAUUAUUGUGUUGCUUAUCUAUGUCAAACUUCUCUAAAUAUUUUGUUGUGUGCCUUUGUAGCUGACCGCGACGACGACCGGCAACUCGCAUCCUCUUCCUCCACCUCAAGCAAAUAUGCAUCAACCCGAGACCAUCAAGGUGAGCAGCUCACCAGCGACCCAAUUAAAUGUCAGGUUCAGGUGAAUAUGUUGAGCAAGAUAAGCCACUUCAUGUGAAGAGAAAGACCACAUCUGUGGUUUGUAAUGAGUUCAAUAGGGUUCUUGUUGAGAAAAAAAUGGAAGGUUGAAUGUGUAUGGUGUCACGGGCUAUUUUGUGGAGAUCCAAAGUAUGGAACCUCACAUAUGCAUGCUCAUUUAGCAAGAUGUGCUUCUAGGCAGGCCAAUGGUAACUUGCCAUCCUCAACCAUCAUCUUAUUCUUUAAUCUUAAGUAAUGUUUCCAUUUGCCAAUGGUAACUUACUAAUGUUUCCACUUGUCUAAUGUUCAGGUUGAGGAACUGUCGACUUACUAUAUGCCUGCACGGAGCAUUGAAGAAUGAAGAUUGAAGUCCUAGAUAUUUGAUGUUGUGGGAUGUGUGUGCUUUGUUAUGUUUGCCAUGCUUGCAUUUGUUAAGUGUUAAAGAUAGGAACUUUCAGUCGGGUAAUCCAUUUGCUGAAUAUUUGGUCAGUCAUAAUUGAAUAUGUAUGUAUCAAUUAUAUGUCAAAAUUAUCUAAAUAUCCAGCAGUCCACAUAUCCUAUUUAUCUAAAUAUAUUGCAAUCCUGAUUAUUGUUAUAAUUGAAUGUGUAUGCUUCCAUAUUAUUGUGACUAUUGUCAUCCUUUUAUAUUUAUUCCAGCGGUCCACAUAUCCUUUUUAUUCUUGAUUAUUGUGUUUCUUAUUUUGUUGUGUGCCUUUGUUUUAGGUAUGCUUGUUUGGAUCAACAAUGGCAUCAAGUCCAACACAAUCAGAUGCAAGUGCAUCGGCUGCGAAUGGAGAUACACCAGCCUCUAGUGCAGCUCCCACUCCAACGCCAAGCUCUAGUGCCAAUACAACGCCAGCUGAAUCUGUUGACUUGGAGGUGCCAUCUCAAACAACAAGAGCAACUAAACCGCAGGAUGCACACAAGUUGGCUGGUGUGAAGAGAAAGCUCAAGUCUAAGGUGUGGGAUGAAUUUGAGAGGGUUCUUGUGGGCGGAAAAUGGAAGGCUGAAUGUGAAUGGUGCCAUAGUAAUCUUGGAGGAGAAACAAAGGAUGGAACAUCACAUCUUCACGCGCAUUUGGCAACAUGUGCUGCUAGGCAGACCACAACAGCCUGGAAGCAAGCAAAGCUGAAACUGACCAAGGCGGAAGAUGGGAAAGUGAAUGUGGAGAAUUACAUUUUUGAUCAAGAACUAUGUAGGAAAGAACUUGCUUUGAUGAUAUGUUGUCAUGAGUACCCACUUGCUAUGGUAGAUCAUGUAGGUUUUAGGAAGUUUUGUGCUAUGUUGCAGCCUAUGUUCAAGGUUGUGUGUAGGAAUCCAUCCGGAAAGAUAUUCUAGAAAUGCAUGAAGGACAAAGAGAUAAGUUGAUCAAGUACUUUGCAAACUUCAAGAAUAGAGUUGUUGUGACUUCGGAUAUGUGGACUGCUGGACAUCAAAAGAGAGGAUACAUGGUUGUAACAGGUCACUACAUUGAUGGUUCUUGGAAUCUAAAAUCAUUCCUUCUAAGGUACAAUACCAUUGCCCCUAUCUUACUGCUUGUCUGAAUACCUUUGCUCUUAUUCAUGCUUUCUAACCAAUAAUUUAUAAUUUUGUAGGUUUGUAUAUGUACCAGCACCGCAUACAUCUGAAGUGAUUUGUGAUGUUCUACAUGAAGUUCGAGGAGAGUAUCAUCUCGAGAGAAAGAUAUCAACUAUUACUCUUGAUGAUUGCACAACCAACGACGAGGCAGUGGAAGAUCUCCUAGAUAAGUUAGACUCCUCCUCUCUCAUGCUAGGUGGUAAACUGUUGCAUAUGUGUUGUUGUGCUCACAUAUUAAAUCUGAUUGUGAAAGAUGGGCUUGUUGUUUUUGGGGAUGGUAUUGAGAGGGGGCGGGAUAGUGUGGGGUAUUGGUCAGCAACUCCAAAAAGACAUGAGAAGUUCGAAAAAACUUGUCGCUUGAUGAACAUUGAGUACUCUAGGAGGUUGAACCUUGAUUGUAAAACCAGGUGGAACUCCACAUACAUAAUGCUUAGUAUUGUUGUGCUGUAUAGGGAUGUUUUUUAUCGUCUUAGUCUGCGUGAAAUGCUUUUUAAUUGCUGUCCAACAACUGCUGAUUGGGAUUUUGCCAAAGAGAUGAUUGUUAGGCUCAAAUAAUUCUAUGAUGUCACUACCUUAUGGUCAGGAACUAGUUAUGUUAGAGCAAAUAUGUUCUUCCCUAAGGUUUGUGGUAUUAAGUUGGCAAUUCGCAAACGGACUACACCUGAUUAUGAGCUGUUGCAAGAUAUGCCCAUUGAGAUGAAAAAGAAGUAUGAACUGAUGCAACAAAUGUCCAAGGAGAUGAAAAAGAAGUUUCAGAAGUAUUGGACAGAUAUCCAUGGUCUGGUGGCUAUUGCCACUGUUCUUGACCCAAGGUACAAACUCCAUAUGGUGCAGGCUUUGUACGGUCCUCUCUAUGGACCUGAGGCUGCAAUUCAAGAGGUUGCGCGCGUGAAGCAAUUGCUCCGCGAACUGUUGGUUCAAUACCAAGAUGCCUCUUCUGCGGGAACAUCAAAUGUUGCUAGUGCUACACAGUCCAUUACUUCAGCUUCACAGGAAGAAGUUUUUGACAUAUUUGAACAGUACAUGUCUUCACAACCUACUGCGUCAUCUUUGUUGGUUCAUACAAAGCUAGACAUGUAUUUAGAAGAGCCAACCUUGCCAAGAACACCAGAUUUUGAUAUCAUCAAUUGGUGGAAGUUUGGGGGGACAAAAUAUCCAACUCUACAACUUAUUGCUCAUGACAUCUUGCCUAUUCUGGUCACAAUGGUAGCAUCGGAAUCUGUAUUCUCUACAAGUGGUAGAAUCCUUAGCCCUCACCAUAGUAGGCUCACACCAAAGAUGGUUGAAGCUAUAAUGUGUAUGCAGGCUUGAUCUAAUGCUGACAUGCUAGGUAAGACAACUCAAAUGUUGCUCUUUUGCUCCUAUUCUACUUUUGUUUUGUUGUUGCUACACUAAUUUUUUCUUGCUUAGAUAAUUUACUAGAAUAUGUACCUAAAUCAGUUACACUACUGCCAUCUAAAGUUACAUUGCUUGCAAUUUUAGGUGAGAACAAUUCAUCACUCUCUACUGAGUUUCAAACUUGUCUUGAUGAUGAGGAUGAACCAAUGGUAACUUGACAUUCUCAACUUUCAUAUUAUGUCUUGAUUUCAUUCGCAACUUUCAUUUGCAACUUUCAAUCUUAUGUCUUGAUUCCAUGCAACUUUCCAAAUUAUCUUGUACUAUUUCCAUUAUCAAGAUGAGGAACUCUCCACUUGCAAUAACUAUUAGGCUUGUUGCUUGCCUCCAUGGACUCAAGAAUGAAGAAAAUGGAGGACCGAGGAGCUACUGUGAUGGGCUCUUCAAGUCUUCAUUUCAUUUCUUCUGCUUACCAUGCUUGUGUUGUGUUAAGAAUUAGAACUUUCGGCUUGUAAUCGUACUAAGUAUUGCCGUCGUUUGUGCCAAUCGUACUUCCAGUUUAUCAAUUAUGUCAGACUUGAGUUGAGAUGAUUGAAUCUAUCAAACUUAUGUGGUCAGACUUGGGAUAAUUAAAUUUGUCAAAAUUAUUGUGUUUGUGUUGUUAAUUUACUGUUGUGUAAUGUGGUUGUGCUUCUGUACAAGAAGAUUGCUGCCAAAAUUAUUUUGGUUUGUUAUGCCAAUGUAUUGUUGUUUUGUUGCUAUAAUGGAUGAUUGAAUCUGUCAAAAAAUAUUGUGGUUUGUGCAAUUGUGCUCCUCUUUUAUUGUUGUUUUGCUGUUGUUGGUCUCCAUGGGGAUCCCCAUGGGGAUCGGGUACCCGUUGUUAGCGGGGAUGGGGACUGCUUCCCCCCACCCCACCACCACCACCAAGGUUGGUGGGGCUAGCGGGGACGGGUAUUAGCGGAGAUCGGGGCGGGGAUGGUGACAUGCCCCCCAGUGAUCCCCGUCCCUAUUGCCAUCUUGAACCCAGGCUACUACUGAAGCAGAAACUGAAAUUCAUCAGCCUGUGAUUCCUGAGGCUGUGAUGACUUUGACUGACACUCCUCAGCCCAAGCCGAAGAAUCCCUUCUCCAAGAAGCAAAAAUUCAAGGCUGAUGACUUCUUCCAUGAGCAGGUAUUCUUCACAGAUUACAAUCCGUAUGACUCUGCUCGUCUGAGAAGGAAGCGUUUCUGGACCGCAAGCCAAGCCAACUUCUAUUCUUCACUGCUUUUCGAUAAGGACAAAGUAUUUGAUCAUGCACAUAUUCCUCAUGUGGGCAUGGAAUCACUACCUUGCUUCACACUGGUCCUGAGUGUUCUUCAUGAAGCUGGGCUACUCAACUUCUGCACCGACAUCGAAGACUGGAAUGAAGAACUAAUUCUUCAGUUCUAUGCGACGUUGCACAUCACAGGAAAUGCUGAAGAUGUGACUUCCUGGGUGUUAGACUGGAUGACCGAUAACGCUCACUUCAAAGCACCAGCAUCUAAAUUGCUUCAUGCCUUGCCUGUCAUUCCUCCCCUUGAAGGUGCGCAUCUGAUCUAUCAUGAACUUGAGCUUUCAGAUCACUACAUGCAAGUGCUGAUGAAACUGCUGAAGCCUGGUCAAGCCCCAAGGACCAAAUUCCUUGUGAAGGAACUGUUGUAUGUGCCACGGACUGUCUAUCGCAUUUUUACCAAGACGUUGAGUCCAAUCAAAGGCCACGACUCGAAUGAAGAAGAGGUCGUUGGCAUCAUGAAGAAUCUACUUUUCAAUAUCAUCCAUGGAGUUCCAAUCAACUACCAUGAUUUCUUCAUGAGGACUCUGGCAAAUGUUGCAUUAUCAGCUUUUGAGUUGAAGCCUUACGCUCCUUGGAUUAUGAGAUUCCUCAGAUCAAGGUCUUCAAUCAAUUACAAGGCUGAUUUGCAGAAUCACGUCAGCUAUUUGCCCCCAAUUGAAGCCUUCAAGCGACCUAUUUCCUCAUUUGAUGAGAAGGGCAAGGCACAUGCUGUUAUUGAUGAAGGCAUUUGUCCAUUGGAUGGCCAGUUCCGCAAAGCUGCAUCUUACUCCACCGAUGAUGACUCUGCCACUCAUGACUCUACUGCCAAUGCUUCAAAGCAAGAUCCUCAAGCCACAACUCCAAGGGUAUUGGCUGAUCGUGAGCUUCUCCUCAGUCUUCACCAGAAGGUCGAUCGCAACCACAAAUGGGCCAAGUGUUAGUUUGGUUCAAUUCUUUGGAACAUGACCAUCACUCAGGAUUCAGUGAAGAAGAACCAUUACUACCUCCAUGAAGUAUUUGAUUGCACCUGGGUUGUUCUGUCUCAUCUCUACGGUGAAGAUGAUCUCAACAAGAUGGGCUUCAAGCAGGACUUUGACUGGUCUCAGCCACCUUCAAAGAAAUUCAAGAAGGUCAAAGUUCCUCACUUGGUGGCCAGCUCUUAUUCUUCAUCGUGCGAGACGGAUGAGCAUGAAGUUUGGACCACACUGCGGCAUGCCCUACUUCAACAACCGACCCCAACAAUGCUGGCGCUCCUCCAUUGACUCAGUGAUGAUAUUCUUCAGGGGCGUUAGUCCUCACUUUUCAUCCCUUUUGGUCAUUCGAUGACAAAGGGGGAGAAAUUUUGAAUGAGUCUUCAAGCGGGGUCUAUUUUUAUGAGCAUUUUUUGCUAAGUUACAACUCUCGUUCUUCUGAAGAUUUAUUGGAACGAGUUGUAAACUUAAGUCUGAUGGUGGUCUGAUACUUUUGAUAUGUUCUUCCGCAUGCUAUUUCCUCAUGUAUGAUAAUGCACGCAUGCUGAAUUACAUCAGCCACCAUAUUUCAUCAUGCAUUUCAAAUUCUUCAUAUCAUAUGUUAAAUGCGUGUAUGAAUUACAAGAUAUAGGGGGAGAUCUCCAUGAUUCCACUCUUCAAAUGUGCAUUGCUUCAAAAGCAAAUUCCUCACUAUGCACAUCUUCAGGGGGAGUUCUUCUAUAUCUUGCAAUCAAAUUCCUCAAUAUCAGUAUUUACACUUCAUAUGCUCAUCCCCGUUGAAAACUUAACUUAUAUUGUCAUCAAUCACCAAAAAGGGGGAGAUUGUAAGUGCAUCUAGUGCCCCUUAGUGAUUUUGGUGUAUUGAAGACUUAUAGGUUAAUGGACUAAUGUGUUUCCGAGUGUACACAGGACUAUAAGUCUAUGAGGAGUUUGAUAUUUACAGAGAAAGUCGACCCCUAAAAAUGAAUGUCUUCAACUGAAGACUUUGGAUUUCUGAAGACUUUCUGAAGACUAUGAAAGUGAACAAAUUAGUGUGACCGUGAAGACUUGAUAUUCAUGCGAGGAACAUGAAGCGUGAAGACUGUUGUUUUCGUAGUUUCAUUUUCUCUUUCUUGAGUCAUAGGAAACAUCGCACUAUUAAAGGGGGUCAAGGUAAAACUAAGGAAAAGUUUCCAAGUGAUGCUCAUCUCAAAAUCCUACACCUACCAAUCCCUUCGAGUGAAGCCAUUGGAAAUCUCAUAUAGUUCAGUCAAUUUCUUAAGUGAGCAGAGACGAAGUUCUUCUGCUCUCUGAGGAAUUUGUUCUGAUUGAGGAGUUAGGAAUUCGCCAGUGCGGAUUGCCUACGAGUGAGGAACAUGAUAGCCCUGAGGAAUUUGAACCUCAAAUUUCCGACCGUUGCUGUGCUAUGCGCCAGCUGUCCCAAAAUAUCUAGUCACCUAACGGUCAUAUCAUUGAAGGGCAUUUAUGUCUUAUCAUGUUGGGCUGCUCCCUAGGCUACAAAUAGUCGCGCCCCUACAACCACUAGCUGGUUGGCUGCUCCGCGAGAAACUGACACUUGUCAUUGAGAGCAUCCCAUCCUUCGAGGACUUUGAGCGGAAAUCAUCAAGUGAGGAAAAACCAAAACCCCAAACCAAACACCUACAAACCCAAAGUGAUUAAGCAUCACUGAAGAGAUUGUUCAUGUGUGGAACUGACGAUUGUUACCUUUGAGGACUGUGCAUCCUCCAGACGGUUAGGCGUCAUGGUCUAGAGCAUCCAAGAGGAAAUUGUGGAUCGUCGAGUGACCGAGUCUGUGAAGGUUUGGAAGUCACCUGAAAACUUACCACGAGUGAUUGGACGAGGUAUGUGUGACCUUAGUUCAAGGAGAAUACGGCAAGGACUCUGUGUCCGGGACUGUGUGUCCUCAGGUUUAAAUACCUAGCCGGUCCAACCAGACGUACGACUGUCACAGCAGUUGGAACUGGUCUACCAAAUCAUUGUCUUCACCGAGCUAACUCGUUCUAUUUCCUCAACCCUUCCAUUUUCUCAUUACUGUGAUGUGUACCUGUUCAUAUCUGUUUGAAGACUUUGACUGAAGACUUUCUCAAUUUCCUCAGUUCAAUUUCUUCAGUCAGUUUAUCUUCAGCCUGCAUAUCCUGUGUUUACGCUUUCUGUACUCUGCGCUUGCUUUCAUUUCUUCAUGAUGACUAUGCUACUACUCUGUUAUGUUUGCACCUGAGUACUUAUUCCGCUGCAAGUAGUUCUUCGCUUAGGAAUUUCCUCACCCUGAAAUUCCUCAGUGAAGAAUUCAUAAAAAUCGCCUAUUCACCCCCCCUCUAGUCGACUUAACGCACUUUCAAGGCGCCGCCGGAAGCGCUCUUGCUCAAAGGGGUCUUCGGGAACGAUAUAGUCCUCGGUGCUGAGGCUUUCGUCUUCCUCGGACUCGGGCAUAUAGUUGUCGACGGCCCCUUCAAAGAGGUCAUCGGGGUCUAGGUCCUCGGGGAUUCCUUCCGGGGUGUCGUGACAUUCUGAGGAAGUUUGAAGAUCUUCCCCUAGGUCAUCAGCCAUCUGCCGCCGUGCCACCGUUAUCGGCGAUGGUGUUGUUCCCGCUGGGUUCCCCGUUGGUGCCCCGCCCGCAUCUGCGUCGACGCCUGGGGGGUUCUAGGAGUGUCGACCAUGUAUACAUCAUAGGUAGAUGUUGCGGCCCACUUGCCGGUAUUUACUAACAACGAAGUGUUUUUGGUGGGGCCAUCGACAUCUUCAUCCAAGUUCGUGGCCUUCUCAUAGUCUAGCACAUCGAUUAAGUCAUCGACCGUGGCGACUAGGUUGGUCGUGGGUGGGAUGUAAAUUUUCCGAUCGUCGGCUUUAAGUCCAAUCUCGUUGUAAACUGAAGUCUUGCCAUUCGAGAUUGACGUGCUCUGGAUACGGUCAAGCAUCCUGUUCAGGUGAAAUAGAUCUUUGCAGUUAAUGGCUUGGCUGUAAGAGGGGCUAACCCGAAGUACGCCCGACGCAUAACUUCGCGUGUUUUCGGCGAGGUGAUGAUCCGAGGGAAAUUCCAGAUCCUGCGCCCGGGUAGGUUCUAAAUCCAACGUUGCUUCCGAGAUGGGGAACGGACUAGCAUCCGGGCCGGUAUUCAAGGUGAGAUCGCCUGGGACCACUAGGCUAGGCGCCUCCAGUGGUGUCAGGGAGCCUGAUCUGAUGUCCUCGAAGGAGAUCGGUUUCAAAGUCGAGCCUCCGAUGCUUGGUAAACCCUCAACCCGGUCCGGCGUCCGGCCUGAUAGGACAAGCUCGCCGCGAGAGUCCGCGGUGUACUCCAGGCCUCCGAAGGUCAUGAUUUGACCUGGGGCAUAGUUCUCGAUGGAGGUCAGAUGGCCUGUCGAGUCGACGCAGAAGAUCAUGCUUCCAAACACAAAGAGUUAGCCGGGGACGUAAACGUCUCCGUGACCGGUGCCGUAGUUGAUCUGCAGAUGAGCGAUCGAUCUUUUUGUUGAUCUCAUAGUAGAACUCUCAAUGAAAGCAGCAGUGUCGGUGUGAAAUCCGGCAGACCUCAGGGUAGGGGGUCUCGAGCUGUGGAUAUCGGAUCAAUGGUAACAGGAACAUGAGAGACAAUGUUUACCCAGGUUCAGGCCCUCUUGAUGGAGGUAAAACCCUACGUCAUGCUCUUUUUUAUAUUGAUGGGGAUGUAUCAAGUACAGAGUUGAUCUACCUCGAGAUCAUAAGUUGUGUUCUACCUCAAGGGCUGGGUGAAUGUAAUUGUGAUUCGGUCCCCUCUACAGGCUAAACCCCUUGCCUUAUCUACAUGCCAGGUAGGGUAUCUAGGGUUACAUGGUCCGUAUCCUGAGGAUCGCAUGGAGGCGGCUGGGGAUAUCUUGGAGUACACGUCAAGUCUUCGGAAGGUACGGUCUUGAUCUCAUAUAGGCGUACAACUUCCGGAGUCUUCCUUAAUGAGAAUGCGGGCCCAUUAGUCCGACUCGGAGACUAGGGGCCGACUAGGUUAGUACCCCCUAGUCCAGGACACCGUCACUCCUCCUGGUUGAGGUGAUAAAGCCUCUUCCAAUGCACAUGUGCUUGGAUGGAGUGCUAGGUGCUUUAAAGAGUUUAGCAACUAAAGACCUCAAUGCAUAGGUGCUUAGUUUGUUGUUGCUAAGCUUCUUUCCUUUAAUUGUUUAAUAACUAAACUCUUUCAUGCAUAGGGCAAACUUCUUUCAUUUAAGUGUCUUGCAUAGGUCUGCGUCGUUCUUCCUGGGGUUAACAUACUCAUCUCUCUCCUCUUUCAUUAUCAGAUUUUUUGCCUAUGUGGCAUGCUCAGCACCCGUACAUAGUGGACCACCAGAAAGGGUCUAAGGGAGCGCUCACGUGAGGCACUGCUGUAUCUAAUGGGUGCGGCCACUCACGUGUCGAGGCAUCUUGUGCCAAGAUUCGCGAAGGGCAUCUGAUGGUAACCAACACGUUCGCUGCGAGCUCUAAAAAUCCGACAGAUAUUUAGCAUUUUUGAAAGAAAAAAAAAGAACACUAGCCUACCACCACAAGGGCAUGAACUAUGAUGGCACUACCUAUCUACUACCUCAUCAUUACCACAUAGAAAAAUAGCAUGGAAACUACUGUCCCAAAAUCCAAUGCCCAACGCAGCACUAUCCUCAGGCCGGUCUUUUUUACUUCUCAUAUUUCUCUCCUAUUUUAUCCAAAUCUCAGCCCAACACUUCGUUAAUCCUCUCUAUUUUCUCUUCCCUUCUCUUGUCUUUCAUUGACUCGUUACACUUUUGUCAGGGAGGAGAUGACCUCCUCUACAAGAUCCUUCUUUAGUCUGUAAGUCUGUAAGCAUCACAAACAGCAAUCAAGGACCGCCCAAACCUACGCGGAGCGUUGGGGCAUCUGUCCACCGUGUAGUGUUGGCCAUGCCUAAAGUCUCCUUGAUAAGUUCGUCGCUUUCCCCGCAAAAAAAAAAACAGUUCGUCCUUUCCAGUUCAUAAAAAAAAAAUUCGGAGUUUUUCCUAUUUACGGUGGCUCCAUCAGCCUUGAAAAAUCGAUAAAAAUGGCCCAGUUAUUAUACGAUCCAGACUUGUUAGGUGAAGGAGGGCCGGCGCGGCUUUGCAGAGGUUGAUCCGGUGGUUUGAUUGCAGUACCAAAAACUGCGCGGAUGUCGUAUAGUCAACAGUACCCGUGGAGAGACAUCACGGAAAAUGCUCAACAGUGCUUCGCGGAAGGUCGCUGUCCUGGUCCAGCGCAGCGCCCCCUCACCUCAAAAUCCCAACCGUCCCUUAAAAUCGACGUGACAUUCAAAUGCUCGCCAAAUCUCGCGAUUCCCUUUUUUGUAAGUGGCGCGGAGGACGGGAGCACUGGAGGGGCCGUUGGCAGGCCACGAUCGAUGGGAUCGAUCGAGAGAGCGGCGCCUCGGUCGAAGCCGUGGCCGGAGUAGAGACGAACUACGCGUCCGCUACGAGAUGGAGAUGGGAUCAUGGGGAGGACUUUUGUUUGGGCGGUCGGCCAGUGGCGCACGCACGGCUGGCCUCGGGCCGCGGAGGCAUCCAUCGCCCCAAACCCCGCGCACGGCGCCUCCUCCUCCCGCUCUCUUUUCUUGGAUCCAACGGCGACGAGAGAAAAGAACGACAGCGUUUUCACGGCGCACUCUCCACCAAGAGUUGGCACGUCACGAAACCCCGAGACUUGGACAUUUUUUUUCCUUCAGUUCACAAAUUCGGUGUCAAAAAUAAAUAAAGUAUAGCAAACGGGGUAGUACUAGUACAGUAUGAUCCAUGCAGAUGCAGAUACAGAUGCGGCCCGUGGCCAGCUGCAGUGGCGCAAAAGAGGAGGGAGAGGUGCGACAUGUCCCAAUCGGUGUUCCGUGGGUGGGUUGCCCUGGCUCUGAAUUCCCGGCGAUGGGUUCGCCCCCGGGCCGGAAAGGGAAGACACAGGAGUUGAGACGAACAAGGCACAAGAUUCGCCCAUUUCCGGAUCAUGCAAUCAGUCGCUGCCAACACCAACUUACGGCCGCGGCGCACAAAUGCUUUCUUGUCCUCUCCUCUCUCCCAAACAACCAAAUUUCGACAGCUUAUUACUACCAUGUGUCGUCGCCUUCCCUCGCAGCAGACGAGACGAGGAUAUACACAUGCAUCGCGUCGCGUCGCGUCGCGUCGCACGCGUGACAAAACUGUUUUUUUGUUUUCUUUUCUUCCGGGUCCCACCCACCCCAACCAACAAAACGCUGCGAGCUUCGCAACAGCGGCGAGACCAAAUAAAUGGGCUCAGAUCUGAGAUAAUCUAGCUGUUUUGUUGGAUUUUAAAAACAUUUCCCCCUCUUUUCAGAUUCAGAAACACUAAAAACAACACGAAAACCCUCGGCUCUUGUCGCCACUCCCUACUUCCUAGUCCGGGCCAUCAAGGCCGCGGCCCACCGACAGCACAAAAGGCAGCCACAUGGCCCCACAGCCUUUAUCACCGACACGCCGGCCCCACCAGUCAUCUACGGUUGGUGCGCGUCGCUGUUGGCUGUGCGAGCCAGCGCAGGCGAUCUGGUGGGGCCGCGGCUCCACUGGGGCGCCCGGCCACUGCAGCAGCGAAGCUCUCCCCUAUCUAUCCAUCUCUCUAUCUAUCUAAUGGCCGGGAAGACAUCCAAAGAACUCGCCAUAAUUCCAAACCACUGUGCCGCUGUAGCGCAGCGCUCCCUCCCUCCUCGUCCUCCCUCCCUCUCUCAAGAACACGGAAAAAAUCGGGGCCUUUUGGGUUCCGGACACCAAGGAUUGGAUAUUUAUUCUGCUUUGCUUUGCUUUGACCGGCGCGGCGGUUCUUCAACUUGGGAUGGAGUUGCAGGGGCCGGGGGAGGGCAGGGGAGGCGCCGUCGCCUGAUGUAGAUUUCCCUUUUUUCCUUUCCUUUGCUUUGUUUAUUCCGGCUCUGGGCGUUCACAUCUCUCGCAGAGCUUUCGCGAUCUGCCAAUUGGAGGCCAUGCGCGCGGGCCAAACAGGUGCUUGCCUUUCUUGCUUUUCUUGAUGUUGAUUUGCUCUUUUGAUGGCCGUGCCCGCCAUGGAUUGAUUGCGUGUGGAGUUGGGUUUGCUGUGCGGUGGUUUGCGAAUUUGAUGGAGGGCAAUUUGGUGGCAGGUUUGGUGUGCGGGAAGAAGUGAUCGCAUUUCGUGGCGGUGGUUUUGGGUGGAGAUGAAGGAGGUGGGCGAGGAGAGGUGCCUGGACCCGCAGCUGUGGCACGCCUGCGCGGGCGGCAUGGUGCAGAUGCCGCUGCCGCGCUCGCGCGUCUACUACUUCCCGCAGGGGCACGCCGAGCACGCCAACAGCGGCGGCGGCAGCGCGGCCGCCGAGCUCGCGGCGGCGGUCGGGCCGCGUCCGCUGCCCGCGCUCGUGCUCUGCUGCGUGGCAGGGGUGCGCUUCCUGGCUGAUCCGGAGACGGACGAGGUGUUCGCCAAGAUCCGGCUGGUGCCCGUCGGCCCCGGCGAGGCGGGGUUCCGGGAGCCGGAGGGGCUCGGGGGCGACCCGGCGGAGGCGCGCGAGAAGCUGGCCUCCUUCGCCAAGACGCUGACGCAGUCCGACGCCAACAACGGCGGCGGCUUCUCGGUGCCGCGCUACUGCGCGGAGACCAUCUUCCCCAAGCUUGACUACAGGGCUGACCCGCCGGUGCAGACGGUGCUCGCCAAGGACGUGCACGGGGAGGUGUGGAAGUUCCGCCACAUCUACCGGGGCACGCCGCGCCGGCAUUUGCUCACCACGGGCUGGAGCACCUUCGUGAACCAGAAGAAGCUCGUCGCGGGGGACUCCAUCGUCUUCCUGCGCACCGAGCACGGGGAGCUCUGCGUCGGGAUACGCCGGGCCAAGCGGGUCACCUGCGGGGGCAUGGAGUGCAUAUCCGGCUGGAACGCGCCAGGGUACGGGGGGUUCUCGGCCUUCCUCAAGGACGAGGAGAACAAGAUGAUGAAUGGUGGCCCCGCCGGUUACGUCAAGGGCAGGGGGAAGGUCAAGAUCGCCGAUGUCGUGGAGGCGGCCACCCUCGCGGCCAACAGCCAGCCAUUUGAGGUGGUCUACUACCCGAGAGCUAGCACGCCGGAGUUUGUUGUCAAGGCCGCGGCGAUGCAGGCCGCCAUGAGGAUCCACUGGUGCCCUGGCAUGAGGUUCAAGAUGGCCUUUGAGACCGAGGAUUCCUCAAGAAUCAGCUGGUUUAUGGGGACCAUAUCUUCGGUUCAGGUUGCCGAUCCACUCAGAUGGCCGAAUUCACCAUGGAGACUUCUUCAGGUUUGUUCGAUCUGAUGAUAUCCAUAGUCGCACUCCAUCCUUUCUUCUCAAUAAAGAUGCAUAGUACAUAACAUGGAACUGCAAGGGAUGAAUGCAGUGCAUCAUUUACACAACGUUAGUAGUAUGGAGGCUUCUCAUUCAGAUGCCUUGAAUGGAACUAGAAGUUAAGGUACUACCAUACAAAACAUGGCCAGCUUGCCGCACAAUGUUGCCAAAUUAGUAGUAAUGGUAAUAAUAAUGAUUCCCAAACCCCUGAUAUCAACAAAUUAACCUAUUAAUUAGUUCAACAACUGGCUUAGAUUUACUGGAGUAAAACAUCACAUCCUCCUUCGAUUUUGACUUUGUAUGAAUUGGUGGUACAAUCAAUAAAGCUGUUGGAAUGCAGAAUUCACAACUGCAUGGUAGUUAUGGAAGAAAAGGCUUGUGGUCCUUUAGUAGCUUUGUUGGUUUCCAAAUUUGGAUUAUCAGUCUGCAUGUUCUUCAAGUACUAGCUCUCUUAUUUAUCAAUAGUGGGCUCCUAAACUUCCGUAUUCCUUUUAGUAUGAUAUCAAAUUCUUGAAUAGUACGUCAUCAUCGGUUGCUCAAAUGUCACAGCUUGAUGUUUGGUCUUUAGCACCCAACAUGAUACUUGGCAUGGGAAUACUUGGCAAACUUUUAACUAGAAACAGAAUCCUUUAGCAUGGUUAGGUAUGACUAAUGUGGAUGAGAAACGAUUUGUCUAAUUACAUUGACCUGGAACAGAAAAAAAUUGUACACAAAUCUAAUGAAAAUGCCGUACACAGUAGAAGGGUCAAACUUUUAUGUACAAGAAUCUACAAGCUACAUCAUCUGUCAGAUUUGUUCAGCUUCUCUUAUGGAAGUUGUUCGUGUACAAAUAGUAAGAGUGCAGCAGAGAAUUGAGAUCGGAGUCUUCAUUGCCAACAGCUUCGUUUCUAGUCAUUCGUUUGUUUCAAAGCCCAUCUAUCAGGGCUCCAUGCUAGUUCUUGCAAAGUUUUUUUAUAGCCUAAUAAACAAAUCCAAUAAAGUUCGGUGUGGAAUACUGCAUCUUUACUAUAAUAAAUACCUGAUGCUGGUACUACGAGUAUUAAAUUUCAAAUGUGGGUAUUGAAUUAAUAUGACGCUCAUGUAGUAUGAUGAUGAUCCCUGUAUAAACUGUUCGUGCUGAAGGUACUUGAUCCUCCCUCUAUUUGAAAGUCCUACCGCACAUUUGUCUAUCUGAUCAGUCCCGUACUCCAACCAUAAGGUUUCUGUCUGUACCUUGGGUAGCAGAUGCUGAAAUUGGUAUAUUUGGCAGUUCAACAUAACAUGCUUGGUCUAUUUAUCUAUCAUUUUUAGCUCUCUCAGCCGUUCAUGCAUAUUGCUACUUCAUUGAAUCUUAUCUCAACGUUUAUGUUACCCACUUACGUAGGAUAGUGAAUGAUGUCUUUCUAGUAGUUUUGAGAUAGUGGAGGUCUAUGUUUUCAUCAGUAUCAUUAGUUAUAUCAGAUUUAAUACGAAAAUGGGUCAUCGAUUUUAGUUGGUGUUGUGCUACUUUGCGCAUUUUAGUUCUGCAAGCACCAGGGUACUUUUUGUUUAGUCGAUUACAGUAAUUCUCUUUAUUAACAUGGUUCAUGGUUGCAAACUUCUUGCAGGUCACAUGGGAUGAGCCAGACUUGUUACAAAAUGUGAAAUGCGUGAGCCCAUGGCUUGUGGAACUUGUAUCAAGCAUUCCACCAAUCCAUUUGGGACCAUUUUCUCCACCACGAAAGAAGUUACGGGUUCCCCAACAUCCUGAUUUUCCAUUGGAUGGUCAUCUGUUUAAUCCAAUUUUCCAUGGGAACCCACUUGGUCCUAGCAACAGCCCCCUAUGCUGUUACUCGGACAACAACUCUCCUGCAGGCAUACAGGGAGCCAGGCAUGCUCAAUUUGGUUUACCAUUAACAGACCAUCAGCUUAAUAAGCUGCACCUUGGUCUGUUCCACGGCGGCGGUUUUAACCGGCUUGACGCUCUAACCCCGUCUUCCCGGAUAUCUAAGGGCUUUGUGCUCAGCAGCGCACCAGCCCAUGACAGCGUCUCUUGCUUGUUGACAAUCGGUACACCACAGAGCACAGAAAAAUCUGUUGACAGAAAGACACCACAUAUAAUGUUGUUUGGAAAGGCCAUUCUUACCGAGCAGCAGAUGACUUCAAGUGGAUCAAGAGAGACACUCUCCUCUGGGGCUACUGGAAAUAGUUCACCUAUCAGUACUGCGCUCAAGGCAGGAAAUGCAUCCGAUGGUUCCGGUUCAUCAAUCUGCAUCGGAUUCUCAUCCCAGGGUCAUGAGGCUUCUGAUCUUGGACUGGAAGCUGGGCACUGCAAGGUAUUUAUGGAAUCGGAGGAUGUUGGUCGCACCAUCGACUUGUCUGUCUUCGGGUCAUAUGACGAGUUGUAUGGCCGUCUGGCUGACAUGUUUGGCAUCGAGAAAGAAGAAAUCAUAAGCCAUCUCCGUUACCGUGACACGGCUGGUGCUGUCAUGCACACUGGUGGAUUACCGUUCAGGUGAGAAGUCCCUGAUGAUAUGUGCAGUAUUCCUUAACUCGUGCGUGAUAAUAUCUUCUUCAUCUUCUAAUGUUGCAGUAAUGUUGUAGUGAUAUGUACCUAAUUCAUUCUGUUCAUGUAACAGCGACUUCAUGAAAGUGGCACGGAGGCUGACGAUAAUAAGUGGCGAAAAGGGAGGACUGGCGAAACCUCUCAUCGAAUGCAUGGUUCAGCGGGUGUGAUAUCUUGAUGAGCUCCAGCACGAGCUUCAUCGAGAAAUAUUAAACCAGAGUGAGGGACUACUCUCCAUAUGCAUGCGUUUUAUUAGCGUUUGUUUACCCGUGCUGUCAAGCGGAACUGCGUCGUCGUUAGUACAAUCUUGUGGAUUGGUUUUUAAUAUGUACUCACUGUAUUUGUCUGUUAGCUGUUUGUUCAGCGCCGUUGAUCGCCCAAGUUAAGGGCUGGUCAUCCGGCGGCUGAGUUGGAAGUCUAUAGGUCAUGAGGCUUCUGAUCUUGGACGGAUUUGCUUUGCUUGGAAUAAAGUUUCAGUUGGGUCUUUGGAAAUUAAAGCUGGCGUUGCCUGGGCAGAUGAAAUGCUUGAGGAUUAGAGCGCGUUUGAUGAGAAUUUAUUGGUGUUUUUUCUUACUUUAUUUAUUUAUUAGGACAUUAUUUCUUGGCCAUUGUUGUCGCUGUUGUGCUUUUUGCCGGCUUGAUGAUGAACAGGUUGCGGUGGUGGUGGUACGAGAGGGAGGGAGGGAGGGAGGCUAGGGUGGCGUAGACGCUAUAGGCGUGACCCAUCCAUCGCCGCACCCGCACGGGGUUGUCAUGCGCGUUCCGACGUCGCCAUCUCUCCGUGACCGUGAGAGAGACACGACCCAACCCUCUCUUUGUUUUGUUUUGUUUUGGGCGGGUGGUUGGCCGAGCCGAACCUCGGUCGGAGCCGUGACGCGAGAAAAACGGCGCGAGGAGGAAGAGAAAGGGGGCCACCCUCGAGUCGACUAGGCUGGACACGCCUCUAGGAUUGGAGGCUUGUGGGUCUGACAGGCUGCAACGUCGUCCUAGUGUGGUGCUGGUGCUACACCGUCGUGUGGUGGCCUGUCACGCUACCGGUUAUGAUCGAGGCCGUCCUAGGUUGAGCUGUUUUACUGACACAAUUGCUCUGUACUACAGUGUCCGUGAUGAUGACCAUGACCAUGACGCCGGCCCCACACUCGCAUAGGUCUCGCCUUUGGAAAAGUCUAUAGGACGUAAACGGCGUUUAGCCCAUUUAUUAUUUACUAGUUGAAUGCCCGUGCGUUGCCACGGACACACGAAAUUCAAAAUAUGAUGUGAAAAGAUUACUCGACAAAGUGAUAGCAUGGACUUGGAUAUUUUAAAUGAGUGCUUUUUAUAGAAUAUAUUUUGACAAAAAACAAUGUUAAAGGUAAUUCAAAAUCCAUGAACAUGGAUAAACUUGUUUUUAAAUGUAGAUAAUAACUAAAUCAUCCGUGAAAUUAGCACAUCUCUUAAAACACCAUAGACACAAACAAACAUGACGAAACAGUCACCUACAUAGUAGAUACAAACCAAGUACGUGAUAACACUUACAGAUUGAAACACACAAUCAUGCGUAAUAGACAUAACCAAUGUCUACUAUAUGUACUACAUGCGCUGAGCUUUCUUUGUAUACAUUCUGUGUCGGGAAUCCUUUGUAGACAACUCGCUUGCUAGGAAAGCCCACCUCCACUCAAUAAAUUGCUGAACAAACUUCAUAUCAAUCAACCCACCAGUUAUUUUCUGGCGAAUAUCUGCAAAAAUAUAUAUCAUAAAUGUUGCAUUUAAUAAUAUUUAAACUUUGUGUACAUAUGUUAAUAACAAUCAUAAGUAAUUGAUUGGUAGUUGAUAAUAAGUCAUGACUACUCACCAUCAAGUGUGCGUGCUGCAGUAUGAUCCGGAUUGAAUGCAAGGGUGGUGUAGUUUGAAGUUUCCGGAAUUCCUAUUGCCAAGAUAAAAAAGUAUUUAAGUCGACAUAACAGUACACUUGAUAAUCACUGUGUAGUUUGAAGUUUCCAGAAUUCCUAUUGCCAAGAUAAAAAAAUAUUUAGGUCGACAUAACAAUACACUUGAUAAUCACUGUGUAGUUUGAAGUUUCCAGAAUUCCUAUUGCCAAGAUAAAAAAAUAUUUAGGUCGACAUAACAGUACACUUGAUAAUCACUGUGAAAGUAAGACCAUGAAAUGGUAAGGUUGAUAAUCACAGUGAAAGUAUACCUUGUGGUGUAAUAUUUGCUCUUCUUGGUUUGUUAUGACGCGAAUUUGCUAUUUCUAUCUGCACAUUGCUCUUGUUGAUAGGUUCAUUUUCAUGGUUAACAAUAUCCAUAUCUAUCAGUCACACAUUCUACGAAGUGAAAUAUAUAUACAAAUAUAUGAAUUAAAUAUAGUACUGCCAUAGUAUGAAUUAAAUAUAGUACUGCCAUAUUUCCCCAGUGCUGCUCGCAGGAAGUGGCGGUGGCGGCGGCUGCCACACCAGCGGAGCUGUCCAAUGCCGCAGCAGGGCCUACCACGGCACCGGCAAGCUGCCUGCACUGCAAGCGGGGAGCGACGCCGGCGGCGACCUGGGAGGCAGCAGAGGUGCUGCUAGCAGGGAGCGGCGGCGGCGGCGACCGACCCUCCAGUGGAGCUAUUCAACGCCGCAGCGGGGCCCUACAACGGCUUCGGCACGUUGCCUGCGCAGGGGCCUACCACGGCGCCGCGAUUUCCUCUGGCUUGUCGACAAGGUGGACUUCUACCUCGGCGCCGUCUUCGGCAGCAUCGAUACGGGGAUGGUGGUGGCUAUGCUCAUCUCAGUGUUGCAGGUGCGGCUCUUCUUGGCGCGGCCGAGGACGAUGGUCAUGGGCAACGUGCCAGAGACGCCCAUCUACCGGUGGAUGGACCAGUACACGACGUGCUCGACGGCACCCUUCGCGAGAAGAUCACCCGNNNNNNNNNNNNNNNNNNNNNNNNNNNNNNNNNNNNNNNNNNNNNNNNNNNNNNNNNNNNNNNNNNNNNNNNNNNNNNNNNNNNNNNNNNNNNNNNNNNNNNNNNNNNNNNNNNNNNNNNNNNNNNNNNNNNNNNNNNNNNNNNNNNNNNNNNNNNNNNNNNNNNNNNNNNNNNNNNNNNNNNNNNNNNNNNNNNNNNNNNNNNNNNNNNNNNNNNNNNNNNNNNNNNNNNNNNNNNNNNNNNNNNNNNNNNNNNNNNNNNNNNNNNNNNNNNNNNNNNNNNNNNNNNNNNNNNNNNNNNNNNNNNNNNNNNNNNNNNNNNNNNNNNNNNNNNNNNNNNNNNNNNNNNNNNNNNNNNNNNNNNNNNNNNNNNNNNNNNNNNNNNNNNNNNNNNNNNNNNNNNNNNNNNNNNNNNNNNNNNNNNNNNNNNNNNNNNNNNNNNNNNNNNNNNNNNNNNNNNNNNNNNNNNNNNNNNNNNNNNNNNNNNNNNNNNNNNNNNNNNNNNNNNNNNNNNNNNNNNNNNNNNNNNNNNNNNNNNNNNNNNNNNNNNNNNNNNNNNNNNNNNNNNNNNNNNNNNNNNNNNNNNNNNNNNNNNNNNNNNNNNNNNNNNNNNNNNNNNNNNNNNNNNNNNNNNNNNNNNNNNNNNNNNNNNNNNNNNNNNNNNNNNNNNNNNNNNNNNNNNNNNNNNNNNNNNNNNNNNNNNNNNNNNNNNNNNNNNNNNNNNNNNNNNNNNNNNNNNNNNNNNNNNNNNNNNNNNNNNNNNNNNNNNNNNNNNNNNNNNNNNNNNNNNNNNNNNNNNNNNNNNNNNNNNNNNNNNNNNNNNNNNNNNNNNNNNNNNNNNNNNNNNNNNNNNNNNNNNNNNNNNNNNNNNNNNNNNNNNNNNNNNNNNNNNNNNNNNNNNNNNNNNNNNNNNNNNNNNNNNNNNNNNNNNNNNNNNNNNNNNNNNNNNNNNNNNNNNNNNNNNNNNNNNNNNNNNNNNNNNNNNNNNNNNNNNNNNNNNNNNNNNNNNNNNNNNNNNNNNNNNNNNNNNNNNNNNNNNNNNNNNNNNNNNNNNNNNNNNNNNNNNNNNNNNNNNNNNNNNNNNNNNNNNNNNNNNNNNNNNNNNNNNNNNNNNNNNNNNNNNNNNNNNNNNNNNNNNNNNNNNNNNNNNNNNNNNNNNNNNNNNNNNNNNNNNNNNNNNNNNNNNNNNNNNNNNNNNNNNNNNNNNNNNNNNNNNNNNNNNNNNNNNNNNNNNNNNNNNNNNNNNNNNNNNNNNNNNNNNNNNNNNNNNNNNNNNNNNNNNNNNNNNNNNNNNNNNNNNNNNNNNNNNNNNNNNNNNNNNNNNNNNNNNNNNNNNNNNNNNNNNNNNNNNNNNNNNNNNNNNNNNNNNNNNNNNNNNNNNNNNNNNNNNNNNNNNNNNNNNNNNNNNNNNNNNNNNNNNNNNNNAGGUACACUCCGACAAUCGGGAUGGUCUGCCCUUGCGCCUUGUUGAUUGUCAUGGCAAAACUGAGCCUAAUAGGGAACUGCUUCCUCUUUAACUUGAAAGGGAAUAUAUCGUCAUCGGAUGGGCAGAGAGGUAUCCGAGGAAGGAACACCCUCCUACCAGCAUGUUGUCCUAGCACGAUUUCUGCAUCGAUGGCGUUCCUUUGGAAACCCCGGACCACAAGCCUUGUGCCGUUACACAACCCAUUAGCUGGAUCAAUGUUUCUCAACAGUAUAACGGGGCAAUUUAACUUCAGUUUGAGCGCAUGCGGAGGCAGCCCGUUGGGAGUCAGGUUGUUCAGGAACUCUGGGGCAUAGUAGCCGUGUGGAUCAUCCUCUGCAAUAUCAAAACUGUGGUAGAUCUUCUCUUCGCCCUGGAAGCGCUCUAUCAUGCGUGUGUUUAUCUUAUCAACGUUGUCAUUCUUGGUGGAGAGGAUCGCUCGAGAUGUCAUGUAAUUUGGAUCAGCCAUGUUGUUGUCUAGAGCAGGAAAUACAUGGUCGAUUAGCUUCUCUAGGUCAACGCCGUCCUCUGUUGGCUGCACACAAAUAUCUUCAGGGAGCCUUAUGUUGCCUUCCUCAUCGGUUUCCUCGGUGCCGUUGCCUACCCUUAGCAAGUAAUCUGCAAACCACGGGUCGUUAUGCGCUCUCAUGUUGGUGACGAGCCUUAGUUGGCGCAUGCCCUUCCAUAGGUACGAACUCCGCAAGGUCGCAUCGAUUAUCUGACCUCGUGACCCCUUCCUGACGACCGGAAGCACCUGCCUAAAGUCCCCACCGAACACGACAGUCUUUCCCCCGAAUGGUCGGUCCCGUCGUCCCAUGAUGUCCCGCAUGCUAUUGUCCAGUGCCUCAACCGCUUGCCGCUUCGUCAUGGUGGCCUCGUCCCAUAGGAUGAGUGAAGCCAUGUGCAGGAGCUUGGCUGUUCCACUUUGCUUGGUGAAGCUGCACGACCCCCCAUCUUCAAUGCUGAGUAGGAUCUUGAACCUCGAGUGGGCUGUCCUUCCUCCAGGCAUGAUGGAAGCCGCGACGCCUGACGUCGCCGUAGCCACCGCGAUCUUGCCCUCGCCUCGAACCUUUGUGAGUAGUGCCUUGUAUAGGAAGGUCUUCCCGGUGCCUCCUGGGCCAUCGACAAAGAAUACACCCCCAUCACCAGCAUCGACUGCUGCCAGUAUCUCGUCGUAUGCAAGCCUUUGCUCAGGGUUUAGUGAGGACGCUAAAGCAGCAUCGUUCGCGUCAACCUCGAUGGAUGACUCCUCGGUGACUUCUCUGGCCUCGCCUCCAGUAGUGUCAUAGGUCUCGUCGAUGUCCGGAAGAAGGAACAACGCUAUGUCUUUGCCCAUGGACUGUAGCAUGCCCCUAAUGUCAAGCAACACCAUCUGUUCCACUGCCUUUGAGCACGUGUGUGAUCGGCGGUAGUCAUCAGACAUCGCCUCUAGGUGCCUAUCCCAUAGACCGCGCACGUCACCUGGCUCGCAGAAUACCAAGAUUGUUGCAAAGAGCCUCCUGAGUGAGGCUGGCAUCGCGAACUGUGUUGACUCUGUAAGACACUCGUCAAGCGUGUUGUCGGCCUCGAUGAGGCCCAAUCUCUCGGCAGCCUCACGGAAGCUAUCACAGAGCACACCGUCCACGGUCCGCAGGUCCUCGAAGGAUGUCUUGCCUGGUACAUGGUUGAGCAGCACUCGCAGAAAGUACCGCUCCCCCUCGGCUGGAUGGGCUGACACGAUUCGACCUACUUGGUGCUGCUUUUCUCUCGGCCUCCAGUACUUAUGUCUCUGCCAUGUGAAACUUCCCGGAAAGUCCUUGUACAGGAUAUCCCGAGCCCACACGUGCUGCUGAUUAGCAAGGAAAUACUCCGUCAGCAUUGAUUUAGAUGCAUUAUCACGGGCAACGACAUCGAUCAGGUCCUCUCCUGCUUUGAACGUGACAAUAUUCAUAUUAGGGAGAUGAAGCGGCAACUGUAGGACCGACGGGAAACUCUCAGAAAGGUUGAAGCCGAAUAUCCUCCACAUCGCCUCCGGUGGAGUAACCCAUCUCGCAUCAACGUACCUUUUAAUCUCGUCUACAACCCCAUUGCUGUCAGGCUGGUCAAUGCUGAAUGAAGCUCGAUCGUGACCCUUGUAUACGUAUUUGUAAAGGUACUUGACGGCCUUGAUGCUGGAGCACACCUCGACAUUUAUGUGGCAGUUGAACAUCCGCAACAGAUAAGGGUUAUAAGGCACGACCCAUCUAUUAUCCAGCAUUUGACGGCGUACCUUAGCCUGACGACCAUCGUCCCGCCGUCGAUAAACCGGGUAUGAAUCCUUCCCCUGUAAGGUGUUCUGGUUGAACGGUCGUGGGUACUUGCUCUUGCACUUCAAGUCUUGCAUGCACACAUUUUUGGGAUUAAGAUUGCCACAUGGUCCGUGCAUCAUAUGCUUCACGACCAUGGCAUAGAGCUCUGGAUACUUAUGCCUGUCCGGGAGCUCUGCCGAUAUGAGGCGAUCAUACUGCUCUGGCACCACGAGUUUAUAAUUUGAAUUCAUGAUCAGCAGGAAGUGUGCAUGGGGGAGGCCUCUCUUCUGGAACUCAACGACAUACACAUACGCUACCACAACACCAAGGAUGUGUUUUUUGAACAACAUUUGUUUCAUGGUCUCUAGCUUGGCCUUGAACACGCGUGCGACAAGAUCUGGUCGGUCCUGGGGUGUCUGGCCAGGAAGCAGCUCAUUCAGUAUCUCCUCCCAGCUAGGAUUGCAUGUCAUAGUCAAAAAGAUGUCAGGCUUCCCAUAUGUCUGCACCAGUGCCAUGGCGUCCAUAUGCCUCCGCUUCAUGUCUCGGUUGCUUCCUUGAUGCGUCCCUGGUAACACAAUCCUCUUCCCAACAGCGCUCGCUCGCAUCUCCCCAACCGCGAUGCUAUCCACAAGGCCUUGGUAUAGAUCGGCACGUAUCUCUGUCUGGUGGUCCCUGAUCCACUUCAGCCUACAUCCCUCAAUCUUGAUGAACAUGUCGACACCCCACUGCUGAAACAGGCGUGCUCCGUGCAGUAUGGGGUUGAAUAUCGCANNNNNNNNNNNNNNNNNNNNNNNNNNNNNNNNNNNNNNNNNNNNNNNNNNNNNNNNNNNNNNNNNNNNNNNNNNNNNNNNNNNNNNNNNNNNNNNNNNNNNNNNNNNNNNNNNNNNNNNNNNNNNNNNNNNNNNNNNNNNNNNNNNNNNNNNNNNNNNNNNNNNNNNNNNNNNNNNNNNNNNNNNNNNNNNNNNNNNNNNNNNNNNNNNNNNNNNNNNNNNNNNNNNNNNNNNNNNNNNNNNNNNNNNNNNNNNNNNNNNNNNNNNNNNNNNNNNNNNNNNNNNNNNNNNNNNNNNNNNNNNNNNNNNNNNNNNNNNNNNNNNNNNNNNNNNNNNNNNNNNNNNNNNNNNNNNNNNNNNNNNNNNNNNNNNNNNNNNNNNNNNNNNNNNNNNNNNNNNNNNNNNNNNNNNNNNNNNNNNNNNNNNNNNNNNNNNNNNNNNNNNNNNNNNNNNNNNNNNNNNNNNNNNNNNNNNNNNNNNNNNNNNNNNNNNNNNNNNNNNNNNNNNNNNNNNNNNNNNNNNNNNNNNNNNNNNNNNNNNNNNNNNNNNNNGUGAAAUAAGAAGGUUAGGUACCAUAUGGAAGGAUAGAGAACUUUUUGUGGCAUAUAAGCAUACCAACCAGGCGCACCUGAAUCGUUAUCACGGUUUCUUCUUGGUUGUUGUGCAACCUCCCAAGGGACAUUGUGCUUAGGGAUAUUUGGAUGCCAACCAAGCUCCCCCCUUGGGAAAAAGAGGGGAUACGAAAGCGGGUCAUAACAGCCAUCUGUGGCAUGUAUACUAUACUUCUCGUUGUUGUCCCCAUAGAGUGUAAUGCUGCGGUUGAACCUGUUUGCUAGAUCGCUUCCCUCGACCCAAAUCGCAGCCACCUCGGAUGACACGGGUCUGUUAUAUCUUCGUUGGUCUAGCUUCUGGUCAAUGUUGAGGUCUAUCCGGUACUCCUCGAGAUUUUCCUUAUGGGCACCCAAACUCCUAAACUGCUGGGAGUAGGGGUUUUCCCUGAGGACGUCCACUAACUUGCUGACAACGUGCUGGUCCAAUUGCUUGGUGGCCUCCUUGCGAUGGUUUAAGCUGGGAUCGUCGUCGUAGAAGUACAACUGCAAAUGUCCAGGGCGAGAUCUUGGACCGAACGAGUGCACCUUGUGGUACAUAGUGCCAUGUGCUCGAAACGUGUACACCCCGGACUUCAUGUUUGUGUAGUUGUUGUCUAGGCUGACGCCAAGGGUAGUGAAGGUGAAGUGCCCGUUGAAGAACCGAAUGCUCUCUCGGAAAUGCCGAGAGUCUGCAUCCGCGCUUGACCAUAACCUCAUCAGCUCUGGGAUAGGCUCGCGUUCAGCUAGCUCAAUCUCCCCGUUCCGACAGCAGAAGCCGUUAGUCUCGUACUGGAACUUCUUGGCCUUGCAAUGGUCGCAGUUUGCCGCGUGCUUCAGGAUGUGCGUGCUGUCUGGGAUGUUCGAGUAGACAUAGUCGAAAGGAUCUAGGUCGAUAGAUCCCGUGUUGGAGGAUUCUACGGGCUCAUCGAGGUCCGUGCUAUCAGUGUCAGAUGUUGCAAGCAUUGUGGAGAUAUAACAAGUCACGAUGGGAUGCACAUCAUAAACCAAUAAUAUAGAGGGACGGGCAGCGAAGGACGCCUGGGAGUACCUUGACCGCCAAAUAGGUAGUACUCAUCAUCCAUGAGGUCACCGGAAAGUCCAUUCUCGUCCAUGAUGCCACUAAGGAAGGCUUCCAUGUCAGCUGCAACAUUGUUGAGCCGGUAAGUAAUGGUUUAGUGUGAGUGGUCACCGGGAGGGGAGUAAAGGUGAGAGGGUUACCAUCGGUCCCGAUGGUGUAAGACGGCGUGCUCGACGAAGGGGAGGAAGCCGGUGAAGCAGCUCCUGUGGGCGGUGUUUCUGAGCUUGUUGCUGCUCUGUUCACAUGCAAGGUACUUGGGUGUGGAGACCUCCGCUUAGCUGCAAAGCUUGCAUUACGACGAUCUAGCAACGCUGACCUCUCACCUUCUACUAUGCUUUUCCUGUGCACUCUUCGUUUUUCGGCACUCCCUUGAAUGUUCUUUACCGCCAUAGCUCGUUUGUGAGCUCGCUCGUGAGCCCUACGUUGUGCUCUGGUCUCCUGGCUCUGCUCAUGGGCUUGAUUCUGGUUUUCAUGUAUUCGCUGAUCAUUGGUUUGCUGCGAGGCAUUUAUGAGUUCGUCGGCGGCCUCAUUAUUGUCCAGGGUACGACUAAUGUACUCGCCUGCACGGUUGAGGAGCUGGUAAAUACUGGUCCAACUCACAUGGACAUAACAAGUAGAGUAGAGAUGGGAGGAUUACCGUCUGAUUCGAAGCUGUAACCAGCCUUACUCACUAACUGGGGGGAAGGAGCUGAAGCGGCGGGGUCUCUGGCAUGAGUAGUCGACAUCAGGUUGGGCGUAGCUAAGGUAGCUGCAUCUGGGCGCGGCAUUGCGAUGGAUUCAGCGCAAGGGAUGUUGCGCCUAGCCGUGAGUAUUGCAUUGCGCUGAGCUAGCAUCUUUUGUUUCUCCUUGGGUGGUAUGUUCUGCACACGUGCUCUUCGGCGGGCGUUUGUCUCCUGCUUCUCCUCGUCUGUCAUAUUUUGGUAUGCCACCCUUCUGCAGUAAUUCCUCUCUUGAUUCUCCUCGACCGGCAUAUUUUGGUAGGACGCCCUUCUGCAGCUGUUUCUCUCUUGCUUGUCCUCGACCAUCAUAUUUUGGUAGGCCGCCCUUCUAAGGGUGUUACUUUGUUGCUUCUCCUCUGCUGUCAUCCGUUGCCUGGCUUCUCUCUGACGGGCAUUCCUCUCCUCGUCUGUUUUCUUCUUCCUAGCUGCUCUGCGGUGUGCAUUGAUUUUCUCCUUCUCUUCAGGUGUUAGUCUAUCCCGCCGUGCUCUGUAUUGUUCUCGCCUUUUCUGUUUUUUGUCAGAUGUAAUGAUUGCAUUUGAAGCAAUGUGUUCAAGACCAGUGUGUGAGGUGUUGAGUCCAACCGCUAUAUCUGAGCCAAUAUUAUGCUCGAUGCUGCUUUGUGUUCCUUGAAGUGAUACACGGUGAUCAUAGUAAGUGGCUUCACGAGAGUGAUUUCCUGAAAAACCAUUGUGUGGACCACUUAGGUUAACAAAUGUAUAAAUGCAAGCUGAAAUUUUUUUAUGCGUAAGGUCGAUACCGAUUGGCGUUUGAACAUGUUGUACUGGCUGAAAGGCUGUGAGAUUGCCGGCUAUGGGAACCAUCAUAGCCACAUGUGUGUGCACAUUGUCAUCAUCAUCGGAAGACGAAACACUGUAGUCAGUGGUGUCCGUUUGUUCUCGUAUGAAGAAACCAGAUGGUGGCCGGGGUGUAUUGGUGGGUUGUGAUCUUGGUGUCCUCUCAUAAUCAAAAACUGAUAAAAUUAAGCUAGGCUAAGUUCUGAAAGCUUAUUGAAGACCUUAUGUUGAGACAUGUGAGUGGCAUACACAUACCUCUUUUCCCUUUAUCAUACAGAUGCCCUCUGUCCUGUGACAUCUCUAUGUCCUAUAACUUUAUGUUCUUAUUACCUGCAUUCUUUUGCAUUACAAAAAUGAUUAGAUGGUUACUGUAAUUAUGACGAUAUUAGCAAUACAGAUUGGGGGAAUAAGUGCCAUUCUGAAACGUUCUGCAGUUGCUGUGAUUUCUUUGCAUUGGGUGUACUUGCUGGAAAGCAGUGUUGGUUUUGUAAAGGAUCUAUAUGUUUUCAUGCAUGAAUUUCACUUCAGUUCAUAAGAAGACGGUGUUGUUCUAACUUUUACUUCUAACAUAUCAGGAUAACUCAGUCGAGAACUUUAAAAGAGCAAACAAGAUUCUGGCUUCGGAGUCUGAGCCGGUAAUUUCUGAUUAUUUUCGCUUGAAUGUGUAAAGUUUUGUGUUUCUUUUCUUCGAUCACAUGUCUAUUUAUAUUUAGGUUCAAAUAUGGGAUUUCUCUGCGCGAACAACCUUCAUAUGGAUGAAUGAAUGGAACCGUAUGCCCCAAGAUCCUCGGUCUAAGAUCCUCGGCCUUCUGACCAGGAGGUCAUAUCUUCUCGAUCUAAUUUGCCAUUCUAUUGCCUAUGCUUAAUUUCUUGCAUAAGAUUGUUAUAAAUUAAUUGUACAGUUGUGUUGGUCAUAGUCUUUUAUCUCCUAGCUACUUCAUAAGGCUUUUCUACUGCAUUACUACUAAUUAGCCAAAUUAAUCACCAUUUCUGUUAUUUCCUCCUGCAACAACGUAAUUUUAUUUGAAUGCGGAGCACUGGAACGCUAUAUUGCUGGUUUUUUGAGUAAACAUUCACUGUCCUAAUGAAAAAUUUCUACUUUAGUGACUUGAAUUUUCAUGUGCACAUGGGUAGCAAGUAAGUAAUAGUUGCUUUUAAGCGGGUUGAAAUUGAAAGUAUGCUUAUAGCCCCCAUCUUCUCCGAGCUUUUGAAAUCUAACCUCGGCUCAAUGCUGGAGUGCUAAAUUCGGCUGAUGCCUGAAGUUCUACUUAUGUCUGGCAAGUUAUAAGCAUGUUUAGCAUUGUAUAUAUUGGUACUGGUACCCCCCUCCCUCCAUAAUAUCAAAGACGAUGACCGAUCUGGAUUGAGCCGGCUUCCUCAAAAUAGAUGAGUUGGCUUCUGCUAGGUUAAUCCAGACUCGACUGGCCUGACUAAACAAAGUAUACACCAUGUUGUACUUAUGCUUUUGUUCAGUCCUUAAAGGUUGAGUUAAGUAUCUUUGUAAUGUAGGUAAUUUGCUCAGACAUCAUGAAUGCAUUUUAUUUGUAGGCAACAGGUGAGGAUGGUGGCAGGAGGAUGUACCUGCGGCGUGAGGAGAUGGGUGCAGGAACAGCCGGCGCGCGGAGGUGGCUGGUUCCGACGGCCUCAGGUGAGGAUGGUGGCAGGAGGAUGUACCUGCGGCGUGAGGAGAUGGGUGCAGGAACAGACGGCCUUGGUGAGCAACACCAUGAGAGGAGAUGGGUGCAGGAACAGACGGCCUUGGUGAGCAACACCAUGAGACGGGAGCAGAGGUUGCUGGUUCCGGCGUGGCCGGACUGGUUCCGUUCCGGCGGAUGUGGCCGGAGGGCGAGUAUGGGUCCAGCGAGAGGAAAAACUGGCGUUCCUGGUGACGUGCGAUGACGGCUCGAUGGAGCUUCCGCACUUGUUUCUUUGUUUGGUUUGGCUGGGACGUGUCUUUUUUUUGGUUUGUUUUUUUGGUCAAUGCAUGGAGUACUGUUGUUUUUCUUUGGCCGGUGCGUGAUCGUGGUACUGUUGUUUUUCUUUGGCCGGUGCGUGAUCGUGGAUUGAGUCGUAACUGUUGUUUUUCUUUGGCCGGUGCGUGAUCGUGGGCUGAGUUGGUGGAGAUGUAUCUGAUCGUGGGCUGAGUUGGUGGAGAUGUAUCUGAUCGUGGGCUGAGUUGGUGGCGAUGUAUCUGGUUCAUGGGCCGUGUUAGCAACGGGAUGCGAUCGAGGGUGGGGUUGCGGUCGAACCAUCACGACGACGACUGCAUAUCCCCCUUUAAUAGUAGAGAUUGGUCUAACGGGUCAAGCAAGCUUUUCUUCCUGGAAAAAACCAACUAUCGAGCUCUAACGGAAUUGCUAUUGCACAUGUAGAUUAAAACGAUCCACCGCCUCGCGGGUCGUUGGAUGUGACAUAAUCCUAUGGCUCAACGUCUCUCUUUACUUCGCAACAAAGAUCUUGUUGCGGAAACAUUUACAAUAAAGAUUAUGUUGCAGAAUAUAUUCUGCAACAUAGGUUGUAUUGCGGGGUUUUUUUUUGCAACAAAGUUUUUGUUGUAGAUUUGUUUUUUGCAACAAAGGUUUUGUUACAGUUUUUUUUGUAACAGAGCUGAUGUUACAAAAGAUUGUCUAAGUUGCAGUCGUCUGGUUCGGAACACCACCGUUGUUCCAGGAUAAGGUAGAGGACACGUGGUAGACAAGAGAAAUAACGGAGUGUGUGUGCGAGUGUGGGUGACGGUGCAUGGAUCAAGGCGAUCCAAGGCUGUUAUGCGUAGGCUGGCGGAUCUUUUAAAAAGGCAUGUCGGCUCGCGAGCCAUCGUAUCAGGUGGAUUGAGCGAUCGAGCAUCACUUUUUAUCAUUGCAAUACAGGUCAUGUUGUAAGAAAUUCCUGCAUCACUGGUCAUGUUACAGAAUUUUUUGCAACAUAUGUUAAGUUGCAGAUUUUUUUACAGCACAUGUCUUUUUACAAGUUUUUUUUUUCUUGUAACAGAGCUCUUGUUGCAAUUUAGUUUUUUUACAAUAUUUUUCUGCAACACAAGUCUUGUUACAUUUUCUUGCAACAUAUAGUUUGCUGCAGAAAGUAUUGUAGAGGACAGUGAACAACGCUCAGCGGUCACAUUGACUGAAAGAAAGAAAAAGAUAAAACCGUCCAGGCAGGACAUGCGCCACAUGAACAAGCCGGCGGAUCGCACCGCGAGUGUUCGCCGGUUGAAGCCAAGCUUUUUCCAUAUAUUUAAGGAAAAGCUUACCUUCAACCGGCCGAUCGCAAGGUCCGUCCGCCGGCUCCGUGUCCGUCAGAUCAUCAGCUGAUCAGACGGACGAGAGCAAGCCCACCCUCACCUCUGUGUACACAUCGUUUCUGCAACUGAGCAGUUGUUUUGGAAGGGAGUCUCAACUUACUGGCCCUUUUUUGCAGCGGCGCUCAGUGACUCUUGCAGCUGGAGGGCAAUGGAGGCAAGGAAUCUCACCAGAUCCGACAAGGAUAGGGUGCGGGCAGGAGGCGGGGACGUCCGGGAGCCAUGAGGGACGGCGACUCGUGCGGCUAGGAUUCCAGCCGGAUUCGACGAGGAUGACCCGCGGGCAGGAGGUGGGGACGUCCAAGAGCGGCGGGGGCUCGUCUCGGCGAGGUUCGGCGGGGUUGACGGUGAGCGUCAUAGCAAGGACCUGCGACGGCAGCGGCUCACGGUGCUCUUUCUGCACAGUAUGUUUUCUGAACAAAGCUCUUGUUGUGAUAGUAAGGUGUGUUUCUGAAACAAUGCUCUUGUUGCAAAGAGAAACCAUAUGCAGAGAUGCUUUUGACAACGUCGUCAAAGUUUCUGAAACAAAGCUCUUUUUUUACAAUAUUCACUGGUGUUUCUGAAACAAAACUCUUUGUUGAAAUAGUCAGCAUUAUUUCUGAAACAACACUCUUGUUGCGAAGUGGGAUAGUAUGUUGAGAAACUUAUAUCAGACGGCUGGCGAGGUGGCGAAUAUUUAAAAAAAAUCCAUCGGCCGACGCGUAGCACUCCCCUUAAUUUAGGACGCCAAUAACUGCCACACGUGUGGCAUAUCGUGAUGCGGAGCAUCCCACAUUUAUCCCCAUGUACACUCCGACUACUCUCCAAGCCCCAAGAGGACAUAUGACAAGACCUCGAACAUACGCCAUCGGACGCAAGGUGAACUCGCUCCUCUUCGAACCAUCACUUUCCAUACGUGAUACGUGGCUACUACCUCAAACAUGUGUGCUAUGCAUGACCAGGAACCAAGAGGAAGCCCAUGAACAAAAAAGUGAGGACACCAAGCGCGAGGAACGAGAAGAAGAGUUGCGGAAGAAGCUCCAGCCACCGGACGACAGGUCUGGACCGGACGUCCGACGCCUGAAGACCCACCGGACGACCGGUUCGGACCGGACGACCGGCGACCCCGCACCCGAGCCAAAAUGAGCGGACGUCCGACACACUCCAGCAUCCGGACGUCCGAUCGUCCCUGGAAAUCCGGUGCCACCUCAUCCGAGCCGAAACGCCGGACGUCCGACAAGUACCGGACGACCGGACCCUCGCAAGCCAUCGGACGUCCGAUACCUAUCAGACGUCCGACGCCUGUCUGUGCACAGAGAUCGGGCCCGAGGGCCAUGUACCCCUUCACUUCACCCCCAUUUGCACUAAGACUAUAAAUAGACCUUCUCCACCUACUAGUGAGGGUUAGCGCCGUGAUAGCUCAUUUGAGAGAUAGAGCUACGCUCAUCCAUAUUGGGUCUCCUCCUUGCGAGAGACCGCGACCUCUUCGGAGAAGAUCCCUUUGGAUUCAAGCCCCCUUUCUAAAGGAAGAUCCCCGUGGAUUCAAGACCUCCCCACGGAGAAGACCGGUUACCAUGUAUCAUCCCUAGUUGAUCGUGUACCGUGUAUCGUUCCAUGUAUCCGAGGAUCUAGCACAUGUGUGACCUAUUCAAGUUGGUUUGAGUGUUUUCUCUCGUUUUCCCCUUUGUGUUCUUCGUGCUCUUCACGGGAUUCCGCUCCUUUCGUGAAAGAUCGGACGAUAGGGUUCCUACCCUACAUCAUCUUGGUAUCAUGAGCCACGUUGAUCACGAUUUCGGAGCCUCCCCUCAUUGUUUUCUAGCCUAAUUUUGUUGUGUUCUUCCCCAAAUUCGAAAAUCCCCACCAAAAUAGCCCCAAUUUUUUUUUGUGAUUUGUUCGUUUGAUGAAGUUUUGUUGGAUUUGAUCCAUGGAUUUGCUUGGUUUCGAGUGGAUCUAGCAUUUCCCCAAUUUUCCCCACUUUCCAUCCACGAAAUCUCAUCAAUUUUGACCCCAAAAUCUCCAUUUUCCGCCCAAAAUCGCGCCCCGGAUCUCGCAUCUCGCGUUGACCCCGACCCCCGGACGACCGGCCCUUUCAAGGACGUUCGAAGCCCCUCGACCGACCGGACGUCCGACCUUUUCCGGACAACCAGAGCCCCUAACCCGAGCCUAAUUUACGGACUUCCGAGCCCGCCCGGACGUCCGGCCCCCGGACAUCCGACACCUGUAGUUUCCCAUUUCAGCAGAUUUUUGUUUCAGCCAUAACUAAUUCAUUCGGAGUUCGAUUUUCGCGUUCUUUAGCUCGUUGAAAAGCUCUUGACAUCCUCCUUCCCACAAAAAUACAACCAACAUCUUUUGACUCCAUCAAAUUUUUUAAACUUUGGCAUCUUUGCCUAGGGCUUCCACCACAUCAUCCGCUACACCACCACCGACUUCCGCAACCUAACCAAUUUUGUUCCCCAUCGCAUUAGUGGUUGCUUGAGGAGUGAUUUGAGUCUCCUAAGGUGUCUAGGCUACUUAGGGAUGAUUGCUUCUUCAUCAACCACCACCACCACCAUAACUUCCUGAUACAUCUUCGUCGUAUCUACUUUUCCAAACACUUUUGCCCUUAUUUUGCACUCUAACUUACAUGAUUUGAAUGGAACUAACCCGGACUGACAUUGUUUUCAGCAGAAUUGCCACGGUACUAUUUAUGUGCAGAAACAAAAGUUCUCAAAAUGACCUGAAACUCCACGGAGCGUAUUUUUGGAAAUAAUAAAAAAUACUGGCAAAAGAUCAAGACCAGAGGAGCCACACCCUAGCCACGAGGGUGGGGGGCGCACCUGCCCCCCUGGGCGCGCCCCCUACCUUGUGGCCCCCUGGAGCUCCUCCGACCUCAACUCCAACUCUAUAUAUUCACUUUCGAGGGAAAAAAUCAGAGAGAAGGAUUCAUCACGUUUUACGAUAUGGAGCCGCCGCCAAGCCCUAAAACCUCUCGGGAGGACUGAUCUGGAGUCCGUUCGGGGCUCCGGAGAGGGGAAUCCGUCACCGUCGUCUUCAUCAACCAUCCUCCAUCACCAAUUUCAUGAUGCUCACCACCGUGCGUGAGUAAUUCCAUCGUAGGCUUGCUGGACGGCGAUGGGUUGGAUGAGAUUUAUCAUGUAAUCGAGUUAGUUUUGUUAUGGUUUGAUCCCUAGUAUCCACUAUGUUCUGAGAUUGAUGUUGCUAUGACUUUGCUAUGCUUAAUGCUUGUCACUAGGGACCGAGUGCCAUGAUUUCAGAUCUGAACCUAUUAUGUUUUCAUCAAUAUAUGAGAGUUCUUGAUCCUAUCUUGCAAGUCUAUAGUUACCUACUAUGUGUUAUGAUCCGGCAACCCCGAAGUGAAAAUAAUCGGGACCACUCCCGGUGAUGAUCAUAGUUUGAGGAGUUCAUGUAUUCACUAUGCGUUAAAGCUUUGGUCCGGUACUCUAUUAAACAGAGGUCUUAAUAUCCCUUAGUUUCCGCUAGGACCCGCUGCCACGGGAGGGUAGGACAAAAGAUGGCAUGCAAGUUCUUUUCCAUAAGCACGUAUGACUAUAUUCGGAAUACAUGCCUACAUUACAUUGAUGAAUUGGAGCUAGUUCUGUAUCACCCUAGGUUAUGACUGUUACAUGAUGAACCGCAUCCGACAUAAUUCUCCAUCACUGAUCCAUUGCCUACGAGCUUUCCAUAUAUUGUUCUUCGCUUAUUUACUUUUCCAUUGCUACUGUUACAAUUACUAUAAAACACCAAAAAUAUUACUUUUGCUACCGUCACCUUUUGCCACCGCUACCAGUACUAUCAUAUUACUUUGCUACUAAAUACCUUGUUGCAGAUAUUAAGUUAUCCAGGUGUGGUUGAAUUGACAACUCAGCUGCUAAUACUUGAGAAUAUUCUUUGGCUCCCCUUGUGUCGAAUCAAUAAAUUUGGGUUGAAUACUCUACCCUCAAAAACUGUUGCGAUCCCCUAUACUUGUGGGUUAUCAAGACUAUUUUCUAGCGCCGUUGCCGGGAGCAUAGCUCUAUUCUUUGAGUCACUUGGGAUUUAUAUCUGCUUAUCAUUAUGAAGAACUUGAAAGUUCCAAGAACCAAGAUUUAUCCCUCAACUACGAGGGGAGGUAAGGAACUGCCAUCUAGCUCUGCACUUGAUUCACCUUCUGUUUUGAGUAAGCUUGCGACACCUAAACCUUCUUCUGCUAUUUCUGAUAUGUCGCAUGUUAUUGAUGAUGCCACUUCUGCUAUGCAUGAUACUUAUGAUGAAACUACUUCUAUGCUUGAUACUACUAUGCCACUUGGUGAAUUUCUUGAUGAACAACUUGCUAGGGUUAGAGAGAAUGAAAUUAUUGAAACUGAUAAUAUUGAUGAAAGUGAUGAUGAAGACUCUCCCCCUAAUAAAUAUGAAUUGCAUGUUGUUCCUGAGGGUUAUGUUAUGGAUGAAGAAGCUACUAGAGCUAUUUUAGCUUGCAAUGAUAGAUAUGAUCUAAAGAGGUUAUUAGCUAAAUGGAAGCAGCAAUCUCUUAAUGCUAGAAUGAAACCUGACCCUGCUUUUGCUACUUCACCUAUCUGUGUUACUGAUAAGGAUUAUGAAUUCUCUGUUGAUCCUGAUAUAAUUACUUUGGUUGAAUUUGAUCCUUUUUAUGGCUUUGAAUCUGAAACUGUUGUGGCACAUCUUACUAAAUUAAAUGAUAUAGCUACCCUGUUCACUAAUGAUGAGAGAACUCGCUACUUUUAUAUCCUUAAAAUAUUUUCGUUCUCAUUAAAGGGUGAUGCUAAGAUAUGGUUUAAUUCACUUGAUCCUGGUUGUGUGCGUAGUCCCCAGGAUAUGAUUUAUUACUUCUCUGCUAAAUAUUUCCCUGCUCAUAAGAAACAAGCUGCUUUAAGGGAUAUAUAUAUAUAUAUAUAUAUAUAUAUAUAAUUUUGUGCAAAUUGAAGAAGAGAGUCUCCCACAAGCUUGGGGGAGGCUUCUCCAAUUACUUAAUGCUUUGCCUGAUCAUCCUCUUAAGAAAAAUGAAAUACUUGAUAUCUUUUAUAAUGGACUAACCGAUGCUUCCAGAGAUUACCUGGAUAGUUGUGCUGGUUCUGUUUUCAGUGAAAGAACACCGGAUGAAGCUGAAAUUCUAUUGAAUAAUAUGUUGACUAAUGAAAAUAAUUGGACACUUCCUAAGCCUAUUCCUAAACCAACUCUGAAGAAGAGAGGUGUUCUAUUUCUCAGUCCUGAAGAUAUGCAAGAGGCAAAGAAAUCCAUGAAAGAAAAGGGUAUUAAAGCUGAAGAUGUUAAGAAUUUACCUCCUAUUGAAGAAAUACAUGGUCUUAAUUUACCGCCUACUGAAGAAAUACAUGGUCUUGAUAACCCGACACAGAUAGUAAAGGUAAAUUCUCUCUAUAGAUAUGAUAAAGCUGAAAUCCCAUUUACUAAGUUUGCUAGCCCAUGCUUAGAUGAGUUUGAUAAAUUUAUGGUUAAGCAAGAAGACUUCAAUGCUUAUUUUGGUAGAGAAUUAAAACACAGUGCUGAUAUGCUUGAACACUUGGGUGACUAUAUGGCUAAUGUCAAAGGUGAACUUAAACUUAUUAGUAAACAUGCUUCUAUGGUUACCACUCAAGUAGAACAAGUACUUAAAGCUCAAAAUGAUUUGCUCAAUGAAUUGAAUAGUAAGAAUAAUGAUUUUGUUGUUAGAGUGGCUACUAGAACUGGUAAAAUGACUCAGAAACCUUUGUAUCUUGAAGGCCACCCUAAGAGAAUUGAAAGGAAGAAAAAGAAGAAUGAUAGGACUUUGCAUGCUUCUAGUGAACCUAUUACUGAAACACCUGAGAAUCCAAAUGAUAUUUCUAUUUCUGAUGCUGAAACACAAUCUGGUAAUGAACCUGAAACUAGUGAUAAUAUUAAUGAUAAUGUUCAUGAUGAUGCUCAACCUAGCAAUGAUAAUGAUAUAGAAAUUGAACCUGCUGUUAAUCUUGAUAACCCACAAUCAAAGAAUCAACGUUAUGAUAAGAGAGACUUUGUUGCUAGGAAACAUGGUAAAGAAAGAGAACCAUGGAUUCAGAAACCCAUGCCUUUUCCUCCCAAACCAUCCAAGAAAAAGGAUGACGAGGAUUUUGAGCGCUUUGCUGAAAUGAUUAGACCUAUCUUUUUGCGUAUGUGAUUAACUGAUAUGCUUAAAAUGAAUCCUUAUGCUAAGUACAUGAAAGAAAUUGUUACUAAUAAAAGAAAGAUACCGGAAGCUGAAAUUUCCACCAUGAUUUCUAAUUAUACUUUUAAAAGUGGAAUACCAAAGAAACUUGGAGAUCCAGGAGUACCCACUGCUCCAUUAAAAGAAACUAUGUUAAAACUGCUUUAUGUGAUCUUGGAGCCGGUGUUAGUGUUAUGCCUCUCUCUUUAUAUACUUAUACUUGAUUUGAAUAAGUUGACACCUACUGAAAUAUCUUUGCAAAUGGCUGAUAAAUCAACUACUAUACCUGUCGGUAUUUGUGAGGAUGUGCCUGUUGUGGUUGCAAAUGUUACUAUUUUAACGGACUUUGUUAUUCUUGAUAUUCCCGAGGACGAUAGUAUGUCUAUUAUUCUUGGAAGACCCUUUUUGAAUACUGCAGGGGCUGUUAUUGAUUGCAAAAAAGGCCAUGUCACUUUUCAUAUUAAUGGUAAUGAGCAUACGGUACACUUUCGGGGGAAACAACCUCAAGUACAUAGUAUCAAUUCUAAUGGAAAAAUUCCAUCGAUUAUUUUUGGAGGUUUUGAAUUUCCUCUACCUACUGUCAAGAAGAAAUAUGAUAUUCUUAUUGUUGGGGAUGUGCAUAUCCCCGUUGAGGUAACCUAGUGUUAUUCGAAAAUUCUCGGUUCCAUGUUAUUCGGAAUGAGUUUGUUAACAAGACUUGAUCAACCUUGUUAAUGGAUUCAUUGUGAUGAUCAUGAGAUGGAUUAAGUUAGAAAGAACAACCCCGUGUACCCUCCUUUUACCUUUUGUUAUUUAUAUUAAAUAAAGUAAAAAUAGUAUUUUCUGUCUGUUAUCUGAAUUAUCCGUGCAAUAUAAAAAUACCUAGAAAAAAAGUUCUCCAAAUGCCCUGAAAUUUAAAUAUGAUUUUUUCUGGAAUAUUUGAGAAUAUUUGGCACUGAGAACACAGCAGGGGAGCAUCCACCUGUCCACGAGGGUGGAGGCCGCGCCCUACCCCCCUGGGCGCGCCCCCCUGCCUCAUGGGCCCACGGUGGCCCUCCUCCACUUAUUCCUGCACCCACACACUCCUUCUUCCUCCCACAAACACCAUUAUCCAGCUCAAGCACGAGUUCUAGAUCAUUUUGCUGUGAUUUUCGAUCUCCUUGCUCAAAGCACCUCUCACAAAACUGCUUUGGGGGAUUGUUCCUUGGUAUGUGACUCCUCCAAUGGUCCAAUUAGUUUUUGUUCUAGUGCUUUAUUCAUUGCAUAUUUUUGCUGCCUAGGUGACCCUGUUCUUGAGCUUGCAUGUCAAAUUUAUGUGGUUCCAAGUAGUUUUGAUGCAUGAUAUAGGCUCUAGGCACUUGUAGGAGUAGUUGAUAUCAAUUUUGUUGAGUUUGGUUCACUUUUAUUUGAAGUUACUAAAAAUUUCAGAUUUUUUCAGAAAAUAAUGAAGAGAUUUUUGAGGGGCUCAUCGAGCCAAAGCUCGAAGGAAAAGCAAAAUGAAGAAGCAAAGAGGCCCAAAUAUAAUCUGCGUCGUAUCGCGGAGGUUCGGCCGUGUGAAUGGCCUUGUGAUGAUUUCUUGAGAGCAGCCGGGAUUUAUGAUGAUUUCUAUGAAUUGGCUGAGAAUGCAUGCCUCACCGCCUUCCUCCACGACUAGCGCGAACAGUAUCUCUUACUCACCAAUAUCUUUGUGCAAAACUUUCAUUUCCAUGAUAGGAGCUCACCACCUACGGUGGAGUUUUAUUUAUAUGAUGAGCAUAAGGAGAUGUCACUUCGUGAUUUUUGUUGGGUUUGUUUGAUCCCUUUUGAGGGCAUCAUAGAGGAACCACAUCACAGCUAUGUGGAUGGGUUUAUUGAUACCAUCACUGCAAGGGAAACGAGGAAGGUUUCCGAUGCACGAACUACUAGCAUACACUUUCCCGUUCUACGUUACUUUGCUAUAUUUGCUAGUAGAUACUUGAUUGGGCGCGGAAACUGUGGAAACCUGAGUGCCCCUGUUAUUGUUAUUUUGUGCCAUGCCUUAUUUCAUGAUGAUACAUUCAGCAUGGGUGCUAUUAUUGCAAAACGGUUAAAUCUUAACCGUACUAAGGGCCCCGUCUUUGGAGGCAUCUUCCCCUCGUGCCUAGCUACACAUUUUAACAUACCUAUUAGGCAUUAUGAGAAGGAAGAAAAAUUGCUACCUCUUGUUUAUUUAGAUUAUAAGAGUAUUGUAGCACACGAUUUUAUUGCUAAGAAUAGGGGAAAUGAGCUCAAAUACAAAUUGUUCUUUGAUAAACAUCAUCCUGGGACUAUUACCCUGCCUGCUCAUUCCUUGUUUGAUUUAUCUGCAGGCAAGUACCUUGUUCCGUUGGAGGCUAUUCACGCCUACCGGAACCCUACAUCAGCCAUAGAGCCAGAGUCGGAACCACAAGUUGAUCCUCCACGACAAUCUAAUUACCAGUGGGAUCCGGAGAUGAUUACCAACAAGUGGCAAUCAGAGUCUUCUUCUUUGCAGUACGACCCCAACUAUUACUAUGGAUAUCCGACAGGCCAACCGUGGCCAUAGACCAACUUAGGCGAAAAGCCUAAGCUUGGGGGAGUAUGUAUUUCCCACUGACAUUACAUUCAUGUUCACACACUCAUUGCAAGAUAUCGGUGCUCAUACUUUUUCAUUGUAAUAUCCAUGCUAGUUUAUUUCUUUUUUGUGCUUUCUUCUUGUGUGUUUGAUAAACCUUAAGAAAACAAAAAAAGCUGUAGCUUUUAAUUAGUUUACUUUCCAUGCUUGUAGUAGUAAUUAAAAAGAAAACCCAAAAAGAUUUCCUGUUCUUCUUUUUGCUUGUUGCGAACUUUCCCGUGUAAAUAGUUUUAUUUCUUUUCUUUGGGGGUCGAUAGGAGAAGACGAUGAUUAAAUUGUUAAAGUGGCUCUUAUUUGCAUUAUUGUUGAUCUAACAAAAGAGCCCAUAUUGCCUUGUCUUCUCCUGUUUAUUGAAUGCUUGCAGAUUCCAGCUUAGUCCAAUGCACAUGCACUGUUAUUAUUAUUCACAUCAUUCGGUCGUGCAAGUGAAAGGCAAUUAUGACGAUAUAUGAUGAACUGAUUGAGAUGGGAGAAGCUGGUAUGAACUCGACCUCUCUUGUUUUUGUAAAUAUGAUUAGUUCAUCAUUCCUGAUUCAGCCUAUUAUGAAUAAACAUGUUUGCAAUGACAAUUAGAGAUCAUAGUUUCUAAUGCCAUGCUUAAUUAACUAGGAGCUUAUAAUGGUUUACCUUGCAUGCCAACAUGUUAUUAAAAUGGUUGUGAUGUGGUAUGAUAGGGUGGUAUCCGCUUUUGAACGAUUUGAGUGGCUUGACUUGGCACAUGUUCACGCAUGUAGUUCAAACAAAAUCAACAUAGCCUCUACGAUAUUUAUGUUCAUGGUGCAAUAUAUCCUACCCAUGCUUGCAUUCGGUGUUGAUUAAUUUUAAUGCAUGUUCAUGACUGUUGUCGCUCUCUAGCUGGUCGCUUCCCAGUCUUUUUCUAGCCUUCACUUGUACUAAGCAGGAAUGCUGCUUGUGCAUCCAAUCCCAUAAACCCAAAAGUUAUUCCAUAUGAGUCCACCAUACCUACCUAUAUACGGUAUCUACCUGCCGUUCCAAGUAAAUUUGUAUGUGCCAAACUCUAAACCUUCAAAUAAACAUUCUGUUUUGUAUGCUCGAAUAGCUCAUGUAUCAACUAGGGUUGUCCGUAUCUUCCAUGUUAGGCGGGUUAUUCUCAAGAGGAGUGGACUCCGCUCCUCACUCACGAGAAAAUGGUUGGUCACCGGGAUGCCCAGUCCCAUGCUUUAUGCAAAUCAAAUCAAAAUAAUUGCAAACAAAACUCCACCUGGGACUCUUGUUAGUUGGAGGCACUCGUUGUUUCGAGCAAGCCAUGGAUUGAUGCUUGUUGGUGGAGGGGGAGUAUAAACUUUACCAUUCUGUUUGGGAACCGCCUAUAAUGUGUGUAGCAUGGAAGAUAUCGCUAUCUCUUGGUUGUUAUGUUGACAAUGGAAGUAUACCACUCAAAAUAUUAUUCAUCUCUAUUUUAAAAUUGAGCUCUGGCACCUCUACAAAUCCCUGCUUCCCUCUGCGAAGGGCCUAUCAAUUUACUUUCAUGUUGAGUCAUCAUCUUCUUAUUAAAAAGCACCAGUUGGAGAGCACCACUGUCAUUUGCAUUCAUUACUGUUAGUUUACAUUGAGUAUGACUUGACUGAAUCUCUUUUACCAUGAAUUACAAUGUCUAGUCAGUCCUUGAUCCUUAAAGGUGUUCUGCAUUUAUGUUUUGCGGUCUCAGAAAGGGCUAGCGAGAUACCAUCUUGUUAUAUCAUAUUAUGAUAGUUUUGAGAAAGUGUUGUCAUCCGAGAUUUAUUAUUAUUGCUCGCUAGUUGAUUAUGCCAUUGAUAUGAGUAAACAUGAGACCUGAGGGUCAUUGUGAAUAUGGUUAGUUCAUAAUCUUUGCUGAAAACUUGAAUGCUGGCUUUACAUAUUUACAACAACAAGAGCAAACAGAGUUUGUAAAAGUUUUUCUUUAUCACUUUCAGUUUGUCAACUGAAUUGCUUGAGGACAAGCAAAGGUUUAAUCUUGGGGGAGUUGAUACGUCUCCGUCGUAUCUACUUUUCCAAACACUUUUCCCUUGUUUUGGACUCUAACUUGCAUGAUUUGAAUGGAACUAACCCGGACUAACGUUGUUUUCAGCAGAAUUGCCAUGGUGUUAUUUAUGUGCAGAAACAAAAGUUCUCGGAAUGACCUGAAACUCCACGGAGCGUAUUUUUGGAAAUAAUAAAAAAAUACUAGCAAAAGAUCAAGACCAAGGGGGCCACACCCUAGCCACGAGGGUGGGGGACGCGCCUGCCCCCCUGGGCGCGCCCCCUACCUCGUGGGCCCCCUGGAGCUCCUCCGACCUCAACUCCAACUCUAUAUAUUCACUUUCGGGGAGAAAAAAAUCAGAGAGAAGGAUUCAUCGCGUUUUACGAUAUGGAGCCGCCACCAAGCCCUAAAACCUCUCGGGAGGGCUGAUCUGGAGUCCGUUCGGGGCUCCGGAGAGGGGAGAAUCCAUCACCGUCGUCAUCAUCAACCAUCCUCCAUCACCAAUUUCAUGAUGCUCACCGCCGUGCGUGAGUAAUUCCAUCGUAGACUUGCUGGACGGUGAUGGGUUGGAUGAGAUUUAUCAUGUAAUCAAGUUAGUUUUGUUAGGGUUUGAUCCCUAGUAUCCACUAUGUUCUGAGAUUGAUGUUGCUAUGACUUUGCUAUGCUUAAUGCUUGUCACUAGGGCCCGAGUGCCAUGAUUUCAGACCUGAACCUAUUAUCUUUUCAUCAAUAUAUGAGAGUUCUUGAUCCUAUCUUGCAAGUCUAUAGUCACCUACUAUGUGUUAUGAUCCGGCAACCCUGAAGUGACAAUAAUCGGGACCACUCCCGGUGAUGACCAUAGUUUGAGGAAUUCAUGUAUUCACUAUGUGUUAAUGCUUUGGUCCGGUACUCUAUUAAAAGGAGGCUUUAAUAUCCCUUAGUUUCCGCUAGGACCCCGUGAUAACCCACAAGUAUAGGGGAUCGCAACAGCUUUCGAGGGUAGAGUAUUCAACCCAAAUUUAUUGAUUCGACACAAGGGGAGCCAAAGAAUAUUCUCAAGUAUUAGCAGCUGAGUUGUCAAUUCAACCACACCUGGAAACUUAGUAUCUGCAGCAAAGUGUUUAGUAGCAAAGUAAUAUGAUAGUGGUGGUAGCGGCAACAAAAGUAAAGACAGCAAAAGUAAUGUUUUUGGUAUUUUGUAGUGAUUGUAACAGUAGCAGCGAGAAAGUAAAUAAGUGUAAACCAGUAUAUGGAAAACUCGUAGGCACCGGAUCAGUGAUGGAUAAUUAUGCCGGAUGCGGUUCAUCAUGUAUCAGUCAUAACAUAGGGUGACACAGAACUAGCUCCAAUUCAUCAAUGUAAUGUAGGCAUGUAUUCCGUAUAUAGUCAUACGUGCUUAUGGAAAAGAACUUGCAUGACAUCUUUUGUCCUACCCUCCCGUGGCAGCGGGGUCCUAUUGGAAACUUAGGGAUAUUAAGGCCUCCUUUUAAUAGAGAACCGGAACAAAGCAUUAGCACAUAGUGAAUACAUGAACUCCUCAAACUAUGGUCAUCACCGGGAGUGGUCCCGAUUAUUAUCACUUCGGGGUUGCCGGAUCAUAACACAUAGUAGGUGACUAUAGACUUGCAAGAUAGGAUCAAGAACUCACAUAUAUUCAUGAAAACAUAAUAGGUUCAGAUCUGAAAUCAUGGCACUCGGGCCCUAGUGACAAGCAUUAAGCAUAGCAAAGUCAUAGCAACAUCAAUCUCAGAACAUAAUGGAUACUAGGGAUCAAACCCUAACAAAACUAACUCGAUUACAUGAUAAAUCUCAUCCAACCCAUCACCGUCCAGCAAGCCUAUGAUGGAACUACUCACGCACGGCGGUGAGCAUCAUGAAAUUGGUGAUGGAGGAUGGUUGAUGAUGACGACGGCGACGAAUCCCCCUCUCCGGAGCCCCGAACGGACUCCAGAUCAGCCCUCCCGAGAGGUUUUAGGGCUUGGCGGCGGCUCCGUAUCGUAAAACGCGAUGAUUUCUUCUCUCUAAUUUUUUUCUCUCCGAAAGCAAAUAUAUAGAGUUGGAGUUGGCGUCGGAGGGUUUCCAGGGGGCCCACGAGGUAGGGGGCGCGCCCUAGGGGGGGCGCCCCCCACCCUCGUGAGAAGGGUGUGGGCCCCCUGGUCUUCAUCUUUGGCGAGGAUUUUUUAUUAUAUUUUCUAAGACGUUCCAUGGAGUUUCAGGUCAUUCCGAGAAUAUUUGUUUUCUGCACAUAAAAAAACACCAUGGCAAUUCUGCUGAAUACAGCGUCAGUCCGGGUUAGUUCCAUUCAAAUCAUACAAGUUAGAGUCCAAAACAAGGGCAAAAGUGUUUGGAAAAGUAGAUACGACGGAGACGUAUCAACUCUCCCAAGCUUAAACCCUUGCUUGUCCUCAAGCAAUUCAGUUGACAAACUGAAAGAAAGAAAGAAAAACUUUUACAAACUCUGUUUGCUCUUGUUGUUGUAACUAUGUCAAGCCAGCAUUCAAGUUUUCAGCAUAGAUCAUAACUAACCACAUUUGCAAUAAUUCUCAGGUCUCAUAAUUACUCAUAUCAAUAGCAUAAUCAACUAGCAAGUCAUAAUAAUAAAUCUCGAAUGACAACACUUUCUCAAAACAAUCAUAAUAUGAUAUAACAAGAUGGUAUCUCGCUAGCCCUUUCUGAGACCGCAAAACAUAAAUGCAGAGCACCUUUAAAGAUCAAGGACUGACUAGACAUUGUAAUUCAUGGUAAAAGAGAUCCAAUCAUAGUCACACCCAACAUAAAUUAAUAGUGAUGAAUGCAAAUGACAGUUGUGCUCUCCAGCUAGUGCUUUUUAAUAAGAGGGUGAUGACUCAACAUAAAAGUAAAUGGAUAGGCCCUUCGCAGAGGGAAGCGGGGAUUUGUAGAGGUGCCAGAGCUCGGUUUUGCAAUAGAGAUAAAUUGUAUUUUGAGCGGUAUACUUUCAUUGUCAACAUAACAACUAAGAGAUGGCGAUAUCUUCCUUGCUACACACAUUAUAGGCGGUUCCCAAAUAGAAUGGUAAAGUUUAUACUCCCCCUCCACCAACAAACAUCAAUCCAUGGCUUGCUCGAAACAACGAGUGCCUCCAACACACAUUAGGACCCAGGGGGAGUUUUGUUUGCAAUUAAUUUUGAUUUAGUUUGCAUAAAGCAUGGGACUGGGCAUCCCGGUGACCAGCCAUUUUCUCGUGAAUGAGGAGCGGAGUCCACUCCUCUUGAGAAUAACCCGCCUAACACGGAAGAUAAGGACAGCCUUGGUUGAUACAUGAGCUAUUCGAGCAUACAAAACAGAAUGUUUAUUUGAUGGUUUAGAGUUUGGCACAUACAAAUUUACUUGGAACGGCAGGUAGAUACCGCAUAUAGGAAGGUAUAGUGGACUCAUCUGGAAUAACUUUGGGGUUUAAGGGAUUGGAUGCACAAGCAAUAUUCCCGCUUAGUACAAGUGAAGGCUAGCAAAAGACUGGGAAGCGACCAACUAGAGAGCGACAACAGCCAUGUACAUGCAUUAAAAUUAAUAAAAAUUGGAUGCAAGCAUGAGUAGGAUAUAAUCCACCAUGAACAUAAAUAUCGUGAAGGCUAUGUUGAUUUGUUUCAACUACAUGCGUGAACAUGUGCCAAGUCAAGUCACUUAAAUCAUUCAAAGGAGGAUACCAUCCCAUCAUACCACAUCAUAACCAUCUCAAUAGCAUGUUGGCACACAAGGUAAACCAUUAUAACUCAUAGCUAAUCAAGCAUGGCACAAGCAACUACGAUCUCUAAUUGUCAUUGCAAACAUGUUUAUUCAUAAUAAGCUGAAUCAAGAACGAGAGACUCAUCAUAUUUACAAAAACAAAAGAGGUCGAGUUCAUACCAGCUUUUCUCAUCUCACUCAGUCCAUCAUAUAUCAUCAUAAUUGCCUUUCAUUUGCACGACCGAAUGGUGUGAAUAAUAAUAAGAGUGUACAUGCAUUGGACUAAGCUGGAAUCUGCGAGCAUUCAAUAAACAUGAGAAGAGAAGGCAAUAUGGGCUCUGGGUUAAAUCAACAAUAAUGCAUAUAAGAGCCACUUCAAUAAUUUAAUUAUGGUCUUCUCCUACUGACCCCCAAAGAAAAGAAAUAAAACUAUUUACACGGGAAACCUCCCAACAAGCAAAAGAAGAACAGGAAAUAUUUUUGGGUUUUCUUUUUAAGUAUUACUACUACAGCAGAAAAAUAAACUACUACUAUUUUUUUUGGUUUUUCUUAAGGUUUGACAAACACACAAGAGGAAAGCAUAAAAAGGAAAAUAAACUAGCAUGGAUGAUACAAUGAAAAAGUAUGAGCACCGACAUCUGGCAAUGAGUGUGUGUGAACAUAAAUGUAAGGUCGGUGGGAAAUACGUACUCCCCCAAGCUUAGGCUUUUGGCCUAAGUUGGUUUAUGGCCACGGCUGGCCUGGCGGAUAUCCAUAAUAAUAGUUGUUGGGGUUGUACUAUGAUGAGGAAGAAGAAGGCUCCGAUUGCCACUGGCUGGCAAUCAUCUCCAGAUCCCACUGAUAGUUAGGUUGUCGUGAAGGAUCAAAUUGUGGUUCCGGUUCUGGCUCCUCGGCUGGUGCAGGGUUCCGGUAGGCGUGAAUAGCCGUCAACGGAACAAGGUACGAGCCUACUAUCAAAUCAAACAAAGAAGGAGCAGGCAAGGUAAUAGUCUCAGGAUGAUGUUUAUUAAAGAACAACUGAUAUUUAAGCUCUCCUGCCUUAUUCUUAACAAUAAAAUCAUGUGCCACCAUACUUUUAUGAUCUAGAUAAACACGGGGCAGCACCUUUUCUUCCUUCUCAGCAUGCCUAAUAGGUAUGUUAAAAUGUGCGGCUAGGCGUGUAGCAUAGAUGCCUCCAAAGAUGGGGCCCUUAGUACGGUUCAUAUUUAACCGUCUAGCAAUAAUACCGCCCAUACUAAAAGUGUUAUCACUGUAUAAACCUUGGAGUAGAAUAAUUAUAUCAGGGAUACUAAGGUUUCCACAGUUUCCGCGUCCAAUUAAACAACGACUAGCAAAUAAUGCAAAGUAACGUAAAACAGGAAAAUGUAUGCUAGUGAUUCGUGCAUCGGAAACCUUCCUGGUUUCUCCUACAGUGAUAUUAUUAAUAAAUCCCUCCACAUCAUCAUGAUGUGGUUCUUCUGUCUUGCCCUCAAAAGGGACUAAACAAAUCUGACAGAAAUCAUAAAGUGACAUCUCCUUAUGCUCAUCAUAUAAAUGAAACUCCACCGUAGGUGGUGAGUUCCUAGAAUGAAAGUGAAAGUUUUGCACAAAGGUAUUUGUGAGUAAGAGAUACUAAUUGCAUUGGUCAUGAAGGAAAGCAGUGAGGCCUGCAUUGUGAGACAAUUCAUGAAAAUCUUCAUAGAUACCCGCUGCUUUCAAGAAAUCAUCAAAAGGCCAUUCACACGCCCGAAUCUCCGUGGUGCGUGGCAAAUUAUACUUAGGCUUCGGUGCCUUUUCCUUCGAGCUUUGGCUCGAUGAGCCCCUCAAGAAUCUCCUCAUUAUAUUCUGAAUUCUGAAAUUUUUAGUAACUUCAAACAAAAGUGAACCAACUUCAAUAAAACUAAUAGCAACUACUCCUACAAGUGCCUAGAGCCUAUAUCAAGCAUUAGAACUACUUAUAACCAUAUAAAUUUGACAUGCAAGCUCAAGAACAUGGUCACCUAUGCAGCACAAAUUUGCAAAGAAUAAAGCACUAGAACAAAAACUAAUUGGACCAAUGGAGGAGUCACAUACCAAGGAACAAUCUGCCCAAGCAGUUUUGCGAGAGGUGCUUUGAGCAAGGAGAUCGAAAAUCACAGCAAAAGUGGCUGGAACUCGUGCUUGAGUUGGUUUUUUGGGUUUGUGUGAGACAGAGGAAGAAGAUGGGUGCUGGGAUAAGUGGAGGAGGGCUAUCGUGGGCCCACGAGGCAGGGGGCGCACCCUAGAGGGGGGGGGCACCCACCACCCUCGUGGCCAGGUGGCAGCUCCUCCCGCGGUAAUUUUUGCACAGUAAAUCCUCAAAUAUUCCCAAAAAAAUCAUAUUAAAUUGGCAUGUCAUUCUGAGGACUUUUAUUUUUGGGAUAUUUUUAUAUUGCACGGAUAAGUCAGGAAACAGACAGAAAAAUACUAUUUUUACUUUAUUUCUACUAAUUAACAGAAAGUAUAGAGAGGGUACAGAAGGUUGUGCUUCUAGUUUCAUCCAUCUCAUGCUCAUCAAAAAGAAUCCACUAACAAGGUUGAUCAAGUCUUGUUAACAAACCCAUUCCAAUAAUCAUGAAACCGGAGAAAUUUCGAAUAACACUAAGUUACCUCAAUGGGGAUAUGCACAUCCCCUAUAAUAAGUAUAUCAUAUUUCUUCUUGACAGUAGGAAGAGGAAAUUCAAAACCUCCAAAUAUAAUCGAUGGAAUUUUUCCAAUGGAGUUGAUACUAUGAACUUGAGGUUGUUUCCUCGGAAAGUGUAUCGUAUGCUCAUCACCAUUAACAUGAAAAGUGACAUUGCCUUUGUUGCAAUCAAUAACAGCCCCUGCAGUAUUAAGAAAAGGUCUUCCAAGAAUAAUAGACAUACUAUCAUCCUCGGGAAUAUCAAGUAUAACAAAGUCCGUUAAAAUAGUAACGUUUGCAACCACAACAGGCACAUCCUCACAAAUACCGACAGGUAUAACAGUUGAUUUAUCAGCCAUUUGCAAAGAUAUUUCGGUAGGUGUCAGCUUAUUCAAGUCAAGGCUACGAUAUAAAGAGAGAGGCAUAACACUAACACCGGCUCCAAGAUCACAUAAAGCAGUUUUAAUAUAAUUUAUUUUAAUGGAGCAAGGUAUAGUAGGUACUCCGGGAUCUCCAAGUUUCUUUGGUAUUCCACCCUUAAAGUAUAAUUAGCAAGCAUGGUGGAAAUCUCAGCUUCCAGUAUCUUUCUUUUAUUAGCAAUGAUAUCUUUCAUAUAUUUAGCAUAAGGAUUUGUUUUGAGCACAUCAGUUAAUCGCAUACGCAGAAAGAUAGGCCUAAUCAUUUCAGCAAAGCGCUCAAAAUCCUCAUCAUCCUUUUUCUUGGAUGGUUUUGGAGUAAAGGGCAUGGGUUUCUGAACCCAAGGUUCCCUUUCUUUACCAUGUUUCCUAGCAAGAAAGUCUCUUUUAUCAUAACGUUGAUUCUUUGAUUGUGGGUUAUCAAGAUCAACAGCAGGUUCAAUUUCUACAUCAUUGUCAUUACUAGGUUGAGCAUCAUCAUGAACAUCAUUAUUAACAUUUUCACUAGGUUCAUGUUCAUUACCAGAUUGUGUUUCAGCAUCAGACAUAGAUAUAUCAUUUGGAUUAUCAGGUGGUUCAGCAAUAGGUUUACUAGAAGUUUGCACAGUUCUAUCAUUUUUCUUUUUCUUCUUUUUAGAAGAACUAGGAACAUCAAUUUUAUUUCUCUGAGAAUCUUGCUCGAUUCUCCUAGGGUGGCCUUCAGGAUACAAAGGUUCCUAAGUCAUUCUACCCGUUCUAGUAGCCACUCUAACAACAUAAUCAUUUUUCUUACUAUUCAUUUCAUCAAGCACUUCUUUUUGAGCUUUAAGCACUUGUUCUACUUGAGUGGUAACCAUAGAGGCAUGUUUGCUAACAAGUUUAAGUUCACCUUUAAUAUUAGCCAUAUAAUCACCCAAGCGUCUAAUCAUAUAAGCAUUUUCUUUUAAUUGUCUACCAAAAUAAGCAUUGAAGUCGUCUUGUUUAUACAUAAAGUUAUCAAACUCAUCCAAGCACUGACUAGCAAUUUUAGUAGGAGGGACUUCAGCUUUAUCAUAUCUAUAGAGAGAAUUUACCUUUACUACCUGUGUCGGGAUAUCGGGGUUGGGAGGUUCUUCAAUAAAUAAAGAAUUGAGAUCAUAAGUUUCUUCAAUAGGCGGUAUAUUAAGACCAUGUAUUUCUUCAGUAGGAGGUAAAUUCUUAACGUCUUCAGCUUUAAUACCUUUCUCUUUCAUAGAUUUCUUUGCCUCUUGCAUAUCUUCGGGACUGAGAAAUAGAACACCCCUCUUCUUCGGAGUUGGUUUAGGAAUAGGCUCAGUAAUUGGAGCAGGAGCUGGCUCAGGAGGUGGCUCAGGAGGUGCCCAAUUAUUUUCAUUUGUCAACAUAUUAUUCAAUAAGAUUUUAGCUUCAUCCGGUGUUCUUUCCCUGAAAUGAGAACCAGCACAACUAUCAGGGUAAUCUCUAGAAGCAUCGGUUAGUCCAUUAUAAAAGAUAUCAAGUAUUUCAGGUUUCUUAAGAGGAUGAUCAGGCAAAGCAUUAAGUAACUUGAGAAGCCUCCCCCAAGCUUGUGGGAGACUCUCUUCUUUAAUUUGCACAAAGUUGUAUAUUUCCCUCAAAGCAGCUUGUUUCUUAUGAGCAGGGAAAUAUUUAGUAGAGAAGUAAUAAAUCAUGUCCUGGGGACUACGCACACAACCAGGAUUAAGAGAAUUAAACUAUAUCUUAGCAUCACCCUUUAAUGAGAACGAAAAUAUUUUGAGUAUAUAAAAGUAAUGCGAUCUCUCAUCAUUAGUGAAUAGGGCAGCUAUAUCAUUUAACUUAGUAAGAUGUGCCACAACAGUUUCAGAUUCAUAGCCAUAAAACGGAUCAGAUUCAACCAAAGUAAUUAUAUCAGGAUCAACAGAGAAUUCAUAAUCCUUAUCAGGAACACAUAUAGGUGAAGUAGCAAAAGCAGGGUCGGGUUUCAUUUUAUCUCUAAGUGAUUCUUUGUUCCAUUUAAUUAAUAACCUCUUAAGCUCAUAUCUAUCUCUGCAAGCUAAAAUAGUGGCAGAAGAUUCCAUAUCAAAAAGAUAGCCCUCAGGAAUAACAGGCAUAUUUUCAUCAUCACUAUCAUCAUCGUAUUCAGAUUCAAUAAUUUCUUUUUCUCUAGACCUAGCAAUUUGUUCAUCAAGAAAUUCACCAAGGGGCACAGUAGUAUCAGACAUAGAAGCAGUUUCAUCAUAAGUAUCAUGCAUAGCAGAAGUGGCAUCAUCAAUAACAUGCGACAUAUCAGAAUGAAUAGCAGAAGCAGGUGUAGGUGUCGCUAGCUUACUCAUAACAGAAGGUGAAUCAAGUGCAGAGCUAGAUGGCAGUUCCUUACCUCCCCUCGUAGUUGAGGGAUAGAUCUUGGUUUUUGGAUCUCUCAAGUUCUUCAUAAUGAUAAACAGAUAUAAAUCCCAAGUGACUCAAAGAAUAGAGCUAUGCUCCCCGGCAACAGCGCCAUAAAUUAGUCUUGAUAACCCAUGAGUAUAGGGGAUCGCAACAGCUUUCGAGGGUAGAGUAUUCAACCCAAAUUUAUUGUUUCGACACAAGGGGAGCCAAAGAAUAUUCUCAAGUAUUAGCAGCUGAGUUGUCAAUUCAACCACACCUGGAAACUUAGUAUCUGCAGCAAAGUGUUUAGCAGCAAAGUAAUAUGAUAGUGGUGGUAGCGGCAACAAAAGUAAAGAUAGCAAAAGUAAUGUUUUUGGUAUUUUGUAGUGAUUGUAACAGUAGCAGCGAGAAAGUAAAUAAGCGUAAACCAGUAUAUGGAAAACUCAUAGGAACCGGAUCAGUGAUGGAUAAUUAUGCCGGAUGCGGUUCAUCAUGUAUCAGUCAUAACAUAGGGUGACACAGAACUAGCUCCAAUUCAUCAAUGUAAUGUAGGCAUGUAUUCCGUAUAUAGUCAUACGUGCUUAUGGAAAAGAACUUGCAUGACAUCUUUUGUCCUACCCUCCCGUGGCAGCGGGGUCCUAUUGGAAACUUAGGGAUAUUAAGGCCUCCUUUUAAUAGAGAACCAGAACAAAGCAUUAGCACAUAGUGAAUACAUGAACUCCUCAAACUAUGGUCAUCACCGGGAGUGGUCCCGAUUAUUGUCACUUCGGGGUUGCCGGAUCAUAACACAUAGUAGGUGACUAUAGACUUGCAAGAUAGGAUCAAGAACUCACAUAUAUUCAUGAAAACAUAAUAGGUUCAGAUCUGAAAUCAUGGCACUCGGGCCCUACUGACAAGCAUUAAGCAUAGCAAAGUCAUAGCAACAUCAAUCUCAGAACAUAAUGGAUACUAGGGAUCAAACCCUAACAAAACUAACUCGAUUACAUGAUAAAUCUCAUCCAACCCAUCACCAUCCAGCAAGCCUAUGUAACUACUCACGCACGGCGGUGAGCAUCAUGAAAUUGGUGAUGGAGGAUGGUUGAUGAUGACGACGGCGACGAAUCCCCCUCUCCGGAGCCCCGAACGGACUCCAGAUCAGCCCUCCCGAGAGGUUUUAGGGCUUGGCGGCGGCUCCGUAUCGUAAAAUGCGAUGAUUUCUUCUCUCUGAUUUUUUUUCUCUCUGAAAGCGAAUAUAUAGGGUUGGAGUUGGCGUCGGAGUGUUUCCAGGGGGCCCACGAGGUAGGGGGCGCGCCGCCCUAGGGGGGUGGGGCGCCCCCCACCAUCGUGAGAAGGGUGUGGGCCCCCUGGUCUUCAUCUUUGGCGAGGAUUUUUUAUUAUUUUUUCUAAGACGUUCCAUGGAGUUUCAGGUCAUUCCGAGAAUAUUUGUUUUCUGCACAUAAAACAACACCAUGGCAAUUCUACUGAAAACAGCGUCAGUCCGGGUUAGUCCAUUCAAAUCAUACAAGUUAGAGUCCAAAACAAGGGCAAAAGUGUUUGGAAAAGUAGAUAUGACGGAGACGUAUCACCCCGCUGCCACGGGAGGGUAGGACAAAAGAUGUCAUGCAAGUUCUUUUCCAUAAGCACGUAUGACUAUAUUCGGAAUACAUGCCUACAUUACAUUGAUGAAUUGGAGCUAGUUCUGUGUCACCCUAGGUUAUGACUGUUACAUGAUGAACCGCAUCCGGCAUAAUUCUCCGUCACUGAUCCAUUGCCUACGAGCUUUCCAUAUAUUGUUCUUCGCUUAUUUACUUUUCCGUUGCUACUGUUACAAUUACUAUAAAACACCAAAAAUAUUACUUUUGCUACCGUUACCUUUUGCCGCCGUUACCACUACUAUCAUAUUACUUUGCUACUAAAUACCUUGCUGCAGAUAUUAAGUUAUCCAGGUGUGGUUGAAUUGAUAACUCAGAUGCUAAUACUUGAGAAUAUUCUUUGGCUCCCCUUGUGCCGAAUCAAUAAAUUUGGGUUGAAUACUUUACCCUCGAAAACUGUUGUGAUCCCCUAUACUUGUGGGUUAUUACUUCCGCAUAGUUUUGCCCACCUCACACUCCCGCCACCCCGACCUAACCCAAUUUUGUUUGUGUUGUGAGUUGUGUCUCCUAAGGUUUUUCGGCUACUUAGGGACCGUGCUUCCAACUCCGACACCGUGUACAGUCCACCACCUUACCCUCCAUUUCUGCAUUGCGUACUCCACAACCCAUCAUUGCAUUUCCGCAAUCCCUUUGAGCUUCCGCAACCACCACCGCAUUCCGCUACCACCAUUUGAAAUUUGAGAUUUUGAGUUCGCGGUUUUUCCAUUUCCUAAGGUGUUUCGGCUACUUAGGGACGAGUCUCCAUCAUCUUGGUAUCUCCAUCAAGAUCACCGCCACUCAUCAUCGACAUGGACGGUAACCUCCAUAUCAUCUUGGUAUCGUGGUAUCCCUCCAUUGUAUAUGCCCUUGCCAUUGCAUUGAUAACCCCUAGCCCAUUUUGCGUCACUUGCCUAUCGAGACUAGCCAUUUGAGUAUUGUUGGCAACGUUACUUGUGCACAUUAGUGAUCUACACCAUACAUUGCAUACAUACCAUACCAUAUCGGUACCAUCUUGGUAUCAUAUGAUCCUUUGUGCCACAAGUUUGUUCCCACAUACAUACAAUUGCUAUCUUGGUUUGUGCAUUGUGCAAAAGUGGCCAUAAAAAAUAAAAAAGAAUAAGCUUUUAAGAAAAAGAGAAAGAGAAAACAAGCUUGUAAGCAAGUGCCAUAGCAUCAUACCACAUUGCAUAUAAGAUCAUAUUGGAUCAUAACACCGGGAGCCAUACAUACAUAGCAUACUUGGGAUAGAAAGUACAUACAUUUUGCAUCUUAUAGGUUGUGCACAAGUGUCAUAUCCGCCUAUAGAGAAAUCAUGCUAGCGUCUCUCUUGAGUUGUGCAACACGAGCGUUUUCUGUGGAUUCCACAUUUUGUGCUCAUUCCUUGGUUGCACGACCCCAUUUAUCUAUCUGUGUGUGUGUUUCCGUGUGCCACAUAUUUCUAUUGGUCUACUUGUUUCACUUGUGAAUUUGUGAAUCUCUUUCAACAUUAUUGACUCUUGCUAACAUUUCGCAUCAAAUUUUUGUGCCACUAUCCUCACCGAGAUCCACCAUAAGCCUUACUUGUGUAGGUGUGAGAAACCGACAAGAAUUGGUACCAAUUGUGCUAUUUCCUUGUCCACAUUGGAGUGAUCAUUGAUCCACUUUCAACUUCGGUCAAGGUACAUUUGGUAUUCGUUCUUCUCUUUCUACCACUCACAUUUUUCUCUUGGAGUGAUGGAUAGGCAAGGCAUUUCAUCUCCGGUCUUCCACAAUAACGACGGCGUGAACCACUACAUCACCAAAGCGUCCAUCUUUGAUCUACAACGACAAAUGCAAGGCACACAAUCAAGAUUGCGAGAGAGCAUCGAGAACCUCUCCAUUGACAUUCGCCACUCCGAAGCGAGGAAAAGGGACUACAUCGACAACAAGCUUUCCGCACAAAAGGAGGAGCAAGAUGCAAGGAUGGAGGAGAUUUGAGCCUUGAUCAAGUCUACUUUCCCUUCGUCAUCUUCAAGGCGGCGACGAGCAAAUCGAUCAUCUUCGGAGCGCCCAAGCGACACAAGCACAAGUCGUCCACGUCCACAUCUCCAUGGCGACCACCAUCACGUUCGUGAUCCACUACAUCAUGAAGGGCAGUCACCUCCAAGCAUCAUGUGCACGACGACAACGAACGCCAUCAAGCUCAAGCACGAAAAUGAAAACAUCAUCAUGAAGAUGCUCGAGAUGCGCCUACCUAUAAGUCCCAACAAGCCCUACUUCACGCCAAGUCCAAACUUCAUGACCACAAGAGAAGACCACGAGACGAGCACCACCAAGACGGCGCUACAUCUACUACCACCACCACUUUGGCAUCUUCGCCAAGUGCUAUCAAGGCAUGUUCGCCUUUGGACGUACAACAUCUUCGCCUACUUCCCGUGAGUUCGCCUACAUCGACAUCAUCAAGUACAAGGCGACCACCUACGAGCGAGGGUGACACUUCCAUCUUCGGAAGCCCCUCAAGGAAGAUGGCCGAGCACGGGAAAUUACCUUUGGUCAUGGAGACGAGCUACGAGGUGCCACAUCAUAUGGGCAUCCUACAACAAGAUGACGACAAGAAGGUCGAGCAAGGGCCAUCCCCUUCGACCAUGACGACGAGCAUGAACCUCUUCAACAACAUGAAGACGGUGCCCAUAUUGGACUCAUACUCCGAGUCAAGUUACGAGACCGCACAUGAGACCUUACCUUUGGUCUUAGAGGAGAGUGAUGAUGUGCCAUCUUCGGCCUUCAUCCACGGCUACAACUACGACAUGAUUGAGCAUGGAGACAUUUGCACCAACAUCUCUUCGACACCCACAUAUAAAGAGAUGCCCCAAUUCCCAUGUGAGGAGAGCCACCCCACCAUGAGUGAUAUGAGUGACUCCACCACUUGUGACAUUGAGUGCAUUUCCCAUGAGAGGAUGAGUGUGACCACCACUAGCCCCAUACUUGAGAGCAUCCAAGAGGGAGUGAGUGAGCCACCACACUUAGUGAGUGAGGUAGUUGACACGGCACGUGAGGCCACUAUGAUUCCUAACGACUUAACCUCUACUCCCAUUGUGUUUUCUUCUUUGGUGCUAGGUCUCCUACAUGACAACAUGCCUAUCCUCGACGAGUCCAUAUCUCCAAUGGAGACAACGAUGGCCAUGGUGGAAGAAGAUGCACCCCACAUGGUUCCAUCAAGAUGAAGAUGACCACGACUUGGUCUUCGACACCUCACCUACAACACAUGAGCGAUGCUCCAAAGGUCACAUAGGUGAUGGUGCUUCUCUUGUCCCACUAGUGGACGAUUUCAUGAAUGAUUGCUUGCAUGAUGUUGAUCCACCUAUUCCCAUGCUUCAUGCUAGUGCGACUUCUUCAUGUCAUGACUUACCUAUCUAUGAUGAAUAUGAUGAUGAGCAUGUUGAUUUGCCUAGUUGUGAUGCUAUGCUCCAUAGGAUAUCAUGUGAAAAUUCUAUUGGUCACAUCAUGUUUGACAAUCCUUUGAACUUGUCAUAUGCUAUGAGUGAGAUCUCACAUAUUGCAUCAUUUCAAUCUCAACAUAGUAACUAUGCAUGCCCCAUUAAAAUCAAUCCCAUUUGCACUUAUGGCAUAGAUGAUGAGGUGAUGGUCAUUGGCUUUUGUUUUUCAUGUGAUGAUAUUGCCAUGCUUCCUUUACAUGAUUUGUGCAAUUCAUCUACUAUGCCAUGCCAUGAUCACAUUGUUCCAAAUAUGCAUUGUUUUGGAUGUUGUCAAUAUUCUUCGUGUGAUGUUUCCAUUAAUGAUCAUGAGGAGAGCCCCAUAGUUUCCUCAUACAUAUUAGGAGAUUUUGAUGCAUUCCAUACUUUGCAUGAUUCUCAUAAUUGCUUGCACCGUAUGCAUUCCAUGAAUAACAAUGCUCUACAUAUUUUCUUGUGAUGCAUUACACAAUUUGAGUCUCCAUUAUGCUAUACAUAACAACAAACCAAUCAUGAUCAAUGGAUGACAUGUUUCUAUAUCACGCAUCUCAUUUAUUUGAGCAUUGGCUAUUUUGUGCUAACGAACACUUGCACGUGCGCAUCAUGAUGGAUGAUGUGUACAUAUACCACACACACACACAAUUUUCUCUUUGUCUUUGUUUUGUGUAGGUACUCACGUAUACUCGUUGAAAGGAUCGAUAUGGUUCACUAGAGGGGGGUGAAUAGGCAACUAACAAUUUUUAACUUUUCUUUACCAAAUUAAACUUUGCAUCAAAGUAGGUUGUCUAGACAUGCAACUAUGUGAGCAAUCUAUAUGAUGCAACAACAAUAAGCACACAAGCAAGCAAGGGAGAUAACACAAUUAAGCUUGCACAAGUAAAGGUACGAGAUAACCAAGAGUGGAGCCGGUGGAGACUAGGAUGUGUUACCGAAGUUCCUUUCUUUUGAGGGGAAGUACGUCUCCGUUGGAGCGGUGUGGAGGCACAAUGCUCCCUAAGAAGCCACUAGGGCCACUGUAUUUUCCUCACGCCCUCACACAAUGCGAGAUGUUGUGAUUCCACUAUUGGUGCCCUUGGAGGCGGUGACCGGACCUUUACAAACAAGGUUGGGGCAAUCUCCACAACUUAAUCGGAGGCUCCCAACAACAACACCACGAAGCUUCACCACAAUGGAAUAUGGCUCCGCGGUGACCUCAACCGUCUAGGGUGCUCAAACACCCAAGAGUAACAACAUCCGCAAGGGAUUAGUGGGGGGAAUCGAAUUUCUCUUGGUGGAAGUGUAGAUCGAGGCCUUCUCAACCAAUCCCUAGAAAAUCAACAAGUUUGAUUGGCUAGGGAGAGAGACCGGACGAAAAUGGAGCUUGGAGCAACAAUGGAGCUUAGGGUUGGAAGAGGUAGUCAACUCGGAGAAGAAGAUACCCCUUAUAUAGUGGAGAGAGAAAUCCAACCGUUAUCCACUUAACCAGCCCGCGAUAAGCGGUACUACCGCGCCUGCCAAGCGGUACUACCGCAAGGCCUUACGUUACUACCGCACACCCUUGCGGUACUACCGCAAGGCAGGGUUGGACCAGCCUGUGAAGGCCGUGGACAGAUAAAUGUCCAUGGCUAGUUCUGCUGAUUACAAAAUAGUGCAAAAAGUCCGACACGGUACUACCGCUGAAGGCAAGCGGUACUACCGCGCGGGGAGCGGAUGUAAAAUAUUACAUCCGCUCCUACUUCCGCUACUGGUGCUGUGCCGGACCAGGUCUCACGGUACUAUGGCUCCCAAGGAGCGGUACUACCGUGACCACCUGCGGUACUACCGCAAGGGCAUGCGGUACUACCGUAGGGGCCUGCGGUACUACCGCUCCGAAGAUCAGUACUACCGCAAGCCUCAGAACAACAACAGAUAGGAAGACUUAUUUUUGCACAGACAAGAAGAAACGAAGGAUGCUCCAAGGUGCUAAAGGAAAGGCGGUGCAAAGAGGAGUAAACGUGUACGUGAUGAUUCCACCCAAACCUUUCCAAAGCGGACCCCCUCUUAAUAGUACGGCUUUCCUACGACUCAAAUCGACCGAAAAAGGAACGUAGAAAAACGUCGUCUUCAAUAAUCUUUGAGGGGCUCCUAACCGUCUCGUGCCUAGUCAUGAAAUAUCUGAAAUACUCGAGACACACGAUUAGUCCGCAAAUGCAUUGUCAUCAAUCACCAAAACACCUUAGGGAUAAAUAUGCCCUUACAAUCUCCCCCUUUUUAGUGGAUUGAUUACAAUACGGGAUUUGCACAAGGGAGAAAGAAUAGAACAUGAGCAAACCAUACAUCUCUAAAAUAUAGACGGGCUCCCCCUAGAUGUGUGCUAGUUAGAUGAGUGCUUUGGACUGCACGGCACACAUACUAGGAUCAACACUCCCCCUAUAUUUUAUAGACAUGGCAUAUCUUGCAAUAACAAUGCUAACACUAAGCAUGAUAGUAGAUAAGAGCAUGAACUAAGUAGCACAACAUAUCAUAAGCUCAGUAAGGUGCGAUAGAUAGAGUGCAUAUGUCUAACACCAUAUGAUAGAUAAGUCUCACACGCUCAAAUAAACUCAAACCAAACCAAAGCAAACACGGUUCAACAAACCAAACACAAACAAAGCAAACAUGACACGACACGGCAAAUCCCUACACUCUCUCCCCCUUUGGCAUCGAGACGCCAAAAAGGCAGAGAGGACAGCUACAACACAAGUGGUGCCUCAAGCAGAGUAGUUGCUCGCACGCUCCUCGUUAGACUCGGCCGCAGGAAUGUGCUCCUCCUCAGAAUCAGUCCACCUGUAGCCUUGUUUUGCCAUCCAUUCAGCCUCUGGAGUGAUGUGCUCCUCAGAGCUGCCAGAAACAUCCUCUCCAAACACCCUCAUGAUCUUCUUGUCGCAGCGGUGACUCUCCUUGGAGGCCACGUGAGUCUGAUACUGCCCCUUGGCCUGCAUGCAGAACAAGGCCUUCAUCUUGGCAUUCAGCUUCUUCGCCCAUGAGGGAUCAAUGGAGGGAGGUGCAUAUCCCGCAGAGCUGUCCUCAGCCGCACUCUCCUCCUCAAUCUCCUCCUCAUCAGCUGCCCUCUUAGCAGCCUCAGCCUCGGCACGAGUAGUAGUGUUAGCCCACUGGGGCUUGAUGCGGAGUCUGAUGGAGUCAUGACGGAUCCAGUCAGGGGCCAGAAACUCCUCAUUGGGAUAGAUCUUCUCCCAAGUCUUCGAUAUCAGGAGGAACAUAUAAGGACCAUAGAUGGGUACCUUGCGGGUGAACACCGCGAACCGAAGCUCACACCACAUGAUAUGUGAGACAUCAAGUGGUUGAGUCUGAGAAACUCGGGCCUCCUCACAAAUGAGCAACAUGUCCACAAGAAAGGCAUGCACCUUGUCCUUGUCCCCAAUGCGAGGAAAGAGCGAGUGGCGGAAGAUCCGGUGCAUGAUGUCAAGAAACGAGUUGAGCACCCACGUCGACUUGCCACUGGCCAGCUUCUUCUCAACGUAGAAUGGCAUAAGCUUGUCCUUGCUUGCUGACUCGGAGUUGGCAUGAGGGCGAACACUAACAGGUGUGUGGAGCCCCUCAUCAGGCACUCUGAGCAAAUCCAUGAACUCCUUCCAAGUAGCAGUCAACUGACGUCCAUUGGUCAUCCAGGCCAUCCUCCGAUCCUCCCCAGAGUGAAAGUGGACCGAGGCAAAGAACUGUGCCACAAGCUCGGGGUCAUAGUCCAGAUGAAAAGAGAUCACAUCCUCAAUGGCAAACUGCUCCACAAGGUCCAAGGCCUCACCAAAGUAGUGACGAUGCUUCUCCUCCCUCAUGUGAUGCAUGUCGACCCAGUGCACAUCCACAUACAGAUUCUACUUGGCCUUGAUCACAUCCAAGUAAAUGAGAUUCUGCUGCUUGGUCCAAAAUAGUUCAUUCCCUCUGAAGUUUGCAUGAGGAUGCGCAUAGGGGUUGAUCUUCCCGAGAUAGACAAACUCAGCAAGAGGUAUCUCAUCCAUGUCCCUUGUUCGUUCCUUGACCAUGCUAGCAGUGGUCUUGACAUUGCGCUUGGGGGCAUUGGAGCCCUCUAGAACAUCCUCUUGGUUGUGCAGACGCUUGGAACCCGUGUCUCGGCUUGGAUUGGAACGACAAGCAGGGACACCGGAGCCACCACCUGAGACACACAACACAAACACACACGAGAAGCGAGACGGGUCAAAACAAGGACCACAACAAAACACAAGAAACCAGUAGAAAAUGAAUAUGGUAAUUGCCAUGAAGAAGGUUUGACAGCAGCGGUAGUACGGCCUGGUCGCGCGGUACUAAAAAAUUAAUGCCGCUCCUAGUCGCGGUAGUACUGCACGGUGGCACGGUAGUACUGGGGCUCGGAGCGGCAGUACAGCUUUAGUACCGCGGCCCGUGUGGUAGUACCGCGCCUAAGGGGUGGUAGUACCGUACGAGCGGUAGUACCGCACCUGCUAGGCGGUAGUACCGCACGUCAUCAGAUCCGAACAGAUGAAUCUGAGAACAACCGCGACAACGAGGCGGUACUCCGAUUGAUCAAAUCUACCAUGGGACAACAUAUCAAGCACACUUUCUACGCAUCACUACUCUCCUACAUCCUACUCUUGCAAAGAUUUGGCCUAAAAUCUCAAUAAUCAACAUGCAUCUCCCCAAAACCUAGAAGCGAAAGGAUGAACAAAAGAGAGAGGGAUUUGGGGAGAGACCUUGAUUCAUGGCAAGAGGAAGUGGUGGGGAACGAUCCCACCGGUCGGAAUCUGAGGAGAGCAGCCGGGGACGGAGAUCCGACGAGGCUCUCCGGCGCCGUUCUUGAGCAGGAGAGAGAGAGGCAGUAGGGAGAGAGACAGGCGAAUGGGUAUGGGGGAGUUGGAACUCCCCCUGCCCGGGUCUUAACCCCACGCGCCCUCGGCAGCGCGAUAGUACCGCAUCUCAUCGCGGUAGUACCGCUUGGGCGGAAGAGCCGCACCAGAGCGGUAGUACCGCUCCCCCAGGCGGCAGUAAAAAAAUACUGCCGCGCUGGGUGCGGAAGUACCGCGCACUCCACAAGCAGUAGUAUCGUGGUAGGCUGCAGUAGUACCAUGAGCUCAAAAUGAUGCAAGUUUCAAACAAAAGAAAGGGGCUACGCGAAAGAGGAAAAAAACGACAAGCGAACGAGACAACACAAGAACACGCUCAGCAUGGAGAAAGAAAGAAAGGCAAGAGACAACAAGGACCAACCAUGAGAACCUCUCCAAGGAGAGGGCGGUGGCCGGAGCCACCUAUUUUUGAGUCGAUUGGUAUGGCACCGCGAAGAAUUAUCCUUGGGCACAUGACCAAAACUCGUCUUUGAAGAACAAGUGCCACCAAAAAUGGCUAAUGUGAAAGAGUUGAUCAAUUUAUGCAUAAUGGGGGGGGGGAGAGUUCAUUGAGAGAACAACACUCCCCCUAUGUCCAUGCCUAUACCUAAACAAGAUAACAAGUUGAGUAUGGUGAGGGGUGUGCACGGGUUCAAGCAAGAUUGCUCGAAUCAACGAUAUUUAGCUCAUGCCUUAACUCGCGAAAUCUUGCUUCAUCCAAGGGCUUCGUGAAGAUGUCUGCAAGGUUAUCAAGAGUGUUGACAUAGUUGAGCUCGAUCUCUCCUCACCUAAUAUGAUCCUGGAUGAAGUGAUACCGGAUCUCAAUAUGCUUCGUCUUGAAGUGUUCCACUGGGUUGAGAGAAAUCUUGAUUGCACUUUCAUUGUCACACCAAAGAGGCACUUUGUCACAAAUGACACCGUAAUCCUUCAAAGUUUUCCUCAUCCAUAAGAGUUGUGCACAACAACUACCGGCUGCCACAUACUCCGCUUCAGUGGACGAGAGAGACACGCAACUUUGCUUCUUGGAAAACCAACUCACCAAAGAGCAACCAAGAAAUUGGCACCCUCCGGAAGUGGACUCCCUAUCCACUUUGUCUCCCACCCAAUCCGAGUCCGAAUAACCUAAAAGCUUGAAGUUUUCCCCCCUUGGGUACCAUAAGCCAAAGUUUGGGGUAUGAGCCAAAUAUCGAAAGAUUCGCUUGACCGCCACAAAGUGACUUUCCUUAGGUCCAGCUUGAAACCAUGCACAAAUUCCCACACUCAACAUGAUAUCUGGUCUAGAUGCACAAAGGUAAAGCAAAGAGCCAAUCAUGGAGCGAUAUACCUUUUGAUCCACCACUUUACCAUUGGGAUCGAUGUCAAGUUGGCAUUUGACUGGCAUAGGAGUGGACGCCGGCUUGACAUCACUUAGCUUGAAUCUCUUGAGCAUGUCUUGAGUGUAUUUGGCUUGGUUGAUGAAGGUUCCUUCUCUUGUUUGCUUCACUUCGAACCCGAGAAAGAACUUCAACUCUCCCAUGGAAGACAUCUCGAACUUUGAGGUCAUGAGAGCGGCAAAUUCCUCAUUGAAAGCUUUGUUAGGGGAACCAAAGAUAAUAUCAUCAACAUAUAAUUGGCACACAAACAACUCCCCUUUGACCUUCUUAGUAAAAAGAGUGGGGUCGAUUAGUCCUACUUCAAAACCACGGUCUUGUAACAACUCAGUAAGGUGGUCAUACCACGCACGUGGGGAUUUUUAAGGCCAUAGAGUGCCUUAUCGAGUUGAUACACAUGAUCGGGAAAGUAGGGGUCCUCGAACCCGGGGGUUGCUUGACAUAAACCAACUCAUUAAUGGGACCAUUAAGAAAAGCACUCUUCACAUCCAUUUGUUGUAACUUAAAGUUAUGAUGAGAAGCAUAUGCAAUCAACAUGCGAAUGGAUUCAAGACGAGCAACGGGGGCAAAGGUUUCACCGUAGUCGAUACCCUCAACUUGGGAGUAGCCUUGUGCAACCAACCGAGCCUUGUUGCGAAUGAUAAUCCCAUGAGCAUCUUGCUUUUUCUUGAAUAUCCACUUGGUUCCAAUGACAUUGUGGUUCCCCGUUGGCCUUGGCACCAAUCUCCACACUUUGUUGCGCUCGAAGUUGUUGAUUUCUUGAUGCAUGGCAUUGAGCCAAUCCGGAUCUCUAAGCGCCUAAUAGACCUUUUGGGGUUCAACACAAGAGACAAACGUGUGAUGUUCACAAUAGUUUUCUAAUUGUCUGCAAUUGCUUACCCCCUUUCUUAUGCUUACAAGCACAUUUGUCAUGAGAUGAUCCUUGGUGGAGAGCUUGGAAGCAAUCUUGGUGGCAUGACGCUCCAAUUCCUCCUCGGGGUGAGACGAGGAGUGGACACUUGAUCAUCUUGAGCGCCGUCUUGAGCUUGUUCUUGAUCUAGAAGAAGCUCUUGAUCUUGAACUUGCUCGGAGGAGAGAACUUGACCUUGGGAAUCACUUGAUGUUACAACACCAUCUUGAUAUUGACCUUACCCUUGGUCUGGUUCUUGAGGUUGAGGGCCUUCACUAUGUUCUUCGGAAGCGUGUGGGCCUUGGGUUGGUGAUGGCUCCACAAGAGUGGAGCAUUGUCCUUCUCCUUAGGCCACAAGGGGUUCCUCAAUGGGUAGGAUAAAGGGACAAUUGCAUUUUUACCCCUAGUUGGUUCCUACCCACGGGUUUUGCCCUUACUUUUCGAGCUUGCUCAGUUUUGCCCUUACUUUUUCCAUCAAGGUCCCUCGAAUGCCCUUUGACCGUUUGACCAAAACUUUGAAAAUUCAUAACUAAUUCAUAUGAAGUCAGAAAAAUACAAAUAAGAUAUCAAAAUGUUCAGAUAAACAUUACCUUUAUGGGCAUAUCAUUUGCAUUCAGAACAAAAUCAUCAUUUAAACUACCCAUGGUAAUUAAUGUUAUUAACAUUAUUAAAAAUAAAUAGGUAUAAUCAAUAUUUUUUCAUGAAUAAAAAAUACAUGCAAAUGUAGGUGAUGUUUUCUGAACAUCUUGAUAACUUAUUUGCAAUUUUCUGAGUUUGUAUCAACUUGUUAUGAAUGUUCUAAUGACUUUGACCAUUAUUUGGAAACUUCAUAACAAGUUGAUACAAACUCAGGAAAAUGCAAAUAAGGUAUUAGGAUGCUCAGAAAACAUCACCUACAUUUGCAUAUAAUUUUUAUUCACGAAAAAAAUAUUGUUUAUACCUAUUUUUUUAAUAAUGUUAAUAAUAUUAAUUACCUCGGGUAGUUUAAACGAUGCUUUUGUCCUGAAUGCAAAUGAUAUGCCCAUAAAGGUAAUGUUUAUCUGAAUAUUUUGAUAUCUUAUUUGCAUUUUUCUGAGUUCAUAUGAAUUAGUUAUGAAUUUUCAAAGUUUUGGUCAAAUGGUCAAAGGGCAUUCGAGGGAUCUCGACGGAAAAAGUAAGGGCAAAAUUGAGCAAGCUCGAAAAGUAAGGGCAAAACCCGUGGGUAGGUACCAACUAGGGGUAAAAAUGCAAUUGUCCCUAGGAUAAAACCAACACCCAUUCUUCUUAUGGCUUGGGGAGGAAUUUCAUCACCUACAUCACAAGUGCCACUUUGCUCCACUUGGGAGCCGUUAUUCUCAUCAAACUCCACGUUACAUGUAUCCUCAAUAAGUCUAAUGAAACACUUACACCCGAACACCCGGAAGUACUUGAGAUUGGGCUUGUUCCCGGUGAGUAUCUCAUAUGGAGUCUUGUUCAAGCAUUUGCGGAGGUAGAGCCGAUUUGAUGCAUGACACACGGUGUUGAUGGCUUCCACCCAAAAGUUGUAUGGAGACUUGAACUCCGCCAUCAUGGUCCGUGCCGCAUCCAUCAACAUCCGGUUCUUCCUCUGCGCUACACCAUUUUGUUGAGGGGUGUAUGGUGCGGAAUAUUUAUGCUUGAUCCCCUCAUCUCUAAGAAACUCAUCCAAGGUGUAGUUCUUGAACUCGGUGCCGUUGUCACUUCUUAUUGUCAAGAUCAUUGCAUUGUGUUGACGUUGAGCCUCUUUUGCAAAGUUGAUGAUGGUUUGUUGGGUAUCAUUCUUCCUCUUGAAAAAGUAUACCCAAUAGUAUCUUGAAUAAUCAUCCACAAUCACCAAGCAAUACUUCCUACCCCCAAGACUAUCAAAAGAUGGAGGCCCGAAGAGAUCCAAAUGAAGGAGCUCCAAAGGCCUCUUCAAGUAGAUGAUAGUCGUGGGAGGGUGAGCCUUCUCACGUAGCUUUCCUUCGAUACAAGCACUGCAAGCACGAUCUUGGGCAAAACUAACAUUUGUUAGUCCACGGACAUGGUCCCCCUUGAGAAGACUUUGCAAAGAUCUCAUAUUGACGUGGGCCAAACGGCGAUGCCAAAGCCAUCCCACGCCAACUUUAGCCAUUAGGCAUGUCGCGGUCUUAGUGGGUCACUCCGAAAAGUUAAUCACAUAGAGACCAUUCUCGACAUGCCCAACAAAGGCUACUUUAAGAGUCUUGCUCCACAAGAGGGCCACGAUAUCAAUAUCAAAGAAAGUGGCAAAGCCCAUAAGUGCUAGUUGACGAACGGAAAGUAAAUUGUAUGCAAGGGACUCAACAAGCAUGACCUUCUCGAUCGUAAGAUCAUGAGAAAUGACAACUUUGCCGAGUCCCAAUACCUUAGAGGAUGAGGCGUCACCCUACUCAAUGUUGGUGGGCAUGGAUGGAAUCUUUUGCACGUCCACCACCAAGUCCUUGCUUCCGGUCAUAUGAUUAGUAGCUUCACUAUCGAGCAACCAUGAUCCCCCACUGGAAGCAAACACCUACAAGAGAUCAAUGCUUGGUUUUAGGUACCCAUUUUGUAAUGGGUCCUUUGAUGUUAGUAACAAGGGUAUUAGGAACCCAAAUAGACCAUUCAAUGUACUCAUAAGGAUAACCAAAAAAUUUGGCAAAAUCAUGCCCAUCUCUAGCACGGCACAACACAUAAGAAGGGUUAAAGUCACCGGCUUUGUUGGGAAUGGAAGCGUUGACCUUCUUGGCAUCACUACCCCUCACGGAGUUCUUCUCCUUCUCUUUAGUAGCACCCUCUCCCUCCUUCACAAAGGUUUUCUUGAGAGGAGGAGGUCAUUUGGCCUUGUCAUUCUUCUUCUUAUUCUUGGACUUGGGCACGUACCCAGUCCCUUCCUUGGCCACAACUCCCUUUUGGUUGGUCAAAAGGUCGUUGAGGUUCUUCUCGCCUUGUAUGCAAGAUACAAGACCUUUCUCAAGUUGCACCUUUAGCUUAGCGUUCUCCUCAACAAGAUGCACAUGCUCACAACAUGGGUUAGUAGCAUUUGCAUUAUCAAUUAACAUCAUACGAGGAAUAGUGGCUUUCUCCUUGGUUAGCUUUACUUGAAGUUGAUCAUGAGACUCUUUGAGGCUAGCAUGAGCACCCUUCAAGACCUUAUGAUCCUUGUCAAGUAGAUCAAACUCCUCUUUGAGUCUAGGAAGAUCAACCCCAAGCUUGGCCUUUUUGGAGUUUAGCACAUGAGAGACAACGAGAGCAUGAUCGAAAUCUUUCUUUAACUUAGUGUGAUCAACGUUGUGUGACUCCUCAAGAGCCAAACGAAGACCACGCUCUUCCUCAAGAGCAUUGGAAAGAUCUGAAAUCUCAUCGGCAUAGUCACGACUAUGCCCCUCCAUCUUGGUGAUAGUAUCUUCGUGAGCCUCGAUCAUGUCAUUGGCUUCACCAAGUUGUUCCAAGAGAGCAACAAAAUGCUUCUUGGAUUUACCCUUGAGUUUACCCAUAAAGGACUCAAACUCAUUUUCCUCCACAUUAGAUCCCUCAUAUUCAUCAAUGCAAUCUGUCAAGGAAGGAUUAUCAAUGAUGGUAGUUUUGAUGUUGGGGGUUACCUUGUUGGUGGCUUUAGCCAUGAGGCACUUGGCGGUGAUGUUCUCAUUGGGUGAGUCGAAGAGAGACACUCGUGGAGUUUUUGCAAUGGCAACGGAGGCCAUGGCAACCGACUCACCAUCUUCAUCAUCAUCAUCCUCAUGGUACUCUUCGUGAACCACCAACGCCUUGUGAGGUGUCUUCUUGGUGAAGUUGCUCUUGUUGGGGAAAGACUUGGCUUUGUCCUUUCGGAUGAGCUUGCCACCAUUGUCUUCCCUCUUCUCAUACGGGCACUCCGCAAAAAAUGGCUCACAUUGCCACAAUUGUAGCAAGUCCUCACACGUUGCUUGCUCUUCAUGCCACUUGAGUUGUUCUUGUUGAAGUUUGGCCUUGAGUUCUUCUUGCUCCAAAAUUGCCUUGCAGCAAGUGCCAUGUGUUCAUGAUAGGCAUACUUUGUAUCUUCGGGGUUGCUUCCCUCUUCUUCCUCCUCUUCUUCUUCAACGCAAACCUUGGCCUUCAAUGCAAGGUUGGGCUUCUUUGCCCUUUGAGAGUGAAGCACCGCAUUGUCGGUGGUCUUGUCCAAGAUGUUCAUAGCCACAAACUCAUCCAACACUUCACUUGAGGUCAAGGUGUGGAAGUCCGACUUUUGAUGAAUGACGGAGGACAUGGCCUUGUGGUAAGGCAUCAUUGCCUUGAGGAAUUUGCGCUUGAUCCAAUUGUCAUUCGUGUCCUUGCUCCCAUGAUCUCAGAGUGAGACCGCGAGUUUGGUUACUCUCCGAUAAAGCUCACGAGGUUCUUCAUCUUCUUUCAUAGCAAACUCAUCGGCUUCAUCUUGCACUACUUCAUAGUUGGAGCGUUGAAUGCUUGCGCUUCCCCAGUAGAGAGAGACAACACAAAGCCAUGCAUAUUUGGCCAAGGCGAAGGGCCGAAGAUGAGGUAGAUCUUCGGGUGGAAUUGCAUCUUGGAUGAUGAAGAGAGCAUUCUCAUUGAAUUGAUUAUCCACGGCUUCUCGAUGAGUGAAGUUGCUUGGGUCAUGCAGAUAGAAACCUUCUUUAAUGAUUCUCCAAAGAUUAGUAUUCACAUGAUUUAAAUGACGCUUAAAGCGAUAAACCCAAGAAUCAAAGUCCUCAUUUUUCACAAUCUUAGGGGGAGGACCGGCAUGUUUCAAAUGAGUGGAAGGAAUUGGUCCACCAUAAACAAGUGGUGGUUCCACAUGGGCAAAGAUGCCGGUGCCAUUUUACCACUAGAAGAAGGAGCCUUUUCACUACUAGCUUCCCCCUUGUCGGAGUUAGCAUCCGUCACCUUGUCAGUGGGAUCACCCACUGUCAACGGUGUCGUGGAUAGUUUAAGCCCUUCAAUGAAUUUAGUAAACAUGCUUUCAACCUCGGUCGUCAUUGAGGUUUUCAAUGUCUCCAAUGUUGGAAAUAUGCCCUAGAGGAAAUAAUAAAUUAGUUAUUAUUAUAUUUCCAUGUUCAUGAUAAUCGUUUAUUAUCCAUGCUAUAAUUGUAUUGAUAGGAAACUCAGAUACAUGUGUGGAUACAUAGACAACACCAUGUCCCUAGUAAGCCUCUAGUUGACUAGCUCGUUGAUCAAUAGAUGGUUACGGUUUCCUGGCCAUGGACAUUGGAUGUCAUUGAUAACGGGAUCACAUCAUUAGGAGAGUGAUGUGAUGGACAAGACCCAAUCCUAAGCCUAGCACAAGAUCAUGCAGUUCGUAUGCUAAAGCUUUUCUAAUGUCAAGUAUCAUUUCCUUAGACCAUGAGAUUGUGCAAAUCCCGGAUACCGUAGGAGUUCUUUGGGUGUACCAAACGUCACAACGUAACUGGGUGACUAUAAAGGUGCACUACAGGUAUCUCCGAAAGUGUCUGUUGGGUUGGCACGAAUCGAGACUGGGAUUUGUCACUCCGUGUAAGCGGAGAGGUAUCUCUGGGCCCACUCGGUAGGACAUCAUCAUAAUGUGCACAAUGUGAUCAAGGAGUUGAUCACGGGAUGAUGUGUUACGGAACGAGUAAAGAGACUUGCCGGUAACGAGAUUGAACAAGGUAUCGGGAUACCGACGAUCGAAUCUCGGGCAAGUACCGUACCGAUAGACAAAGGGAAUUGUAUACGGGAUUGAUUAAGUCCUUGACAUCGUGGUUCAUCCGAUGAGAUCAUCGUGGAACAUGUGGGAGCCAACAUGGGUAUCCAGAUCCUGCUGUUGGUUAUUGACCGGAGAACGUCUCGGUCAUGUCUGCAUGUCUCCCGAACCCGUAGGGUCUACACACUUAAGGUUCGAUGAUGCUAGGGUUAUAAAGGAAGCUUGUAUGUGGUUACCUAAUGUUGUUCGGAGUCCCGGAUGAGAUCCCGGACGUCAUGAGGAGUUCCGGAAUGGUCCGGAGAUAAAGAUUUAUAUAUAGGAAGUCCUAUUUCGGCCAUCGGGACAAGUUUCGGGGUCAUCGGUAUUGUACCGGGACCACCGGAAGGGUCCCGGGGGCCCACCGGGUGGGGCCACCUAUCCCGGAGGGUCCCAUGGGCUGAAGUGAGAAGGGAUCCAGCCCAAAGUGGGCUGGGGCGCCACUUCCCCUAGGGCCCAUGCGCCUAGGGUGAAAGGGGAACCCUAAGGAAGAGUCCCAAGGAGGGAAGGCACCUCCUAGGUGCCUUGGGGGGGAGGGAAACCUCCCCUGGCCGCCGCCCCCUAGGAGAUUGGAUCUCCUAGGGCUGGCGCACCCCCCCCCUUGGGCUCCCUAUAUAUAGUGGGGGUAGGAGGGCCUCUUGACACACCCCUUAUGCCUUUGGUGCAGCCCCUCCCUCUCUCCUAAGUCCUUCUCCUCUCCCGUGGUGCUUGGCGAAGCCCUGCAGGAUUGCCACGCUCCUCCACCACCACCACGCCGUUGUACUGCUGCUGGAUGGAGUCUUCCUCAACCUCUCCCUCUCUCCUUGCUGGAUCAAGGCAUGGGAGACGUCACCGGGCUGUACGUGUGUUGAACGCGGAGGUGCCGUCCGUUCGGCACUAGGAUCAUCGGUGACUUGGAUCACGACGAGUACGACUCCAUCAACUCCGUUCACUUGAACGCUUCCGCUUAGCGAUCUACAAGGGUAUGUAGAUGCACUCUCCUUCCCCUCGUUGCUGGUCUCUCCAUAGAUAGAUCUUGGUGACACGUAAGAAAAUUUUGAAUUUAUGCUACGUUUCCCAACAGUGGCAUCAUGAGCCAGGUCUAUGCGUAGUUACUAUGCACGAGUAGAACACAAAGUAGUUGUGGGCGUUGAUUUUGUUCAAUAUGCUUGCCGUUACUAGUCUUAUCUUGAUUCGGCGGCAUCGUGGGAUGAAGCGGCCCGGACCAACCUUACACGUAUGCUUACGUGAGACCGGUUCCACCGACUAACAUGCACUAGUUGCAUUAGGUGGCUGGCGGGUGUCUGUCUCUCCCACUUUACUCGGAUCGGAUUCGAUGAAAAGGGUCCUUAUGAAGGGUAAAUAGCAAUUGGCAUAUCACAUUGUGUUUUUUGCGUAGGUAAGAAACGUUCUUGCUAGAAACCCAUAGCAGCCACGUAAAACAAGCAAACAACAAUUAGAGGACGUCUAACUUGUUUUUGCAGGGUAUGCUAUGUGAUGUGAUAUGGCCAAAGGAUGUGAUGAAUGAUAUAUGUGAUGUAUGAGAUGAUCAUGUUCUUGUAAUAGGAAUCACGACUUGCAUGUCGAUGAAUAUGACAACCGGCAGGAGCCAUAGGAGUUGUCUUAAUUUAUUUAUGACUUGCGUGUCAACAUAAACGUCAUGUAAUUACUUUACUUUAUUGCUAACCGUUAGCUGUAGUAGUAGAAGUAAUAGUUGACGUGACAACUUCAAGAAGACACGAUGAUGGAGAUCAUGAUGAUGGAGAUCAUGGUGUCAUGCCGGUGACGAUGAUGAUCAUGGAGCCCCGAAGAUGGAGAUCAAAAGGAGCAAUAUGAUAUUGGCCAUAUCAUGUCACUAUUUGAUUGCAUGUGAUGUUUAUCAUGUUUAUACAUCUUAUUUUCUUAGAACGACGGUAGUAAAUAAGAUGAUCUCUCAUUAAAAUUUCAAGAAAGUGUUCCCCCUAACUGUGCACCAUUGCGACAGUUCGUAGUUUCGAAGCACCACGUGAUGAUCGGGUGUAUAGAUUCUUACGUUCGAAUACAAUGGGUGUUGACGAGCCUAGCAUGUACAAACAUGGCCUCGGAACACAUGCAAACACUUAGGUUGACUUGACGAGCCUAGCAUGUACAGACAUGGCCUCGGAACACAGAAGACCGAAAGGUCGAGCAUGAGUCAUAUAGAAGAUACGAUCAACAUGAAGAUGUUCACCGAAGUUGACUAGUCCGUCUCACGUGAUGAUCGGACACGGCCUAGUUGACUCGGAUCAUGUAAUCACUUAGAUGACUAGAGGGAUGUCUAUCUGAGUGGGAGUUCAUAAGAUGAACUUAAUUAUCCUGAACAUAGUCAAGAGAUCUUUGUAAAUUAUGUCGUAGCUCGCGCUUCAGUUCUACUGUUUAGAUAUGUUCCUAGAGAAAAUUUAGUUGAAAGUUGAUAGUAGCAAUUAUGCGGACUAGGUCCGUAAACUGAGGAUUGUCCUCAUUGCUUCAUAGAAGGCUUAUGUCCUUAAUGCACCGCUCAGUGUGCUGAACCUCGAACGUUGUCUGUGGAUGUUGCGAACAUCUGACAUACACAUUUUGAUAACUACGUGAUAGUUCAGUUAAACGGUUUAGAGUUGAGGCACCAAAGACGUUUUGAAACGUCGCGAAACAUAUGAGAUGUUUCGAGGGCUGAAAUUGGGAUUUCAGGCUCGUGCCCACGUCAAGAGGUAUAAGACCUCCGAUGAUUUUCUCAGCUUGCAAACUGAGGAGAAAAGCUCAAUUGUUGAGCUAGUGCUCAAAUUGUCUGAGUACAACAAUCAUUUGAAUCAAGUGGGAGUUGAUCUUCCAGAUAAGAUAGUGAUGUUUCUCCGAAGUCAUUACCACCAAGGUGCUAGAGCUUCGUGAUGAACUAUAAUAUAUCAGGGACAUAUAUGAUGAUCCUUGAGAUAUUCGCGAUGUUUGACACCACAAAAGUAGAAAUCAAAAGGGAGCAUCAAUUGUUGAUGGUUUGUGAAACCACUAGUUUCAAGGAGGGCAAGGGCAAAAGGGAUGCUUCAUGAAACGGCAAAUCAGCUGCUGCUCUACUGAAGAAACCCAAGGUUGAACCCAAACCCGAGACUAAGUGCUUCUGUAAUAAGGGGAACAGCCACUGGAGCAGAAUUACCCUAGAUACUUGGUAGAUGAGAAGGCUGGCAAAGUCAAUAGAAGUAUAUUGGAUAUACAUUGUGUUAAUGUGUACUUUACUAGUACUCCUAGUAGCACCAGGGUAUUAGAUACCGGUUCGGUUGCUAAGUGUUAGUAACUCGAAAUAAAAGCUACGGAAUAAAUGGAGACUAGCUAAAGGUGAGCUGACGAUAUGUGUUGGAAGUGAUUCCAAUGUUGAUAUGAUCAAGCAUCGCACGCUCCCUCUACCAUCGAGAUUGGUGUUUGCGUUGAGCAUAGACAUGAUUGGAUUAUGUCUAUCGCAAUACGGUUAUUCAUUUAAAGAGAAUAAUGGUUACUCUGUUUAUUUGAAUAAUACCUUCAAUGGUCUUGCACCUGAAAUGAAUGGUUUAUUGAAUCUCGAUCAUAAUGAUACACAUGUUCAUGCCAAAAGAUAGUAAUGAUAGUACCACCUACUUGUGGCACUGCCACGUAAGUCAUAUCGGUAUAAAACGCAUGAAGAAGCUCCAUGUUGAUGGAUCUUUGGGCUCACUCGUUUUUGAAAAGUUUGAGGCAUGCGAACCAUGUCUAUUGGUGUAUAUGCAUGAAGAAACUCCAUGCAAAUGGAGCGUUUGGACUCACUUGAUUUUGAAUCACUUGAGACAUGCAAAUCAUACCACAUGGGCAAGAUGACUAAAAGCCUCGUUUUCAGUAAAAUGGAACUAGAAAGCAACUUGUUGGAAGUAAUACAUUUUGAUGUGUGCAAUCCAAUGAGUGCUGAGGCAUGUAGUGGAUAUCGUUAUGUUCUUACUUCACAGAUGAUUUGAGUAGAUAUUGAGUAUAUUUACUUGAUGAAUCACGAGUCUGAAUUAUUGAAAGGUUCAAGUAAUUUCAGGGUGAAGUUGAAAGAUCGUCGUGACAAGAGGAUAAAAUAUCUGUGAUAUGAUCAUAGAGAUGAAUAUCUGAAUUACGAGUUUGGCACAGAAUUAAGACAAUGUGAAAAUUGUUUCACAACUAAUACAGCCUAGAACACCAUUGUGUGAUGGUGUGUCCGAACAUCAUAACUGCACCCUAUUGGAUAUGAUGCAUACCAUGAUGUCUCUUAUCGAAUUACCACGAUAGUUUAUGGGUUAGGCAUUAGAGACAACCACAUUCACUUUAAAUAGGGCACCACGUAAUUCCGAUGAGAUGACACCAUAUGAACUAUGGUUUAGAGAAACCUAAGCUGUCAUUUCUUAAAAGUUUGGGGCUGCGACGCUUAUGUGAAAAAGUUUCAGGUUGAUAAGCUCGAACCCAAAGCGGAUAAAUGCAUCUUCAUAGGACACCCAAAACAGUUGGGUAUACCUCCUAUCUCAGAUCCGAAAGCAAUAAGGGAUUGUUUCUAGAAUCGGGUCCUUUCUCGAGGAAAAGUUUCUCUCGAAAGAAUUGAGUGGGAGGAUGGUGGAGACUUGAUGAGGUUAUUGAACCGUCACUACAACUAGUGUGUGGCAGAGCACAGGGAGUUCUUCCUAUGGCACCUACACCAAUUGAAGUGGAAGCUUAUGAUAGUGAUCAUGAAACUUCAGAUCAAGUCACUACCAAACCUCGUGGGAUGACAAGGAUGCGUACUACUUCAGAGUGGUACGUAAUCCUGUCUUGGAAGUCAUGUUGCUAGACAACAAUGGACCUACGAGCUAUGGAGAAGCGAUGGUGGGCCCGGAUUCCGAUAAAUGGCUCGAGGCCAUAAAAUCCGAGAGAGGAUCCAUGUAUGAAAACAAAGUGUAGACUUUGGCAGAACGGCUCGAUGGUCGUAAUGCUAUUGAGUACAGAUGGAUUUUAAAAGGAAGACGGACAAUGAUGGUAAAUGUCACCAUUAAGAAAGCUCGACUUGUCGUUAAGAUGUUUUCCGACAAGUUCAAGGAGUUGACUGCGAUGAAACUUUCUCACUCGUAGCGAUGCUAAGAGUCUGUUGGAAUUAUAUUAGCGAUUACUGCAUUAUUUAUGAAAUCUUGCAGAUAGGAUGUCAAAACAUUGUUUCCUCGAUGUUUUUUUUAGGAAAGGUUGUAUGUGAUACAACCGGAAGGUUUUGUCAAUCCUGAAAGAUGCUAAUAAGUAUGCAAAGCUCCAGCAAUCCUUCUGAGGACUGGAGUAAGCAUCUCGGAGUUGGAAUGAAUGCUUUGAUGAUGAUCAAAGAUUUUGGGUUUAUACAAAGUUUAUGAGAAACUUGUAUUUCCAAAGAAGUGAGUGGGAGCACUAUAGAAUUUCUGAUGAGUAUAUGUUGUUGACAUAUUGUUGAUCAGAAAUGACGUAGAAUUUCUGGAAAGCAUAUAGGGUUAUUUGGAAAGUGUUUUUUCAAUGGAAAGCCUGGAUUAAGCUACUUGAACAUUGAGCAUCAAGAUCUAUAAGGAUAGAUCAAAACGCUUAAUGGUACUUUCAAAUGAGCACAUACCUUGACAUGAUCUUGAAGGUGUUCAAGAUGGAUCAGUCAAAGAAGGAGUUCUUGCCUGAGUUGUAAGGUAUGAAGUUAAGACUUAAAGCUCGACCACGGCAGAAUAGAGAGAAAGGAUGAAGGUCAUCCCCUAUGCUUAAGACAUAGGCUCUACAGUAUGCUAUGCUGUGUACCGCACCUGAAGUGUGCCUUUCCAUGAGUCAGUCAAGGGGUACAAAAGUGAUCCAAGAAUGGAUCACAGGACAGCAGUCAAAGUUAUCCUUAGUAACUAGUGGACUAAGGAAUUUUCUCGGUUAUGGAGGUGAUGAAGAGUUCGACGUAAAGGGUUACGACGAUGCAAGCUUAACACCUAUCCGGAUAGCUCUGAGUAGAGAUACCGGAUACGUAUAAUGGAGCAACAAUUUAGAACAACUCCAAGUAGAACAGUUAUUUGAAAUGGCUCCAAAUAGAGCGUGGUAGCUGCAUCUAGGAGAUGACAUAAAGAUUUGUAAAGCACACACGGAUCUGAAAGGUUCAGACCCGUUGACUAAAACCUCUCUCACAAGCAACAUGAUCAAACCCAGAACUCAUUGAGUGUUAAUCACAUAGUGAUGUGAACUAGAUUAUUGACUCUAGUAAACUCUUGGAUGUUGGUUACAUGGCGAUGUGACCUGUGAGUGUUAAUCACAUGGCGAUGUGAACUAGAUUAUUGACUCUAGUGCAAGUGGGAGACUGUUGGAAAUAUGCCCUAGAGGCAAUAAUAAAUUAGUUAUUAUUAUAUUUCCUUGUUCAUGAUAAUCGUUUAUUAUCCAUGCUAUAAUUGUAUUGAUAGGAAACUCAGAUACAUGUGUGGAUACAUAGACAACACCAUGUCCCUAGUAAGCCUCUAGUUGACUAGCUCGUUGAUCAAUAGAUGGUUACGGUUUCCUGACCAUGGACAUUGGAUGUCAUUGAUAACGGGAUCACAUCAUUAGGAGAAUGAUGUGAUGGACAAGACCCAAUCCUAAGCCUAGCACAAGAUCAUGUAGUUCGUAUGCUAAAGCUUUUCUAAUGUCAAGUAUCAUUUCCUUAGACCAUGAGAUUGUGCAACUCCCGGAUACCGUAGGAGUGCUUUGGGUGUACCAAACGUCACAACGUAACUGGGUGACUAUAAAGGUGCACUACAGGUAUCUCCGAAAGUGUCUGUUGGGUUGGCACGAAUCGAGACUGGGAUUUGUCACUCCGUGUAAGCGGAGAGGUAUCUCUGGGCCCACUCGUUAAGACAUCAUCAUAAUGUGCACAAUGUGAUCAAGGAGUUGAUCACGGGAUGAUGUGUUACGGAACGAGUAAAGAGACUUGCCGGUAACGAGAUUGAACAAGGUAUCUGGAUACCGACGAUCGAAUCUCGGGCAAGUACCGUACCGAUAGACAAAGGGAAUUGUAUACGGGAUUGAUUAAGUCCUUGACAUCGUGGUUCAUCCGAUGAGAUCAUUGUGGAACAUGUGGGAGCCAACAUGGGUGUCCAGAUCCCGCUGUUGGUUAUUGACCGGAGAACGUCUCGGUCAUGUCUGCAUGUCUCCCGAACCCGUAGGGUCUACACACUUAAGGUUCGAUGACGCUAGGGUUAUAAAGGAAGCUUGUAUGUGGUUACCGAAUGUUGUUUGGAGUCCCGGAUGAGAUCCCGGACGUCAUGAGGAGUUCCGGAAUGGUCCGGAGGUAAAGAUUUAUAUAUAGGAAGUCCUAUUUCGGCCAUCGGGACAAGUUUCGGGGUCAUCGGUAUUGUACCGGGACCACCGGAAGGGUCCCGGGGGCCCACCGGGUGGGGCCACCUAUCCCGGAGGGUCCCAUGGUCUGAAGUGAGAAGGGAUCCAGCCCAAAGUGGGCUGGGGCGCCACUUCCCCUAGGGCCCAUGCGCCUAGGGUGAAAGGGGAACCCUAAGGAAGAGUCCCAAGGAGGGAAGGCACCUCCUAGGUGCCUUGGGGGGGAGGGAAACCUCCCUUGGCCGCCGCCCCCUAGGAGAUUGGAUCUCCUAGGGCUGGCGCACCCCCCCCUUGGGCUCCCUAUAUAUAGUGGGGGUAGGAGGGCCUCUUGACACACCCCUUAUGCCUUUGGUGCAGCCCCUCCCUCUCUCCUAAGUCCUUCUCUCUCGUGGUGCUUGGCGAAGCCCUGCAGGAUUGCCACGCUCCUCCACCACCACCACGCCGUUGUGCUGCUGCUGGAUGGAGUCUUCCUCAACCUCUCCCUCUCUCCUUGCUGGAUCAAGGCAUGGGAGACAUCACCGGUCUGUACGAGUGUUGAACGCGGAGGUGCCGUCCGUUCGGCACUAGGAUCAUCGGUGAUUUGGAUCACGACGAGUACGACUCCAUCAACUCCGUUCACUUGAACGCUUCCGCUUAGCAAUCUACAAGGGUAUGUAGAUGCACUCUCCUUCCCCUCGUUGCUGGUCUCUCCAUAGAUAGAUCUUGGUGACACGUAAGAAAAUUUUGAAUUUAUGCUACGUUUCCCAACAUCCAAGGCUACAUUGAAUUCCUCACGGGAGAUCAAGGUCCCCCCAUCACCCGUAGACGAGAUCGGAUUCACACCGGAGUGCUCCUCCACACCGUCUACGGUGUCAACCAUACUCUUUGGAUGACACAGUCCUUAUUAAAGAGACGAGGCUCUGAUACCAAUUGAAAGGAUCGAUAUGGUUGACUAGAGGGGGUGAAUAGGCCACUAACAAUUUUUAGCUUUUCUUUACCAAAUUAAACUUUGCAUCAAAGUAGGUUGUCUAGACAUGCAACUAUGUGAGCAACCUAUAUGAUGCAACAACAAUAAGCACACAAGCAAGCAAGGGAGAUAACACAAUUAAGCUUGCACAAGUAAAGGUACGAGAUAACCAAGAGUGGAGCCGGUGGAGACAAGGAUGUGUUACCGAAGUUCCUUCCUUUUGCGUGGAAGUAUGUCUCCGUUGGAGCGGUGUGGAGGCACAAUGCUCCCCUAGAAGCCACUAGGGCCACCAUAUUCUCCUCACGCCCUCACACAAUGCGAGAUGCCGUGAUUCCACUAUUGAUGCCCUUGGAGGCGGCGACUGGACCUUUACAAACAAGGUUGGGGCAAUCUCCACAACUUAAUUGGAGGCUCCAACAACAACACCAUGAAGCUUCACCACAAUGGAAUAUGGCUCCGCGGUGACCUCAACCAUCUAGGGUGCUCAAACACCCAAGAGUAACAAGAUCCGCAAGGGAUUAGUGGGGGGAAUUGAAUUUCUCUUGGUGGAAGUGUAGAUCGAGGCCUUCUCAACCAAUCCCUAGAAAAUCAACAAGUUUGAUUGGCUAGGGAGAGAGAUCGGGCGAAAAUGGAGCUUGGAGCAACAAUGGAGCUUAGGGUUGGAAGAGGUAGUCAACUCGGAGAAGAAGAUACCCCUUAUAUAGUGGAGAGAGAAAUCCAACUGUUAUCCACUUAACCAUCCCGCGAUAAGCGGUACUACCACGCCUACCAAGCGGUACUACCGCAAGGCCUUAUGGUACUACCGCACACCCUUGCGGUGCUACCGCAAGGCAGGGUUGGACCAGUCUGGGAAGGCCGUGGACAGAUAAACGUCCGUGGCUAGUUCCGCUGAUUACAAAAUAGUGCAAAAAGUCCGACAUGGUACUACGGCUGAAGUCAAGCGGUACUACCGCGCGGGGAGCGGAUGUAAAAUAUUACAUCCGCUCCUACUUCCGCUACUGGUGCUGUGCCGAACCAGGUCUCACGGUACUACGGCUCCCAAGGAGCAGUACUACCAUGACCACCUGCGAUACUAACGCAAGGGCAUGCGGUACUACCGCAGGGGCCUGCAGUACUACCGCUCCGAAGAGCAGUACUACCGCAAGCCUCAGAACAGCAACAGAUAGGAAGACUUCUUUUUGCACAGACAAGAAGAAACAAAGGAUGCUCCUAGGUGCUAAAGGAAAGGUGGUGCAAAGAGGAGUAAACGUGUACGUGACGAUUCCACCAAAACCUUUCCAAAGCAGACUGCCUCUUAAUAGUACGACUUCCCUACGACUCAAAUCCACCGAAAAAGGAACGUAGAAAAACGCCGUCUUCAAUAAUCUUCGAGGGGCUCCUAACCGUCUCGUGCCUAGUCAUGAAAUAUCUGAAAUACUUGAGACCCGCGAUUAGUCCACAAAUGCAUUGUCAUCAAUCACCAAAACACCUUAGGGAUAAAUAUGCCCUUACACUCGUCAACCUCUCAAUCCCAUGAGUUGACGAAACGAGCUCUUGAGAGCAAAGAUGACUUGGGAUCCCGUGGACUAUCCUUCCCACCGCUCUCUUCGCGCAACGACUACGCGCAUCUCUCUCACUUGGCUCUCACACGGCUAUGGGCUAUAUACCGCUUGUCGCUUCAUGCUCAUUUUCCCGUUUUCACUUUGCAUGCUAUGUUGGCUUUGCCAUGCAAUUGUGACCCUUGCUUGCAUCUACCCAUGAUUCACCAUUAUGCUACUACUAUGUGUAUUUGCAUGCUCGGUGGAGAUCCUUGUUGCUUUUGGCAUGUUUAUCAUGUGCACCAUGCUAUUGAUGCUAUUUUGGUCAUAUACUCCUUUCACGCUUAUGCUAUGUCAUGUGAAUUAUUCAUGCACACUAUUUGCACCCAUGCCAUGAUUGCUAUGUUUCCCUCUAGUAUGUUGCAUCUUCGCACUACUAGCUCACACCACUUGAUUGCUAUGAUUGCUUGCUUUGUCGCAUCACCCAUGUUCCAUUAUUACUUGCUUUCUUGGGUUGAUGACGCAUAUGUUCAUGCCUGUCACAUGAUAUAUUUUGUUCAUUGUCGCUUGCCUCCAAUUGUUGCAUCUAUGCUUAUUGAUCGUGGAGACUUGGACACCUUACUUGUGAUGCAUGCUUGCUUGAUUAUGCCUAUUCUAUUUGGUUGUUCUCCCAUCAUAUACCUCCAUACUAUGAAAUGCUCCCUUGUCCUUUCUUAUGAUGAGCAUGAUGCAUACACUUGUUGGGUAUCUUACCACACGAAUGAUAGGUUUUGCACUGCCGCUAACCUCAUUUGUUUUUCCGAGUGUUUGUCAUGUUGUUUCGUUUUGAAGGAUUCACAAGGUGGUACCAUCACGAGACAACUUGGUCAGGUGAAGGCGUACACGAUGCGCGACACCAACAUUUUUGACAUUCUCAUAAAGGUCAACUCCUUCCCUUUGAGCCAUCCUCAAAUAUGCAUAUUGGAUGGGUCACUCUUUCAUUGUUGUAUCCUUCUUGUUGUCUACAUGAUACAUCUCGCGAACGGAGGACCGACAUUGAAGAUUGGCUCUAUGGACCUUCGCAUUGAAGAGCGCUCGGACUUAUUGGAUGCACCUUCGAACCUCCACUCAUACCACGACAUCGAGCAUUGGUACACCAACACCUCCAAAUUUGUUGAUUGUGCUCACACUUGUCAUGCUCAUUGGACAUCUUACACACAUGACAAAUUUGCAUCUUAUGCAUGGAUUGAAUCCCAUUAUGAUUGGCUAGUUGCAUCUUGUAUUCCCGUGUCAUCCAUGAUAUAUGAGCUUGUGCAUUUCCUUAGCAAAUUUGUUGUGAUCAACCUUGAUGGCAUAUUCAUACAUCAUGAUCUUAUUUCCUACCAUCAAUUGCAUGAUCACAUCACAUUGAGCAUCCAUUACCAUAUUCAUGCUAUUGAUAAACCGUCUCACUAUGACAUCAUUUUUCAUCGUGGUUGCAUUGAUCAUAUUCAUGCAUUUGCUCCCAUGAAUACUUUGCAUGCCAUUCCAUCUCUUUUGGAUAAGCUUCAUGCACCUUGUCAUGAUCAAUAUUGUCGCACAGACACAUGUUUACUUGAUGGACACUUUGCGUGCGCUAAUGAUACAUCUCCAACGUAUCUAUAAUUUUUGAUUGCUCCAUGCUAUAUUAUCUACUGUUUUGGGCAAUAUUGGGCUUUAUUAUCCACUUUUAUAUUACUUUUGGGACUAACCUAUUAACCGGAGGCCUAGCCCAGAUUUGUUGUUUUUUUGCCUAUUUCAGUGUUUCGAAGAAAAGGAAUAUCAAACGAAGUCGAAACAGAACGAAAUCAAUUGGAGAAGUUACUUUUGGAAGGAAAGCAACCCAGGGAACUUGGAGUGCACGUCAGGGGAGACACGGGCUGCCCACGAGGGUGGGGGGCGCGCCCACCCCCUAGGGCGCGCCCCCCUGCCUCGUGGGGCCCCCGUGGCUCCUCCGACGUACUUCCUGCACCCAUAUAUAUCGUCGUACCCUAAAACUUCCAGAACGGAGAUUAGAUCAGGAGUUCCGCCGCCGCAAGCCUCUGUAGCCACCAAAAGUCAAUCAGGAACCUGUUCAGGCACCCUGCCAGAGGGGGGGAUCCCUCACCGGUGGCCAUCUUCAUCAUCCCGGCGCUCUCCAUGACGAGGAGGGAGUAGUUCUCCCUCGGGGCUGAGGGUAUGUACCAGUAGCUAUGUGUUUGAUCUCUUUCUCUUGUGUUCUUGAUUUGGCACGAUCUUGAUGUAUCACGAGCUUUGCUAUUAUAGUUGGAUCUUAUGUUUCUCCUCCCCCUCUUAUCUCUUGUAAUGAAUUGAGUUUCCUCUUUGAAGUAAUCUUAUCGGAUUGAGUCUUUAAAGAUUUGAGAACACUUGAUGUAUGUCUUGGUGAUCAACUUGCGGGUUUCGUGACAUUGGGAACCUACGCAUAGGGGUUGGCACACGUUUUCGUCGUGAUUCUCCGGUAGAAACUUUGGGGCACUCUUUGAGGUCCUUUGUGUUGGUUGAAUAGAUGAAUCUGAGAUUGUGUGAUGCAGAUCGUAUAAUCAUACCCACGGAUACUUGAGGUGACAUUGGAGUAUCUAGGUGACAUUAGGGUUUUGGUUGAUUUGUGUCUUAAGGUGUUAUUCUAGUACGAACUCUAGGGCUGUUUGUGACACCUAUAGGAAUAGCCCAACAGAUUGAUUGGAAAGAAUAACUUUGAGGUGGUUUCGUACCCUACCAUAAUCUCUUCGUUCGUUCUCCGCUAUUAGUGACUUUGGAGUGACUCUUUGUUGCAUGUUAAGGGAUAUUUAUGUGAUCCAAUUAUGUUAGUAUUGUUGAGGGAACUUACACUAGUGAAAGUAUGAACCCUAGGCCCUAUUUCCCAUCAUUGCAAUACCGUUUACGCUCACUUUUAUCAUUAGUUACCUUGCUGUUUUUAUUAUUUCAGAUUACAAAUACCUUUAUCUACUAUCCAUAUACCACUUGUUUCACCAUCUCUUUGCCGAACUAGUGCACCUAUACAAUUUACCAUUGUAUUGGGUGUGUUGGGGACACAAGAGACUCUUUGUUAUUUGGUUGCAGGGUUGCUUGAGAGAGACCAUCUUCAUCCUACACCUCCUACGGAUUGAUAAACCUUAGGUCAUCCAUUUGAGGGAAAUUUGCUACUGUCCUACAAACCUCUGCACUUGGAGGCCCAACAACGUCUACAAGAAGAAGGUUGUGUAGUAGACAUCAAGCUCUUUUCUGGCGCCGUUGCCGGGGAGGUUAGCGCUUGAAGGUAUAUCUUUAGAUCUUGCAAUCGAGUCUUUUAGUUUCUUGUUUUAUCACUAGUUUAGUUUAUAAAAGAAAAUUACAAAAAAAUGGAAUUAAGUUUGCCUCAUACGCUUCAUCUUUUUAAUAUAUUUCAUGAGUAUGAUGGAAAGGAAAAUUGUGCUCAAGUGCUAGAAGAAGAAAUCUGUAAAAUGUUUGGCACUAAAUAUUUGAAUGAUGAGCAUGAUUGCAAUGUUGUUAGUAUGAAUUCCUUGAAUAUCCAUGAUGCUAAUGAUAUGCAAAGCCACAAGCUUCGGGAAGCUAUGUUUGAUGAAGAUGAUAUUUUUUGUCCCCCAAGUUCUGAUGAGCAAAUUUAUUAUGAUGAAAGCAUGCCUCCUAUUUAUGAUGAUUAUAUUGAUGAAAGUGGAUUUGGAGAGGUCAUGACUUUAUUUUGUGAUGAAUCCACUAUUUCGAAAGAGGUUCCAAUUGAUUAUGAGAACAAAGUUGCUAUCUAUGAUGAUUAUUGUGAUGGCUUGUAUGCUAUAAAGAAUAAUGAUAUCCAUGAAACUUGUCAUAUGCCUCACAUGAUAAUUAUUUUGUUGAGUUUGCUCCCACUAUUAUUCAUGAGAAGAAAUUUGCUUAUGUGGAGAGUAGUAAAUUUUCUAUGCUUGUAGAUCAUGAAAAGAAUGAUUUAGGUGCUGGUUAUAUUGUUGAAUUCAUUCAUGAUGCUACUGAAAAUUAUUAUGAGGGAGGGACAUAUGCUUGUAGGAAUUGCAAUAAUAUCAAGUUUCCUCUCUAUGUGCUUAAAGUUUUGAAGUUAUGCUUGUUUUACCUUCCUAUGCAAGUUGAUCCUUGUCCCCACAAGUUGUUUGCUCACAAAAUCCCUAUGCAUAGGAAGUGGGUUAGACUUAAAUGUGCUAGUCAUAUUCUUCAUGAUGCUCUCUUUAUGUUACAAUUCUUAUCUUUUAUGUGAGCAUCAUUGAAAUCAUCAUGCCUAGCUAGGGGCAUUAAACGAUAGCGCUUGUUGGGAGGCAACCCAACUUUAUUUUUGUUCCUUGAUUUUUGUUCCUGUUUAGUAAUAAAUAAUUCAUCUAGAAUCUGUUUAGAUGUGGUUUUAUGCUUUUAAUUAGUGUUUGUGCCAAGUAGAACCUUUGGGAAGACUUGGGGAAAGUCUUGUUGAUCAUGCUGUAAAAAUAAUAGAAACUUUAGUGCUCACGAGAACUACUGCCAUUUUUAUUUGGAGAGUGCUAUUUAGUUAAUUCUUUUUUAAUAUGAUUAAUAGAUAAAUUCCUUAGGUCCAGAAAUUUAUUUGAGAAUUUUAUGAGUUCCAUAAGUAUACGUUUGAUCCAGAUUACUACAGACUGUUCUGUUUUUGACAGAUUCUGUUUUUCGUGUGUUAUUUGCUUAUUUUGAUGAAUCUAUGAGUAGUAUCGGAGGGUAUGAACCAUAGAUAAGUUGGAAUACAGUAGAUAUUACACCAAUAUGAAUUAAUAAUGAGUUCAUUACAGUACCUUGAAGUGGUGAUUUAUUUUCUUAUACUAACGGAGCUUACGGGUUUUCUGUUAAGUUUUGUGUUGUGAAGUUUUCAAGUUUUGGGUAAGGAUUCGAUGGACUAUGGAAUAAGGAGUAGCAAGAGCCUAAGCUUGGGGAUUCACAAGGCACCCCAAGGUAAUAUUCAAGGACAACCAAAAGCCUAAGCUUGGGGAUGCCCCGGAAGGCAUCCCCUCUUUCGUCUUCGUUCAUCGGUAACUUUACUUGGAGCUAUAUUUUUAUUCACCACAUGAUAUGCGUUUUGCUUGGAGCGUCAAUUUAUUUUGUUAGAAUUUGCUUUCUGUUAUUUAGAACAAUGUUUUGCAUCUUUUAUUUCAAUAAAAGUGGCAUUGAUAGCCUUUACUAUGCCUAUGUUACAAGUAUACAUGUUGCUGUUUGAAAACAGAAAGUUUACCGCUGUUGCAAUAAUUCCCUAGAAAAGUCAGAAUGUGAUAAAAUGUUGAAACCUUUUGCAUAUUAAGCUUUGAUAAAUUUACUACAGUGGUAAUUUUAUUUCAUAAUUUUUGGAGCUAGGGAAGUAUGGAUGUUGCAGCAUUCUUUACAGACUAUCCUGUUUAGGCAGAUUGCUGUUAUGUUUGCAUUGUUUGCAUAUAUUUGCUUCUUUAAUAAUUCUAUUUGAGGAUAGGACUAUUAAAUAUGCAGAGGCAUUUAUUAUGCAAUGUUGAAUAAUAAUUUUAGUGAUUUGCUACAGUAGAGUAUGAUAAGGUUUUGGCAAUGGUUUAUACUAACUUAUCUCACGAGUCCUUGUUGAGUUUUGUGUGGAUGAAGCUUUUGAGAUUUAGGGAGACUGUGAUAUGAGAGGAAUUAAGGAGACACAAAAGCUCAAGCUUGGGGAUGCCAAAGGCACCCCAAGAUAAUAUUUCAAGAAGUAUCAAGCAUCUAAGCUUGGGGAUGCCCCGGUUGGCAUCCCACCUUUCUUCUUCAACAAUUAUCGGUUAGUAUCGGUUAAAGACCCACCGGACGACCGGCCCGGACCGGACGACCGGCGACACCGCACCCGAGCCAAAAUGAGUGGAUGUCCGACAAGUCCCGGAUGUCCGACACACUCCAGCGUUCGGACGUCCGACCGUCCCCGGAAAUCCGGCGCCACCUCAUCCGAGCCGAAACGCCGGACGUCCGACAAGUACCGGAUGACCGGACCCUCACGAGCCACCGGACGUCCGAUACCUAUCGGACGACCGACGCCUGUCUGUGCACAGAUCGGGCCUGAGGCCCAUGUACCCCUUCACUUCGCCCCUAUUUGCACUAAGACUAUAAAUAGACCUUCUCCACCUCCUAGUGAGGGUUAGCGUUAUGAUAGCUCAUUUGAGAGAUAGAGCUACACUCAUCCAUAUCUGAUCUCCUCCUUGCGAGAGACCGUGGCCUCUUCGGAAAAGAUCCCUUUGGAUUCAAGCCCCCUUUCUAAGGGAAGAUCCCCCCGUGGGUUCAAGACCUCCUCACGAAGAAGACCGGUUACCAUGUAUCGUCCCUAGUUGAUCGUGUACCGUGUAUCGUUCCUCGUAUCGUUCCAUGUAUCCGAGGAUCUAGCACAUGUGUGACCUAUUCAAGUUGGUUUGAGUGUUUUCUCUCGUUUUCCCCUUUGUGUUCUUCGUGCUCUUCGCGGGAUUCCGCUCCUUUCGUGAAAUAUCGGGCGAUAGGGUUCCUACCCUGCAUCAUAUCGGGUGAUAGUGUCGCAUGCCUUGUGUGGCACGGAGUCGACCCCGCCCGCACGACCGCGUCCGGGCGCGCGCAGCCACAGCACGCAGGUCCAGUGUGUGGCAUAACCGCCCACACGUCCGGGCGAACGACCGCGCUGCCCGCACGACCCAACACGCCCGUCGUCCUGGCCUCAUUUCAAUCCCCAAUGCGACCUACACCGUCGUCUCCUACCUCUCGAUCCCCUACUUCCAUCACCUUCCUUCUCUAGUUGGCAUGGCAACCAGAUCAGAUCCCUAGCGCCCCCCCACCGCUAACCAACACCCCCAACCCCGCCCUCCCAAGACGACGAUCUAAAAUAGGUGGAUCUCCGAUCUCCUUCUGUUUCUCGGCCUUCUUCUGUCCAGAAAUUUGGAAUUGCAGAUUGCCCACGAAGAUGCCAGCUAGAUCCAUGCUGUCUGGGCAAACACACCGUGGGUUUUGUGUGUAUUCACAUUUGCCCACCAGAAUACGCCAGAUCUGCCAUAUUCUGUACUAGAGUUGAGCUAAGCUUCUGGGUUGGCUUGGUGCGAGCAGUUGGUACUGAAGGAUGCAUAGGAAUCACUAAAAGUAGGGAGAGAAAGGAGGAAUUUGGCACAGGGAGGGAGGAAAAAUAAUUGCCACUUGUAUCUAACAUCAGUUGCCACCUAUCGUUGUUGUUAGUUGCCACCAUGUUAUGUUGUUGCUUGUCAUCCUAUUUUACUGGCUGUUGCCGUCGCUUCAAAAUGAUAGCUGGCAUCCAGAUUUUAGAAAAGAGAAUUAAUGUGCAUGUCCUACUUGCCAUGAUGUGUUGGUUGCCUACACAGGAAAUGUGAUAAGAUUGCCGUGUUAUCUUCUAUGUGCAAACAACAAGGAUGCAUUUUGUGAAUUAUUGAUGCGUUCUUGUUCAUGCAGUGACAUAAAACACAGUGGCAGAAAAAAAGCGGAAGAAUGAAUCACGAAGACGGCACUGAUCCUUGGUUUUCUCAAAGGCCGGAAACGCCCCCUUGGGAUGCAGCAGAGUACAAUCAACUCAUUUCUGCAGGGCCGUUGCUGCCACUACUAGAGCAGUACGCGGGCAUUGGUACGAUGCAUGAUUUUAAAAAAGGAAUAGUUGCCAUGUUUGUGACGAGGAAGGUGUCAUUCUACUUAUGUCCUACAAUCAUUUUUCGCAAGUUCUUAUGAUCCAACCACACUCACGGGGAUACCAUGGCAAGUUCAGUUACAGGGCGCUAACGCUGACAAAUGUACGGGUGACCAACUUCAAGUAGCUAAUGUGGAAAAUUAAGGUAACGCAUACGAAAAGAAACAUACUGGUGUGGCCAUGAAAUUAAACUUGCAAAGAUGGCAAAGGACUCACGUGGCAUCAAGCGGCAACCAUGUACCUGCCAUCAACGUCGUACACAGGUGAGUCCAUGAAGUGAAGUUGUGAGAAGUGAAUUAGGAGAAGGAACAUAGGUGACAUUGGGGUUGCCAUGCCUGGACAGCUGCAGUUGCCAUGCUUGGACAGCUGCAGUUGCCAUGCCUAGACAGCUGCAGUUGCCAUGUGUCAUAAAAUGUGAUUGCAAAAUGUCUAAACAACUGUGGAUGACAGGUGUGAACAAAUCUGUGUGGCAUGGAUGCACCACUACAUGUGCCAUGUUGUACAAACUACAGUUGCCAUGCAUUGACCAAAUACUAAAAUGAUCAUAGGUUGUUAUGGUGAAACCACAUCGGCAAACGUCUCAUCGCAAGCUUCAUAGCUGCAGGCCAACGCUAUUGCAGAUAGAGCACAUCAAAUUGGAAUGACAAACCAGAUACGAUCAACACAUGCGGCACAACAAGGUAAAAAAUGUGAAACAAAAAAACAGUAGUGGAUUUGCUUUUGUGGGAAAAGCAUGGGAUGAAAAGUAGAUUUGUCACGGUGGUGGUGGAAAAAACAAACAAAAAAUGCUACCAAGUGGUGCGUGCAAAAAGUCAUCUAUUGUCUUCAGGAUUUGCCAACUGCUAUAUGAUUGUGCGCAACAUUCAUGAUUGAUCGCAUUUGACUAGUGAGCUCGUACCUAGAAUACAAGUUUUGAUGCUACAAGAUAUUGGUUGCCAUGUCUUGGCAACAGUAGUUGCCAUGUAUGUUGGACUAUAGCUAUCAUGGCUGUAGAAUCCAAGUUUUGAUGCUAAAAGAUGCUGGUUACCAUGUGUUGGCAAUAGUAGUUGCCAUGUUUGUUGGACUGUAGCUGCCAUGACUGGAAAACUACAGUUGCCAUGCAUGGCCAUAUGCAGAUUCCACGGCUUGCUGUGUGAAUGAUGUCAUGCCAAAUCACAUGUAGAUGUUUUAUUACGUUACGAUAAACAUGCCAUUCAAGCAAUGCUUGCACUUGUACCUGCUUUUUAAUUGCAGGACCUUCAACUACAAUCAACAGCAGCGCGGGGACAUCUACUGCGGGAUCCUCUGAGCACGCGAAAGAAGAGUUCCACCAGCCAGCCAAGAAUCCUGCCACAAAUAAUGCAGAGUCAGUGUCGGAAAUGGCAACCGUUCCAGCAAUGCCGACAAGCACACCUUUGCACACCAGCACAUGCAACACUCAAGCAGAUGAAACAUCCAUUGAUACUGAAGUGAAUGAUGAAACUGGUGACGAAGCACAAGGGGAUGAAGAAGAUGGGCAAUCAGAAAUCAUGGUACCUCAGCCACCGUAUGUUGGGCAGAGAUUUGAUUCGUUCGAAGAUGCCAAGGAAUUCUACCAGAGAUAUGCAAUGUUCCAUGGGUUUGCAGUCAAUACCGAAUACCAUAGGAAAAUUAAAAAACUAACGAGUACAGCAGAAGGUGAGAUGAGGUGCUACAAGGCACGAAGGAACAAGAAGGAUAAAUGUGUUGCGCUUGUCGUUCCGGAACGAAAGAGAGGUAUCAUUGUCAAGACGGAAUGCCCUGUCCGGUGUAAGCUAAACAUAGAUGGAGCACGGUGGGUGGUCACUGAAUAUUUUGAUGAGCACAACCACGAACUCAUAAAGAAGUUUGACCUGGUAAAAUUUUUGAGCGCCCAUAGAGGAUUCACCCCCCUCGAGAAGAAAUUCAUAAAGCUGCUACAUGAUUGUAACGUCGGUCCAUCAAGAAUGGUCCAAAUAAUGUCCCUCAUCCACAGCGGAGAUGGUAGACUGAGUAGCAUGCCCUACAUACCGGCAGACGUCACAAACCUAAAGGCAAAGUACCGUAGAGAGAGCAGGUUGGCUGACAUAGAAGACACGAUAGCCUACUUCGAUGAGAAAGCAAAAGCAGAUCCAGAUUUCUUCUACAGGAUAAGAUUGGACGACGAGGACUGUGUCAGGAACAUGUAUUGGGUGGAUGGUGCUGCAAGAAGAGCCUACAAACAUUUCCGAGAUUGCAUUUCGUUCGACGCGACAUAUCUCACUAAUAUGUACAAGAUGCCAUAUGCUCCAUUCAUAAGAAUAAAUAACCGCAAUCAGUCAUUGCAGUUUGGAUGCGGGCUCGUUCGGAAUGAAGACACGGAUGGAUACACUUGGCUAUUCAAAACCUUCUUGGAGUGCAUAGGUGGACUUGCUCUGAUGAACAUAAUAACAGACCAGGAUUUUAGCAUGCGUGCAGGCAUAGAGGAGGUCUUUUCGUUGGCAGUGCACAGGCACUGCAGGUGGCAUAUUAUAAAGAAGGCUGAGGAGAUGCUAGGACCGUUCUUUGCUGACCGUCCAGAGCUGCACAAGGCAUUCGAGUUGUGCAUGGACCACAACUUGAUGGUGGAGGAGUUUGAACGAAGCUGGACAACUAUGAUUGAAACAUAUCAAGUCCAAGACAACGAGACGCUUGCUAGCCUGUGGGAGAAGCGAAUGUACUGGGUGCCGGCCUACUUCAUGCAGUGCUUCUUCCCAUUUCUGCAGACUACGCAGCGCAGUGAGGGGUUCAAUGCUGUUUUGAAGCAGUACGUGAGCCCUGGCAACUCAUUGUUGUAGUUUGCCAAGCAAUACAUAGCUUUGCAACAAAAAAUACUAGGAUCUGAGCUGCAGCAAGAAGCAAACACCGUGCUCAAGCGACCUAAAUUGCUAACAUAUUUACCAAUGGAGAGGCAGAUGAGCAAGACAUAUACCAACAAAAUUUUUAACAAGCAAGUUAGUUGUGUUACCAUCUUAUUUGCACAAAGCAUGAAGGUAGUAGGUGCCAUAUAGAAUGCAAUGCAGUUGCCAGCUUUUUUGAAAUGCUGAUAUGUUGAAAGUAGCCAUUGAGUACAGGUAAUCAUGAUAUGUAGUUGCCAUGUUUAAUGAACUGUAGUUGUCGUGUGAAGUCAACUAUAGUUGCCAUGUUUACUUAACUGUAGUUGCCAUGUUUAAUGAACUGUAGUUGCCGUGUGAAAUCAGCUAUAGUUGCCAUGUUUAAUGAACUGUAGUUCCAUUUGCCAUGAUGGAAUGUAAUGCACUUGCCGAUUAAAAUGUUAUGCAUUUGCCAUGUGAAAAUAUCAUGCAGUUGCCGUAUGGAAACAAACAACACAAGAACAGAUGUGGGCAAAAAAACAAGAUUUCCAUGCCAUCAUUCAUUUUAGAUGCCUUUGCUACGUUACAACCUACAUCAGCAUAAGGUGCUGCAAAACAUCAUAUAGGAGUUUAAAAAUCCACAAAAACUUGCAGAUUCCAGGAAGAAAUAAAGCGUGCCAGCAUGUACACGGCUUACCAGGUGGACGAAUAUGUUCAAGGUGUGUUCUCUCUUGGGCAUGUCGGAUUCAGAACCUGAAGACCCAGACAAAGGAAGGAACUAUUUUGUGAAGGCCUCGAUAAGCGAAGGUGAAUACUACUGCCAAUGUUGCAAAUUCGAAUGGGAUGGGAUUGUGUGCUGUCACAUACUAAAAGUAAUGGACAUGAACGCGGUGACACGAAUGCCCCGCCAUUUCAUACGGCGGCAAUGGACUUGGGACGCUGACGACGCGUUGGGGCCACAAACAUCAAAUGCAGUUUUGGCUAUGCAUGAUGAGAGACCAGAGUCAACCAUGGAAGCCGUUAGGCACGUUGUGUUGACAAAGAACUAUUCUGAACUAAUAGAUGAAGCGUGCAAGAGUGAUGAGACAGCGAGGGUUGCAGAAAAACACAGGAAGGCACUGAAAAGAGAGCUUGAUGAGAUCAAGAAGAGGAAACCUGAGGAAGCCUUACACAAGUUCCCCCGCACCUCAAGUGUGCCUUCGUCCACGGGGCCAUCAUCUGAAAACUCGGAGGUAGGAUCUGGAACAGCAAGCACACAAACCUAGGUCAGGAACCCGCCCCGUUCCAUCACAAAGGGGCAUCCAAAAUAGAUAAGAUACAAAUCGGGAUUGGAGAUUCAAGCAAAACACAAGAAAACAAAGAAAGGGUCGGGUAAUCCGUAAGCAACAUUGGAGCACUGUGACUUGGUUGUUGUUGACAUUUUUUGUAAGGUAGAUGUUCUAAAUUUUUAAAAAUGGGAGAAUGACUCUGGAGGGGUAUCAUAAUUUGAAGGAAAAUGCCAUGAAUGAAUAACUGUAGUUGCCCCGUGUGUGGUACUGAAUUUGCCAUGCCUUUUCUACUAAAUCUGCCAUGCCUUUUUUAUUGAAUCUGCCAUGUUAGUUCUAUUGAAUAUGCCACGUUAUUUGUACUGAGUCUGUCAUCGCAUAGAUUUCCAUGUUCAAUCAAUGCAUUUUAGUCCACACAUGUUGUAUUGUGUGCCAACUAUGAAAAACAAGUUGAAACAAUCACGUGCAAAAACCACACGGUUACGGCUGCGUACGAACUACCAUGCUAAUUGAUAUAGUUAGAAAUGUAAAAACCGCAAAAAGCCAAAUGAAAAAAUGAUAACUUUCACUAACCGUGUCUGAUCAACUACAUUUGCCAUGUUUUCAGACAUCAUAGACGUAUUCAAGACACCAAACUGGCACUACCAACCACGAACGCAUAAUAGUACUGAAAAAACAUAAAUACAGCUGCUGUCACACCUAAGUAGGUUCACAUCCAGACAUAUAUUACAAAAAUAUUCAAAUGUCGCUCACACACCACCACUAUAUACUAGGCUAUGGGGAGAUGCAGUCAUAACUUAGUACACAGACAUAGUUUUGAAAGAACAAGGUAAUACCUUACAUUCCUCGAC